GUUUUAGAGGUAAAACUCUGAUGAGAAGAGAAUCUCAAAGGAUUUCUACAGUUUAUAUAUUGGUUCUGGUAAAUAUGAACUUUAUCAAGUUGGAGAUUUUCUCAAAACCGUUCAUCUUAUUACCUUAAUUUCAUAUUCUAUACAUAAGCAAUUGAGUCAUUUUUAUGUUACUAUUUUUAGGUUCAUGCAUUCCUUUAAAAGGAAAAGUUCAUGCACUAUACUGUUGAGUUUUAACUGUAUAAUUUUCAUAAUACUCUCGAUAGCAUAAUAUAAAAGUUUCUAUAUUAUUUAAGCCAUUUGAUUUCUCUGGCAUGAUAAUGAUAAAUUUAUCAACAUACAGGUAAGUUGUGACGUGGUAAUAUUAUAAUCAUUUUCAACGUAAAAGAAUACAUAUAAGCUGAAAGUGCAUCAACUUGAUUCAAAUGAUUAGGCAGGUAAUUUGAGCUUUUGGAAUGAAUCAUAUUAACUAACAGAUUCUUGGGUGUUUAAAAAAAUGGCGAAAAAUUCCUAGGAACUUGGGAACAAGAAAAAAUGGCGUUUAGCCUGGAACAGACAGAAUCUGAAUGUCAUUGAAUCAUAGCCGAGGAGCAUUAUAUAUUAUGAUUCAGUUUCUUGGGCGGCUUUUGACAUAGUACUGAAUCCACCCCGGCCCUUGAUUCUAAUUAACAUGGAUGUGGAGAAUCGCUUAGCUUUUCAACCUCCUUUUAGCCUCUCAUUUAUUCUUUACGAGUAACGAUAUAGAUGGCUUAUAUUCUAACCUUUAUUCCAAAAUCGAUUACUAAAAUCAGCGAGAUUCACAUGCAAAUCAAUACAAAUAAUUCCAAUUGUUAAAUAAUUAAUCGUUCAACUUUUACUGCUGGUUAGCCAACUAUGCAGUAUACUUCCUCUAAGCCUUCGUUGUUUUUGUUUUUUUGAUAAAAUCCUUGCGGAAUGGUAAUAGUAUUCUUUCGAGUGUUUACCCUGCUUUUAAAAGUAUUUCAGCCUUUGUACUUUUGAGGGACAGUGACAAGAUAUGGUAAUUGGUUGUUUACUUAAAACGCUUCUCAUUUGAUGAACUUCGGAAAUACAGCUACAAGGAAACGUAAAUAUUAAAUUAAUUGUACAAGACAAAAUUGAAAAUUUAACUAGUUUUAUGGGUAGAGCCUAUAAAUUUGCCUUUGUACAAUGGAAUCGCCUUCAAACUUAAUCCAAAUAAAACUACACAAGUGAAGGAAAUGGAGAUCACAGGCAACGGUAAAAUGGAAUUUGAUUAUGAUCGCAGGGGAGAGCUCAAAGCUUUUGAUGACACAAAACUAGGUGUCCAAGGGCUUGUGCAGGCUGGUGUAGCAAAUAUCCCUAGGAUGUUCAUUCGAUCACCCGAUGAGCUUUCGGAGGAGCUCCAUCAUUCCUCAACCACACACAUUGGUCUACCGGUUAUUGAUCUUGGUAGCCUUUCCACCGAUGGACGCCGGAAGAUUGUUGAUCAAUUCCGGAGUGCAUCGGAGGAGUGGGGAUUUUUUCAAGUGAUAAAUCAUGGGAUACCCUCAGGUGUACUAAAUAACAUGAUAAAUGCUGUAAGAAAAUUUAAUGAGCUGGAUAUUGAUGUCAAGAAAGAGUUUUAUUCACGCGAUACGAGCAAAAGAGUGAGAUUCAACAGCAACCAUGAUCUGUUUCAAUCUCAAAGAGCUGACUGGAGAGACACAUUUUCUGUUUCCUUGCUUAGAUCAGACCAUCUUGACCCGGCAGAGUUGCCUGCCAUAUGCAGGUCGUAUUCUUGUGCAUUCAUAAUUUCAUAUAAUUGACAUUAUUAUUUAUUGUUAUUAUUUCGUUUGCAUUUACAGAGAUGAAGCUGUGGAGUUCAUAGAUCAAAUUGGAAAAAUUGCAGACACGCUUUUCGAAUUACUGUCGGAAGCUCUUGGUCUGAAACCCGACCACCUGAAAUCUAUAGAGUGUAACAAAGGUCGAUCUCUUGUAUGUCACUAUUAUCCAGCAUGUCCUGAACCAGAAUUGGCCAUGGGAGUUACCCAGCACACUGAUAACACAUUCCUGACGGUUCUUGUAGAAGAUGAGACAGGAGGUCUCCAAGUGCUUCACGACAACCACUGGAUUGAUGUUCAACCUAUUGCAGGAGGCUUAGUAGUAAACAUCGGAGACCUUCUCCAAGUACAUAUAUAUUUCUGCCCUUUGCUCUUAACUAUUUAUACCAAUAAUUCUCGUAUUAUCCAUUUUGGAUCUGAUUAAUGAUACCUUAUAAAUUUGGAUUAGAUUGUAUCGAAUGACAAGUUCAAGAGCAAUGUGCACAGAGUGGUUCCUAGUCGCCUUCCAAGAAUUUCAGCGAUAGGAUUUUUCGCAGGACGUGUUGCUCCACCAGCAAGGCUCUAUGGUCCAAUCAAAGAACUGCUAUCGGAAGAAAAUCCACCAAAAUAUAAGGAGGUCCUAGUCAGUGAAUACGUUGCAAGAUUCUUCAACAAAAGACUCCAUGAGAAGCCAAGCCUUGAAGAUUAUAGACUCUAAAGCUGCCAAUUGUAGUAACCAGCAGGGAAUAAAACUCUACAGUGACACUAAUAAAAGUGAGCUGUAGAUGGAGGAACGCCAUGCAUCCAUAUAUCAUUUCAUGCUGUAGCGACACGGACCCAUGAAGUGUUGCAAUUAAUUAAUGAAGGAUUUGUGAUUUAUGGGUUUUUCUAAUUAAAAACCUGCGUAAAUUAAUAAUAUUUUGCAUUUCCACUGCAUCCUAAUUGACGUAUUUACUGGGUACUUUGAAUUAUAAAAAAAAAAAAAAGAAAAAAAAGAAAAGGGAGAAACCACCAAAUUAAUGAUGGGUCUUGGGGCACUGUUUGACAGGGACCUACAAAUAGAAGAUGCUUUGUGGUGAGCAAAAAGAAUUAGAUGCGUAAAGAGAAAGGAAUUUGGGCAAAAUCCCAAUUGGUGGUGGUGGGCAAUAAGGGAGGGAUUCCACCCUAACUGGACAAAUUAGAUUAUCUAUCAGCAUCACACUCUUACAUCAUCAACAGUGGUCUUUUUCGCAUUUUCAACUGUAUUCCAUUUCUAGGUGGUUGUCCUUGUCCAAACCAUUGCAUUUUUCUGUGAGAUAAGGAACCCAUACGCCAUUCAUAUGGCUUAUGAUUACAUCGUUGAAUCUUUGCUAAAAAACUUCAACUCAAAUUGAAGGAAACAAAUUCGGUGUUAUUAGACCCUUUUGAAUUAUAAAAUUGAUAAAAUUUUAGAUUAAAGAUUUUAAUUAAAAAUUUAAUCAUAAACCUUGAAAGAAAUUAUAAUUCAUGUCAAAAGUUGAUUCUGAUCACUUAUUCAAAUAAAUCAACAUUUUGCCAAUAUUGUUCUCAUUAAGUUAUAAUCAAAAGGAAGUAAUUAUAUAGAUUUUUUUUUUUAAUUAAUAGUAUGAAUAUGGAUUAAAAUUUAGGGAGAUUACUGAAAUUCAACUAAAACUAUCGAUGAAAAGGAAAAAGAAUCAAUGAAAACAUAAAGGAAUUACUAAUAUUAUAGUUCAAUUUCAAUUUUUAAAAUUUCGUGGGAUUCAAUUUUGUGUAUUUGGUUUGAAGAAAAAUUAAAAUGGAAUUGAUUAUAAUUAAAAUCAAUUCAUUUAAAUUUUAUUAGAAUUUGAAAUGAAUUUCAAAAAACUUAUCUAACAAUAUUUUGUGAAUUAAAGUGUCCUUAAAAAUUUUUAUUUUCAAUUAUCAUUUAUUUUACUAAUUAAUUAAAUAAAUUAUUGAAAAUUAAUAAAUUAUUAAAAAUAUUAAUAAUUACAAAAUAAAUCAUUAAAAAAUAUUUUAAUAAAUAAUUAUAUUUUUUAUAUUAUUAUAUAAAUAUUAAAUAAAAGUAAUAGAUACUACUAAACAAUCACACAACUGUCUAUCUUAACCAUUCACUUUCUUAAAUUAGUUGAAUGGAAUGAAAACUUUCUUAUACACACAAAUAUAAUUCCCAUAUUAUUUAUUUUGAUUUUAUCAAUAUAUUUUUAGAAGAUUCACAUUAUUAUUAUUAUUAUUAUUAUUAUUAUUAUUAUUAUUAUUAUUAUUAUUAUUAUUAUUAUUAUUAUUAUUAUUAUUAUUAUUGCUAAUUUAAAAAUUUAGAGUAAAUAAAUUUUAAUUUUGAAAUUAAAUAAUUAUAUGAAGUUCAAUUAAAUUUUUAUAUCAAAUCAAAUAGCGCUUGUUUAAUAUAUAUUUUUUCUAAGAAAAAAAUUGAAUUCUAUUAAUAGAAUUCAAUUCAUUGAUAAAAGAAUUUAUUUAUUUGGAAUAAUUUAAAUAUAAUAAAAUUUAAUUGAAUUCUUUUAUAUUAAAUAAACUAAUAAUAAAUUUAAAUUUAUUUUAUUUUAUUAUUUUUAAAUUAAAUAUAAAUAUUUUUUAUCAGUCAUUGAAAAAUCAUUAUUAAUAUUUUUAUAAAAUUUAAAUUUAAAUUUUACUAUGAUUAUUUUUUUAAAUUAACAAAAUAAUAUAAUAAAUUUUUUAAUAUUAAUAUUUAAUAUUAAAUUAAAAUAAUUUUUUAAAAAGUAAUUAUUAAUUAAAAAAUAAAAAAUAAAAUUAAAAAAAAAAGAAAAACUAAUUAAGUAAUCUUAAUGUAAAUAACUUUAAGUAAAAUUAUUUUUUGUAAAAUUCUAACAAUGUAAGAUUUAUUUUUAGUUUAAAAUCAAUUCUUACAAGAAUUUAAGAAAUUGAAUUCUUAAAUUAUUAGUUUUGCUAAACACAAAAAUUUAGAAAAAAAAAAUAUAUUUUUUUAAAUUUUUUCAAAAUUAGACAUUCCAAAUAAGGAAAUAGUUAUUUGGAAUAGUGAAAUUCAUUUGAAAUGAAUUCUAUUUAUAAUUCAAUUGAAUUCCACAUAAUUUUUUAAUUAUAAAAUUAAAUCAAAUACUAAGUAAGUUGUGGCAUAAAAGCAUCAUCAAAUCUAUCUAUUUUUUUAUUCAUAAAAUUUCAUUUGAAAUUCAAUUGAAUUUUACAUAAUUCUAAUUAUAGAAUUAAAUAAAAUAUUAUAUAAGUCAGUGGCAUAAGAGCAUCAUGAAUUCUAUUUAUUUUUUUUAUUUAUAAAGAAUUAUAAAAAUUAAAAAAAUACCAAUAAAAAUCAUUAAUCUUUAAUAUCAAAUAUUUUUUUAAAUUUCCAUACGUUUUUGCUGUUUCAUGUAUUUUAUUUUUUAAGAAAUUGUGUUAAAUAAUUAAAUUUAUUUUUCAAAAUUUAAAUUUAAUUUUUUAUUAUUAUUAUUUAAAAUAUUGACCACGCACAUCGGCAAACUCCGGCUGAAGAUAAUUUCAGGAUUCAACAACAUUUUUGUUUUUUGAAAGUAGGAUUCAUCCACUAAUUAAUUUACUUAAUGUCAAUUUUAAUUGUAAAAAUGAAUUGUAUAACUAAUUAAGUUUCGAUGCGAAAAAUGGCUGAACUUUUCCGGUCCAGGUAAUGUAUGGCAGAUCCGCUCGCGCAAGUUGACGGCUCAUACUUCUCUGGAUAUUGCGUGCCGGUGUUUCUCAAUCAUUUUCUUUUCUAUUUUAAUUUUACAUUAUGCUUUCAGUGUCUCUCAACAGUUCGCUUUGUUUAACUGUCCCCAUUUUUAUAAUCAUCUCUUCCUUCAACCUUUUUCAUGUCCUCUCUCUCCCUCUCUUUCACGCCAUUUUUUUCUUUGCUCACAAUUUUCUACAUGCCCAGAUACAAUAUUUUCCCCCUAAAUUGUUAAUUUUUCUGGGAAUGUUUUUCUUGCAUCUAAUCUCAGUAAAGAUCGGUAUUCGGAGUUGAAAGGUUUGUACUUUUCUGUUUCUGGGUGAUUUUAGGGAGAUGGGUACUUUCAUUGAUCAAUUAAGAAGCUGAAAAUUCUGCUGGCUUUGGUGGUGGCCCCAAAAGAAACGAAAAAAUGAAGGAUUUUGCUGGGACACCAGGGACAUUGACUGCUCUUGUUCUGAGGAUUUCACAAUGCAUUUUUGCAGCUGGCUCAAUUGCGGCCAUGGCCACCACGUCCACCUUCUUCAAUUUCACUGCUUUCUGGUAUUAUUUUAUCUAGCCCAUCUUUACAUAGCUUUAUCAAUAUUCCUCUGCAAUGUUUUAAGCUACUUUGGAAUUCAGCUGUCCUCCAUUAGUUACGGAUCAUCUGAAUCGAACUUUGGCAUUUCAAACUUAAAAGUUUUUAACUACUAAAAUAAAAUAUUUGAUUAGAAAAAAAUGACUUAAGCAAUUUGCAGUAAUUUAGGCUUCUGGGUUUCAACAACCAUUCGAGCAUGAUUUAAGAUGCAUGAUUAUUGCGCUGACUAUGUUUUAUUCCAAAAGUAAAGUCAUGGCUAAGGAAUUAGCUUCAUUUCUAAGGAAAUUUUGAUAUUUCUUGGGGGAAAAAGAAAUUAUGAAUCGAUUAUUAACUGGAACUUUUAGCAGUGACUCUGAUCUAUAAGACCUGUUAGUGACCAGAUCAUUUACUGUGUAUCUCAUUACUGUUAGUGACCAGACCUGGGUGUCUUAAUGUGCUUAAUUUCUUAUUAAAAUUAUUGCGCUUCCAAAUUCUUUGGCAUUGUACUUGGGACUGCUUCUUUGAUGAAUAUGGGUGUAAUUCUCCUAAACAAAAGAAAAGAAAAGGAGAAAAAAGACGCAGCUUGUUUACUUGUAGCAACAACACCCAUGAUGAUGUUGUUUUGUGGGCAUCUAGUGUUUGUGUGACCUUGUAGGAAUGAUGUUUUUUUGGAGAACAAACUAACGCCAAUGUGCUCCUUUCAGUGAACUACGAAAAAUUUAACAUGAAAUUUCUACAGACUAUAUUGUGUUAGGCACUUUAUUUUUUGUGAGUGUGACUUUAGACCUCCUAUAAAAAAUUUAUGUCUUUCGCAAGCUGAGUCCUUUAAUUCUUGAUGUGAUACAUAUCUGACUACUCCAGCAUUAGUAACGUUGAAUGCAAAAUGCUGCAUUUGAUCAUUUAAAUGCAUCUGCAGUUUGUUUCUAUGAUAAUUUAGUCUUGUUUUCAAUUUACAGAAUAACAGUCAACGCCAGUUCUCAUAUGUGUAAUGCACGGGUGAUGACAAAAAUAAUAAUAAUAAUAAUAAAUAAAUUUCAAUGCAGGAAGUGCUAAUCUCACAGGAUUUAAAGUUUUCAUGUGCUAAUUUCACAUGAACUUAAUGAAAUUGUAUUUCAUGUUGAUGGUCUUCAUCUUAUCUUGUUAACUGGAUCAUAUUUUGGCUUGGGCCAUUCUGCAGUGGAAAAAAAUGAAGUUAAACUGUAUGUCAUAAUUCUGCACUCCAUUAAAAUCACUGCACAAAUGAGCAUCUUCAUGAAGAAAAGUGUUAACACAUAGAUUAUAAGUUUAUCAGAUGAUCAGUACUCCACCGUUGCUAAACUUGUUACCAGUUAUAUACUAUUCUUAUUCAUGUUUUCAUACCUGAUAUCUCAUAGAACACAGGUUUUUCUUGCAGCUACCAUUUUCUUGUUAACUGUAGUUAGUAUUCUUGAGCAUGACCUACCAAAUGCUGAAUCGUGUUUCGGUUAGGACCAUUGUGCAUAAAAAAAAAAACUGUAUGUCAUAAUUCUGUCCUUCAUUAAAAUCACUGCACAAAGGAGCAUCUUUGGCAAGGAAAGUUCUAACUCAAUCAGUAUUGAACUCAUUACUAGUUACACCAUUCUUAUUCUAGUUUUCAUACCUGUCAUAACUCAUAGAACGUGAAGGCCUAAGGUAGAUUUUUUUUUUUAAUUUUCUCUUUGCAGCUACCUUGUAGCUUCAAUGGGUUUGCAAGUCAUAUGGAGCUUUGGACUUGCAUUAUUAGAUGCAUAUUCCUUGGUCCAAAGGAAGGUUCUCAACAAUUCUAUUUUGGUCAGCCUUUUCGUAGUGGGAGAUUGGGUCAGCCUCCAUAAAAUCUGCUAUGUUAUCAGAUCAUUUUUAGGUCACUAUAUCAGAAAGAGUUGUGUGUUAAUAUUAUUAUGAUUUUAACAGGUAACAGCAACGUUGUCUCUUGCAGCAGCUUCUGCCUCUGCAGGCAUCACAGUGCUCCUGUUUCAAGAUGUGGAACACUGUAGUUAUUUGAAGGAAUGUGAAAAGUACCAAAUAUCAGUUGCAUUGGCCUUUUUGAGCUGGGGAGCUAUUGCAAUAUCAUCUCUAAUUAUGCUAUGGCUACUGGCUGCAGGUUAGACUAUUUGGUCUAAUGGCCUUGAUAUAGAAAUUUUCAUCAUUCUCCAGUGUCAAUACCAAAAAAAAAAAAGGAAAAACAGUAUUCAAAUUGGUUUACACUUUUUCCUAUUUAGUAAAAGCUAAUUAUAUCCAUUUCAUGAUACUCCCAUAACAUUAUAACAUGCGUCUGGAACUGUGGAUAUGCUUAAAUGAAAAGGACUGAGCACAUUUCUUUUUCCUCUCACUUUCCACCUUCCCAAAAAAAGAAGGAAAAAAAGAAAGGCAAGUGUUAAACUGGUGUGAAGCAUAAUUCUAUUAAUCCAUGAUUGACAAACCUCGCUCACAAAAGGAAGCUAAGCGCGAAGUAGGAUGGGCAUCAGAUUCACAGGCGAGCAGCCGAGCACCUACUUGCAAUUGAAAAUAAAUUCAGAAAAAUAAAAUGAAAUGAAUCUUAUGAAUUAAAUAAUGGAGUCUGAUUUCACUAAUUCAACCGUUGGUGGCUACUGAUAAAAUAGUAAAGGUUCCAUGAGAAUCCAAUCCAUGAGAAUCCAAAUUAAAUGUUAUUUUAACAUUACUAUCUAUAUAAUAUUCUGACAUCCAUUUGCAAUGGAAUCAUUCGCUGUAAUGCAACCUGCAGUCUCGGAUGUUAUAGGACAUGAAUAAAGCGCAAAGAUUAUCCGCUUCACUCACCGUUUGCCGACGCUUCUCACGUAUAAGUCCAUCUUGUCUUCUUGAACUGAACUUGUCACUUGCCGCAUACCAUGAACAUCUAAAUCUUAUGAGCUGAAGUGUGGACUUGAUUUAUGAACUAUUAUGAGCUGUGAUACCAUGUAGGAAAAUUUUUUAUGAGCUCAAGCGUGGACUUGAUUUAUAUUGGGCUAGCUUCUUGUUAAAAUGGCCUGGCCUAUUUUAAGUUUACUAGGCCUCCAUAACUUCUGAUUUUUUAUAUCAUUUCCCGAUGUGCAUCUUUCAUUUCCAGCACCUUUUCUCUUGCCUUCACUCUCUGCUUCCAAACAAGAGUUCUAAAAGAACACAGGUCUAAAUCGACGUGUCUGUUGGAUGAUACUAGAUGGCUUUUCUCUGUUCAAUUAAACUAACAUAUGUGUUCAUGUAUUCACAGAAUAUUAUUGAUUAAUCUAGUGACUGAUGCAUUUAAGAGACAGUUUAAUAUUAUUUUUCUUUCAUAUCUUUGCCCAAACAUUAAUCAUGAAACUAUCGAUAUAUCAAAGAGAGUUUGACCAAGAACAUGGUGCUGACAACAACAUGCCGCAAGAAAGAAUUAAAACCCAACUCAUCCAUAUUUUCUUCCAUUAGUGCUAGUUUCUCCUAUGUGAAGAAGGGAAAGAGAGAAGAAUAAUGAAAUGGCUUUGAAAGCAUUCAACAUCGACGACCUUUACAGCAGGUUCAAGCCACAAUUGCUCAUUGUUCUUGCACAAAUUGGCUAUGCUUUUCUUUACUUCAUCACUGAAGCUUCCUUCGAACAUGGGAUGAAUUCCUCAUGUCUACGUACAUCACUUACCGACACAUUGUGGCUGGUGUAGCGAUGCUCCCUUUUGCGUACUAUCUUGAAAAGUAAUAAUUAAUAUGAUAUUGCUGAUGCUGUGUUCAGUUUUCACCUCCUACAAAUUUUAUUCUUCUCGAAGUUCUGUAUGCAAAUGCCUAUAUGAUCUCUUUCUUUCUCCUGCAGAAAACAAAGACCAAAGUUGACGAUACCUCUUUUUGUUGAGAUAUUCGUUCUUUCUUUCCUGGGGUAAUUAAGGACAUAUGUUACAUGUACAUACAUACAUAUACUUAACAUCUCACCUAGAUAAUGUAGCGUGUUCUGACAAUGGCAGGGUUGGUUUGACACUGAACAUGUAUUUUGCAAGCCUGAGAUACACCUCUCCGACUUUUCUUGCAUCAAUGGUGAAUACGAUAGCUUCUUUGACCUUCAUAAUCGCAGUUGCAUCAAGGUAUUAAUUAACAUCCAUACUUUCAACUCAUAAUAUGCGGAACUAUAUAUAUAUAUGCAUUCAACUACAGUUAUUUAGUUUAUUAUUCAUUCAGGUUGGAAGACCUUGAUCUUGGAAAUCCUCGUGGAAUAGCAAAAGUUCUUGGAACUUAAGUUUUCUUGGCUGGUGCAAUGACUAUGACAUUAUAUAAGGGUCCUAUCAUGCAUAAUCUUUGGCAUCCACUUAUCGAUAUUCAUCGAAAGGCUGGUAACAGCCAUGAGAGCUGGUUAAAGGGUUCGAUACUUGACUGUUGCAAGCUGCAUAUCAUGGUAUAUUAUGCAUGUUCAACUCUAGACUGCACCCAUAAGUUUUAUUUUAGUUAUCAGCACCUGCUCCUACUAAGCAGAAAAAUAAAAUCAUAACUCGAUUAGCAGCUUGUUAAUUCAUAUUAAAAAUUCAGGCACUCACCCUGAAAAGGUAACCUGCUCAACUAUCGCUGGCCACAUAGAUGAGCUUUAUGGGGGCCGCACAAUCUGCUUUCUUCGAAGUGGUUGUAGAACAUAGAAAAAGUGCUUGGACAAUUGGAUUCGAUAUUGAUUUUUGGUCCACUUUGUAAGGAGCAAGUCAGGAUUCAUAGCCACUGUCUUUAUGUUGGAUUCUUGCUGAGUACGUAUUAAUUCUUAACUGGAAUCAUAAAUGGCAGGGAGUGGUCUCUGGUUUAGUAGUUUUCAUUCAGCUAUGGUGCACAGAAGUAAAAGGACCAGUUUUUGUGACCAUGUUCAACCCCACUUCAACAACAUUAGUGGCAAUUUUGGCAUAUUUUGUUCUUGGCGAAAAACUAUACCUGGGCAGGUAAUUUAAAAUAAACAUCAUUAAAUACACUUGCGAGCUUAUCAACAAGAAACUAAAAUGUUCAAAAUGUUUGUACUUAUUGCUUGUACAGCAUACUGGGUGCUGUUGCGGUUAUCAUUGGCUUAUACUUGCUGUUAUGAGGGCAAAAGAUGAUCAACGAAUUCAUAGCAAAACACCAGAUCAAUCUCAUUCCUGUAAUGAAGAGCAGGAGGAGGCCAAGAUGCAGUCAAUUCAGUUGAGAGUAAAAUAAAAGCAGGCGAACCUUGAUGUCCUUUGAGAGAUGAAAAGAAAAAAUUGAUGUCCAAUUCAUACCAUGCACAUUCUUUCGAGUUACAAGAAAAUAUACCCAACAGCUUAAUAUAUCUCAUAUUGACAAUUCCAGAUGGCUGCAUUCAAAGAUCUGGCACAGAAGAUAUCAGCUUGAAUAAUUCCAUAUUAUAGAAAUGUGAAUUUAUUCUAGAUCAACAAUUGACAAUUGAUAUUAAAUAAUUCUUUUAAGAAAAUAAUUGUCAUCUAACUACAUGUCUUGUAAAUCCCCAACAAUGCAUUGGUCAAAACCAUUUGGCAAAAAACUGGUUAUAUUUACAACUCAACUGACUGAAAUCGUUGGACGACUCUAAAAGAAAGCAUCUAAUUGUUGACAGGAUAUUAAUUAGACAGGAGGAGAGUCAGAAAGAGAAAGAAUGAAGGAUAAAGAAAAAAUUAUGCAGCAGGGGGCCAGUACUCAUGGUCACGGGAUAUAUCACGGGAAGCUAGAGGUAAUUGCCACAUCGGCAUCAGACCAUAGCCUGGAAAAACUGCCAUCUUGUUCACUCCAGCAUGAUAAGCUGCUGGAUGGGCCGGCAUGAAUCCAGAAGGUGGAACUGCAAUAACCUUCAAUUGUUGUUCCAUCCUUUCUUUAUCUGCCUUUAGUGUGAGUUUCUCCUCACGAAGCUCAUUCUUCUCAGCCUGUUGCAGAGCCACAAAGUUUAGAAAGCUAGUUCUCAUAAAAAUGAAAAAUGACCUACCUGAGUGUAAUCUCACCCAUGGUAACCACACCAAGGCAUCAACCACAUUGAACAAAAUGAUAAUGAUUUACAAAGUCUAAUGAAUUCAUCAUAUGUACAUACAGCCCAAAAUAAAAUAAUAACAAUAAUAAAUAAAACAAGUGCUUAAGAACACUGCUUGUGCUUCAAUAUGCUUUGGAAAUAACUACCUUCAGACUUUUAAUUUCUUCUUGUAGCUUUUCAUUUGUUUCUUUGAGCUCCUGAGCUUCAGUUUUCAAUUGAUUUAAAACUCUAACAGCAUCAUCAAGUAUGGCUGGUUUGUCUAUUCUGGCAGGUCUUCCAGGCUCCAAAACAGAACUCAAAUCCUGAAACCUGCAAGCAUGGUAAACCAUCCUUAUGUCUAAAAGGAAAGAGGCAAAGUUGAGGCCAACUCUCCAGCAGCAUAUCAGUAGUAUCCUACAAAUUUGCAAGCAUGAAAUUAUUUUACCUUGUAAAAAACUAACCUACUCUAGAUAUCUAAAAUAAAUUAUGUUUCAGUAUUAAUUGCAUUCACUUGUGUGCUUUAGCAAACAAAACCAUCAUACAAAGAAAGAAUCUGAUCCAACAAGAAGCGUGCCUGUCAUUUAAUUUCUCUCUCCGCAACUUCUCACGGCAAGCUUUGGUCCUUGACUUGCUGCAAGAAUCACUGCGUCCCCUGGGCAGUAUCAGCAGAAGAAUUAUUAUGAAAACCUCAAAACAAAUUGAUUGACGGAAAAGAAAAGAUUAUGGAAAAUUAUACUAGCUCAUUUGCUAACAAAGGAACCCAAAUGAACCAGAGAUUAGCUGAUUCCUUUUCUGUUUUGGGCAUCAUUAUAGCAGUACUCCUUCUGUUAUUCCUUUCUUUGGCUUAUAUAUUCUGAAGUAUGGAAUACUGACUGGUUAUCUAAUUAGCAAAUCUCUGAAAGUUGAGUUUGUUAUUUUCCAAUUCAUUUUCCGUGUAUGAAGCUACUACUACUACUAGCGACGGCCUUUUUACCCUUACUCUUUUUUCAAAUUACUAGGAACAAAAUUUUAACAAAUCUUAUUUGCAACAUUUCAAAAGUGUGAUUCAGUUGUGAGACAAUCUUUUGAAAGUUUACUGCCAAAAACAGGAAAUUAAAAAUCACAUACAACAAGUAGCCUUGGGAUUCAUCAUGUACAAGUAGCCACUCCAUUGAGAACACCUUAAUUAAGCUGCUCCAAAAACCUCACUCUAAAUUCUUCAAAAUAUUGUGUUGUUCAACAAAACAGGACGAGAAGUUCAUGAAUUAAAAUAAAACAAAAAAAUGAACAGCCGUAACGCGGUCCAAACAAUAUUAGGAUCAUCGAAACAAGAAAUGACAAAGGAAUAUGCAAAUGAAAAUAAUACCUCUUUCUUGUGCAUGGUUUAUCUUGCGAUACAGCACCACCAGAUGAAAAAUCAACAUCCAGGCCACCACUGCAAAUAGUAAUGAUCAAAUAUUAAAUAAAUAAAUAACCAAAAUCACCCGGCCAACGCACAAGGGAAAAAUCUCAUAUAUCUAUGGACAAGCUUAUCAUAUAUUAAAAAUGUCUCAACUUUCUAAUGCUUCUGCGGUUUCUUCUUCAAAUUAUGUGAAAUAAAAAAAUGCAUUGAAUCUAGUAAAGGAAAAUUAUCGCGCAAAAGACAAUUACGAUUGACCAAUUUAUGAGGAACAAAAAUUAAAGAUAAACAAAAACACCCAAGCCAAUUUCAUGAUUGAGGUGUAAAACAAAGCCCUAAUGAAAAGUUAAAAAUAAAAAUUAAGAGAAUUGAAAUACCUUUGAUUAUUAGGCCACAAGAAAUCAGAAGACGUCGUUGUUUCCUCGAUGAAGUUAUAAUCAAGAAAAUCCCAGCAAGAAUUAUCCUCUAAUGAAUCCAUGUCUUACGGGAGGAAUUUUGGAUUUCGUAUAAAGUAAAUAGAUCAAUUCGAACUAGGGUUUUUUCCCCUCAAAACAAAGAUAAGAUGAAAGCAUAACCCAUUUUUUAGGAAAUUCAUUUUGGGGGUUGACGUCAGGGAAAGUCAUGGUAAAAGAUGUCCAAUAGAUUUAGGCCACGUGGAAGGAGUCAAUCCCUAUUGGGUUGCGUGCCGCCGCGUCGCUUUUCAAGGAACGAAUUUUACUGGUUCACUCACUGGUAGUGCAAAGCAUUGAGUAAAGAGCAGCCCAAUACGGAGUCUAGGGUCCAUCCCGGGCUGCGCCCACCAACCCACAAUCAGACUUUUCCUUUUAUUUAUUAUUAUUAUUAUUUGAUUCUAAUAAUGAAAUCUUUCAAAAUUGAUCAGCCAGUAGCGCCAUGCAAAUUGUAAUCUUUGCUCUCAUAUACAUACAUAUAUACUAUUAAAUGAAACUUGCUUAAUUAAAUAACUUUUUAAAAUUAAUAAAAUAAUAUCAAAUUAUGUCAAAAUUAAUUCUUUUAUUAAAUUUUCAGUAAAUAAUAGAUAUGAUAAAAAUAAAUGAUUAAUUUUAUUAUAAAAAAAAAAAGUAAAUUCAUUUAUCAUGAUAAUAUAUAUACUUUAUUAGUUUCAAAAGUAAGCAGUAUUCGAAUUGAUAAUUUAUAUAUUAUUUAUUAAAUUAAAUUAAAAAUAAAAUAAUCACAAGAAAACACCAAUAAUCUAUCUUAAUCUUCAAUUAACACCAUUUAAUUAGUUAGUUUGACAAUAUUAUUUUGUUGCAAUUUUUGCCUAUUUAAAUGAAAAUGAUAAUUUAAGAAAAGCUAGAUAAAUAACAAUAAGCAAGAAGCUAAAAGGAAAAAAAAAAAAAUUCAUAAUAACCCUUCAAUCUAAAGCCCUACUACCACCGGAUGGGUUUACAAGACACAUUCUAAUAAUCAAGGUUCGAUUUUCCCUCUCCUGAAUAAGUACGGACAAAAAAAAUUCACUUUCCACUGGUCCACAGGAGAGGAAUUAGCUUCUGAAAGAACUUCAUUUUGAAGACGAAGGAUUCAUUGGAUUUAUUGAAAAGAUGGGUUUGCCCAUGGUCCCAUACAUAGAAGCACAUGGCUUAACGUCAUAGAUUCAUCGGAGGGAGGAAGGGAGGGAGGCACUGUUAUUCUAAUAUAUAUAUAUAUAUAUUAUUUUCUCUGCUCAUCAAAUAAAUUAAUAAAAAUGUCAGAACAAGAAACUGAAGAUAUGGGUAAUGUAGUUAUACUGUCAAAGUGAUCAACAACCAAUGUGUGGCCAUUGGCUGUACGCACAUGAAUAUUUCUGCAGCCAGGAACAGAUUAGUUAUAUAUAUUUUUCAUUUAGAAUUGAUGCAUCUUCACUGUCCCUGAGUUGGGGUGUUGGACCCUCCAUAAAUUUUCAAUACUGAAAAUUCAACUAAUCUCUGUGUAGAAUAUAUGAUCAUUUGGAUGCUAGAUUAUUACAAGGUGCCUACAGCCUGGAUGAGGAUGCUUUGUUGUCAUGGGACAAUACAGGAACCAUUACCAACCAUGAACAAACAGUAUGCCUUCCUCCUCCACCAACAUUUUGCGUUAUUCAUACAGCUAUUAUAUUAGUUGAAACCGACUAUUCUCUAACUGUGUUAAAAUCACCAGUAGAGUGGACGCGACAUCUUCCUACCUUUUUUUCCAAAUUUUUUAACAAAAAAAGAACAAAAAGAAAAAUAAAAAAAAGGGUACAGCAACAGCUGAAUUCAUUCAGAAUGGGCACAAGAAAGUGGUGGUUUCAGCCAUCACGAUCACGAUCAUGGCUGUUGUGAACACAUUGGCCCAACAAUCAAAUAAAAUUAGUAUUUGAGAUUUCAAUCGAGUAUCUUUAUGUCACAGAUCCUAUGCCUUUUAAAUAACCACAUCUAAAAUCACUAUAUCUUUGAAAAGAUUAAAAAAAAAUAAAGAAAUUUAAACCUUUUUGGCUUUAUGGCUCCAAAUGAACUGGUAAGACUGCACAUCUGGUUGAUCCUCUGCUGUGACCAAAAGAAAAGAAAGUUCUUCUUGGUUUACUAGUGCUACUACAACCUUCAACAGGACUGACCUCAGUAAUUGCUUGCCUGCUCUGCUGAACAAUCUCCUGAAUUGAUAAAUAUAGCUGCCGAUCUGCUGACGAAUCCAGUGAAAAGGAUCUCCUUAUGGGUUGGAUUGCAAAUUGAUCAUCUUUACCUCUAAUAUCAAUACAUUCAUCUCCCAUGCUGGUUAACUUAUUAAAUUUUCUUGCUUUCUGGUGAAGAGCUGAUCCUCUCUGUUCUAAUUUCCUCCAUGGGGAAGGGCUAAUCGAACUUGCUGAUAACUCUCCUGAAUUCAUCAAUCUUUCCUGUGCCGCAAGCAAGGUUUGAUCUGCGGAAUUAUGGUUACCCAAUUCAAUAACAACAUAAUCUUCAUCUCCACCGACGACAGUUUCGCUGUAAGGAUUUGUAUCUUGUGGGGAAGAGCUUGGAGCUAUAACGUUAUCAAUUGGGAAUCUCGUGGUGGUUGAGAUGCUGUUUCUGCAAAGUGGGCAAUUUGCAUUAUUUUGAAGCCAAACAUCAAUGCAAUCAAUAUGGAAAACAUGGCGACAAUUUGGUAUUAUCCUCAGCUUCUCAUCUUCUUGAAACUCAUUCAAGCAAACUGCACAUUCACAUAAACUUCUUUCUCCAAAGUCUCUACUUUUAUUGCCUCCUUUCUUAAACUUGAAUAUUGGGAUUGACCUUAUCACCGACUCAUCCAGUCCACGAGUCUCCAUUGCGGGAGAGUGGCCCAUUAGAGGAUCGUCGUGAUUUCUGUUUCUUGAUAGAGAGAAUCGUCUUAGAACAUCGACGCGGUGCCAGUUGAGGCAGCAUUUGAUGACAAAUAUGUAAUAGCUAACCAGCAAAAAAGCAGUGGCUAAAAUCCCUAUGAUGGCAAUCGCUAUAAUGGGGAAACUUGUGUCUGAAGAAUGUGAAUGAGUACCAAAGAUUGAGGUACUGGUAGUAGGACUUGUGAUUGGAGGAAGAGACUGUGAACUGUAGAUUUUGCUUACAAGAUCCAUGUAAUGGAGGUUUUAGAUCUUGGACUAAUGUAAAACAACAUACGAUUAUGUCUUGAAACCAAUACGAAAUAUGCAAGAAACAGGAAACUAUUAAUUAAAGAAGAAGAAUAAGAGAAAGAAGUGUAGAGUCAAGAAAGAUGCGAGAACGUGGAGAAGAGAGAAAACCCGAGAGGAAACUCAGGUGGUGUAAAUGGGGGAGGUGUGAAAUGAAGCUUUGAAUUUCAAAGAAAAUGUACUUUUGAAACGUUUCUUUUAUGGAGAGUCAGAGCGAAGACUACGCUAGUUGGUGAAUUUCUCUCGUUUUUAGAAGCCAAAGCUUAUGCAGGCUAAUAUAAAAAUGAAGGGGCUUUGAUAGGUUGGACGGCUCUGCACCACCAUGGUCCAUGUUUCUGAAAAGAAAAUUGGAAGCUUGUCAGGGGAGGGUACUGUCGAGCAUCGACCGCGACAACCACCCAUUAUGCACAUUGUUUUGCUGAUUGAAGAACACUAGAAAAAAAUCCUCAAUGAUUUUACAUUAAUUAAAAUUAUAUCGUGAUCACAAGCCGCAAAGAGAUGACAAUAGUCAGAAAUUAUCAGUUAGUUCCACUUUUAAGUUUAAAAUUCUCAUAAUGCUAUUGUGAUGAACUAAUAAUCAAAUGUAGAUACACAAUUUGAAUUAAACAUGUUAAUGGGAAAAUCAUGGGCAGCAAUGAUUUUUCAUACACUCAUUCGCUCUCAAACAUCAUCAAUUAUAAAGCAAGAAAGUCAGAAUCGGCACAUGCGAGCCACCAUGAACAUGUACAUGACAUUGCCCCCCAUUUAUGCAUACAUCAAAUAUAUCUAAUAUCCUUAAUCAAUAUAAUUUAAAAUGAUAACAGCGUUACUCUCAUUCAAAUCUGUCAUGGAGCUGUGGGUCCAAGAUCAAGAGAGAUAACCUUUUUGUCAAUAAAGGACCAAUAUCACACACAAAAGAAAGUCAAAUAGAAAUCUUAUGGACACAUUACACAAUAAAAAAGAAAAAGCAAAGAGAACCGACACCCUCCUGCUCUAGUCCAUGCUUGCGUGUUGACGAAUUUGAGCCAAGCCAAUACGCUUAGGUUAGAAAAAUAGUAUCCACUUUUAGAAAAGAGUGUGUAUGUGCAUUUUACAGUCAAAGCUAUUGUAGACUCUGGCCUCCACUUCAUCGUUGCCUCUGCCAAAUCAAAAAAACUUUUUCCCAACUUGUUGACAAUAUUCUCUUCCAGAUAAAAAGAGAUAUCAGAGUACAGUACACUUCACGGCUAGGACGUAUGGCUGGCAGUGAGAGUCUUCUUGGUCAAAUCGUCUAUUUGCUCUUAAAUUUUGGUUUUUUAGGUGCAGAUUACUUGUGGGAAAUCUCACUGAUUGCAAAAUGUUACAUGUUUGUUUAUCAAACAUCAUUUUUAUUUGGAUUUACCCUCAAAUUAAUUGAAUAAAAAAUUAAUAAUUUUUUUGAAAAAAAUAAAAAAAGCCCUUCUAGAAAUUGGUUUCCUGCUGUUUAUGAUUCCCAUCAGCUCUUGUAUAUAUGUUAUAUGCUUCCAAAACUAAUAUUAUACAUUUCACCAUCUCUAAUUGGUUGGUCUUCAAGUCAGGAGACUUAUAACUUUACUAUCAUAAAUUAUGAGUCAGACCAAGUCAAAGAAUUGAUGAGAAAUCACAACGCAAUUUUUCUAAAAGAUAUUUGUAAGGAACCAACCUGAAAAUUUAAAUUUAAUUUUUUAAUUUUAAAUUAUUUUAAAUUUAAUUAUUCUAAAAUAUAUACCCCUGAUUUUUAUUUCCUAUUUUAAGUCUCGUAUCUACCUAAUAUUUUAGGAGACAUUGACCUAUCACUAACCCAUUUGGCUAGAACCUCUUCCUUUCUAUGUAGUGCCUCACUUUCCUAUUCCCCCUCGGCCCCUCCUCCCAAAAUUAAAGGGGGAAAACCAGGUUGUGCAUUGGCUGGCACUGUUUUUUUUUAACGUAGACUUAAGUGUCAAUUAUUUUUUUUAUUCCUUUUUCCUAAAAACCAUUAUGGUUGAGCCUUUCCCUGGUUUCUCCCAAUGAAUUAUUUCUCAAAGACAUCAAUUUUAUAUUUAAAAUCCAAUUUUUUUUUUUCCAAAAAAUACUAUGCAGUUUUCACAAAUUUAAUUUUAUAUACCUAUUCAACAUUUAUUACUAUUUAAGAUUUUUCAAAAAUAUAAUAAGUUAAUUAAAUUAUACUCUAAUUCAUCAACUUUUAUUUAUCAUUUUUAUAAAUUUUUUUAUCUAAAAUUAUUUAUUAUUUUAAUCAAAUUAAGAUAUAUUUUCUCUAUCCUAUAAAUUUAUUUUAAGUUAUUCCUUCAUUAUUUAAGUUAAUUUUACAUACUAUUUUUAUUAUUAAGUGAUUUUUUUUUUAUUUAUCUCAUUUCGUUAUUAAUUUAUUUAUAUAAUUAAAAUUAUAUAAAAAUAAAUUUUAAUAUAUUAAAAUAUUUACUUUUUAAAAAAAAAUUCAAAUUUUAAUAAUAAAUAUGUAUUAAAAUAUUAUAUUAUUUUAAUAAUGUUAUUUUUUUAUAAAUUUAUAUAUUACGAGAAAUAAAAUUUUUUAUAAUAAAUAUUAUUGAAAGUCGUGAUAAAUCAUAAAUAAUUUAUAAAUAAUUUAAAUUUAUAAAUAUUGAUGAUGAUAUUAUUAAAAAUAUUUUUUAAUUAAUAAAAAUAAAUGAGAAUAAUUAUAAUUUAAUUAUAACAUUUAUUUAUUUUUUAUAAAAAAUUAUUUUUUAAAUAUAUAUUUAUUUCAUAUUUUUUUAUUUUAUAAUUUUUAUUUAUUUUAAUUUUAAUUUCUCAUAUAUAUUAAGAAAGAUAAUUUAUUAUUGAUUUUUUAAUUAUAUUCAUUUAAAAAUAUUAAAUUUUAUUAAAUUCUAAUAAAUAUUUUAAAUGUUUAUUUAGAAAAAUAAUAAUUAAUAAUAGGUUAAUUUAAAAAUAAUAUAAAAUUAAAUAAAAUUAUAGUAAUUAAUUAUAUAUUACUAUAAUAAAAAAAAUAAAUAAUAAUUUUAAACAAUAAUAAAAAUAAUUAAUAAAAUAAUAUAUUUUAUUUACUUUAAUUAUUUAUUUAAUCAAACUCUGGAAUUAAAUUUUUAUAUCAGUCAAAGUUCUCGAUCUACUUUUUAUUUAAAAAAUAUUAUUUACAGUUAUUCUAUUAUAACUAAUCAAGUUUAUAUCUAUAUCAUAAUAAAUACAUCUAAUUUCGUUGGUGCUCAAUUACGAAAAUAAGGACCAUCAGUUAAGUGCCACGUGUAAUGGGAAACAAUUAUGACGAUCAAAAUCACCUGGGUAAUUACAUUGGCAGCGAUGCAGUCACGUGCGUGACACAGGGCACCAAAAUUUAAUUUUGCAGAUUCUAGGACACAAGCAGUCAACUCGGUCAAAACGUUGACAAAUGUGGGAUCUGUGAUUUUUGUUUUAAUAUAUAAACUUCAUAUAUUUAAUAAAUUAUUUUAUAUUACAUAAUAUUAUAUUUAUGGUGAAUUUAAAUUUUAGAAAAAAAUCAUAUUUUUAUAAAAUAUUUCAAUUAUAACAUAAAAACAGUAAUUUAUAGGCAUCAUAUAAAAUAAUAAAUUAAUAAAAAGACACAUAUACUAUGUAAAAAAAUAAAUAUAAAAUUAUUAAAAUUAAAAAAUAUAUAUAUUUGUUAAUUUUUUACUAACCCCUCAAAUAAAUUCGAAGGGUGAGAGGGGAAGGGAUAGAUCAUGUUCCCCUAAUUAGAUGAGAUGAGUAAUCUUAUGGUCUCGGUUUCAGAUGUGGCCCGUAUGACUGGUUCCACAAUACUUUGCAUGCCCAAGUUCAAUGGGCUUCACUUCAAAACCGGUUGAGCGCUUUGUUUUUUUUUUUUUCCUAGGUAUAAUGCAUUAUAUAAAGAGGAGUUUUUUUUUUUUUCAAAUGAGAAUAGAGAUAGUAAAAUUUAAAAUUUUUUAAAUUUAUUUAAAUAUAUUUAUCAUCGAAUUAAAUUUAUGAGUGUAUAUAUGAUGUGAAAGUAAAAAUUAAUUAUUUUAUAUAUUUUCAUAAUAUUACUCGCUAAUUUACUUGAAAUUAAUUUGUGAGUACAUAUACAAUGAGAAAACAAGCAGAAAUUAAUUAUUUUAUAUAUUUUCAUAAUAUUAUUCGUUAAUUUACUUAAAGUUUCACAUUUAAGUCAUUUUUAAUAAAAUAAGAGAUACUUAAAUAUUAAACACCUAAUUAACAGUAACAAAUGUACCUUGACAUUCCCAAUCUAAGUCAAACUAAGUACUCAAUUUGUCGAAUGUCUGGCAACUUAGUUUUUCAAUUUGUCCUAUCCAUCACUCAAUUUAUAAAUUAUUACAAAGCGUAAUUAUUAAAUCUGGAAUAUCUCCUUGCAAGGAUUUUAGAAUAAUUACAUGCAUGUACAUUCAUUCCAUCCUUUAUUUCUUUUCAUUUUCUUUUUUCUUUUUUUUUUAAAUCGAUCUAUAUACAAUUUUCAAAUUAGGUAUAAUCGAUCUAAAUUUCAAUUUAAUUAUUUUAACAUAUUAUGUGAUCAGAAAAAUGGUAAUCAAGGAAGUCAUAAAUUCCAUCCUUAUAGAAUCUCUUUUUAAGAAAAACAAAUCAGUGCAAUGGAUUAAUUAGCAAGUUUGGAAGAGGCUGCAAGAUGCAUACCCAUGUGGUGAGAUUAAAUUAAUUUUCUUAGGGUGAGAGAUGCUUGACCUUUCUAAGUUAUAAGAUUAGCCAAAUUCCGAUUCCUGCACUAUAAAGAAAAGAAUCAAAUCAAAUCAAAUGGUUAUAUUAUGGAACCCACAACGUUAUUCUAGGCUACUGUUCUUUUACUUUCUUUUUCUUACAUCUUGAGGUUGGUGUCUGGUGAUCUUUCUAAGAAUCCAUUUUAGAUUUUGAUGAUCACUGGAUUUCACUAUCUCGAUUCGAGGUCUGACCAUAAUGACAAUCCAUUACUUGAAGGUUCUUAAGCCCCCCGCAUGAAUCAGGUCCAGCCCACUCGGUCUCAAGACCGAACUCCUUCUUAAGCCUCUCAAGUCGGGCCGGCCCAGUCCUUUCAGCCCAAAGUUCAGACCUCCCCUGGGCCUCAGCCCUAAUCUCACCUAUCAGCCCAGUCCGGAGGAGAAAAGGUAGCCAGCCCAUUCGCCUUGUGGGUCCAUUCGCAUGCGUGCCAGAGGGAAUUAAAUGGCCGUUACGCAUGGAGCAGAGAUCUGAUAUUCUCGUACGUCCGUAUCCGUAUGGCAGAGACAGGUGGUCCAAUGGCAGUGAGACCGUUACACGUCACUGACAGGCAAACGAAAAGAAUAAAAGGGGAGAAGUAUUCUCCUAUCAGACUAAGCUUACUCAACCCUUGUAAAACCCUAUUUUCUGAAUAAUAGAUCAUCAAUUGGCACCGUCUGUGGAAACGAAGGAGAUCUUUUCAUUGCCGGAGUUCCACUCUUAGAAUACCGACUGAGAUCCACGAUGGCCAACCAUAAUGAAAACAACCUUGCUAACACCUCCAAUGACCUGAACUCUGUCCAGGAGGGGCAACAGUUCUCUUUCUCCAGUCCUACAACUCCUAACAACCAACCACCAAUCUCUUUUAAUCCCUCACCAAGCUUGGCAGGGAAUGUACCCGGAGCUACCUUAUCCAACCAGGACCUCCAAGCCAUGGCCCUUCAACUACAAAACACUGCCCACUAGCUGGGGCAGAUGAUGCAGCAGAGGGGCCUCAGCACACCAAUGAAUGUGUUGCCUGUGGUGGAAGAGCCCCGAACCAACGAACCUCAGCCUACCUUCAACCAUCCUCAAACAAACAGUAGAGAAACCGGAGAAAGGGGGAGAAGAGCCGAGGGAGAAGAAGAACCAGAGGCUAGAGUUCAUGGAAGGAGGGUGAGGGAGUUGAUAGAGAACGAUGACGUAGACAGUUAUUCUACCAGAACAACCAAGAGGACGGAGAGUGAGGCGCAGGAAGAGGAGUAUCGUCUGGAGAAGAGGCCCAUACAAGAAGAAGAGAAUGUAGAUCAGAAACUGUAGAAACUAAGGGAACAGCUCCUAGUCGAGUUGGGGGCGAAGGACCACAACCAGACUCUCUUGCCCACCUCUUCACCUUUCUCGAAAUGGGUGCAGCAGGAGACCAUCCCCAAGAAGUUUAUGAUGCCACCCAUGGCAGCCUAUGACGGAGCGGGAAACCCAAGGGAGCACGUCCUCAACUACAAGACCUUCAUGGAGUUGCAGACUCUGUCGGAUGCCUUAAUGUGCAAGGUAUUCCCCACCACGCUUACGGGGCCAGCACGGGCGUGGUUUAAUAGUCUAGAGGCUGGAAGUAUCAGAAGUUUUGGAGACUUAGAUAACCUCUUCAUCAGCCGGUUCAUUGCCGGAGUGCCGGCAGACAGAAAGACGAGCUACUUGGAGACAGUCAGGCAGAGGAGGAAUGAGUCUUUAAGGUAGUACGUUGCCCGUUUAACACGGAGGCCCUGCAGAUCCCUGAGCUAGAUGAAAAUCGAGCUGUGGAAGCAAUGCAAAAAGGGACGACCUCCCCAGAGUUCUUUGGCUCGUUAAGCAGGAAACCGCCGACCUCGCUGGCAGAGCUGAUGAAGAGGGCGGAGAAAUACAUAAGGCAGGACGAUGCCUUAGUAACAAGCAGAUUCGCAAAAGAGGCGGCAGACAGGGUAAAAGCCCCAGAAGAAAGGAGGCCGGAAAGGCAGGAGAAAAAGCAAGGCAAGAGGCCCGAGCAGUACAGACAGCCUUGGGAUCGAAGGGACCAAAGACCCUUCCCCCCUCGAGUUCCAGAACAAAAGCCGUUUCCCCCGCGGAUUCCAGAGAACCUGAUCCCACUCAAAGCCUCUAGAGCCGAAGUGCUCAUAGCAGUCCAGAACAAGGAGUUCCUCCAGUGGCCGAAACCAAUGAGGGCUAAGGCGAGCCAACGAGAUCCCGACAAGUACUGCUAGUACCAUCGCACGCACGGCCAUGACACCAAUAACUGCUACCAGCUGAUCAGUAAGAUUGAGAGGCUGAUCAAAAGGGGUCACUUGCGGAACUUUGUGAAGAAGCCAGAGGGAGAAAGACCUCAGCCGAACCCUACAGCAGAGAGACGCAGGAGGACGGGAGCAGGGUCGGUGAAUGAUGGUUCCAGUGGGACCAUCAACAUGAUUGUGGGAGGAACGGGAGGUCGGAUGAGCAGGAGAGGAAGAAAGAGGAGCCGAGAUGGGGAAGGCAGCAGUGUCGAGGUCAUGCAGGUAGCUGAACACUCUCCAGUGACCAUCUCCUUCUCUCUGGAGGAUUCCCAGGGCGUUCAAAUGCCUCACGAUGACGCUCUUGUCAUCGAAGCUGUCAUCCACAACUACCGGGUUAGGAAGAUCUUGGUGGAUGACGGAAGUAAGGUGAAUUUAUUGCCGUACAGAGUCUUCCAGCAGAUGAGAAUCCCCGAGGAACAGUUGGCCGACCAAAUCAGACUCUCUCUCUCGGCAAUUUCGUCAAGCUCGGCGCAAAGGGCAGAAUUCAAUUCUGCAAUUCUUCGGUUCAUUCGUCCUUUCUCUUUUCCUUUUAAUUUAUGUUUUAAUUCAGCCAUGAGUGGCUGAAUUCUUCUAUUCUAGUUGAAGAUUGGUUGAAACUAAGGUUGUUUUAUAGAUUGUGAGAUCUGAACAUAAACUAUUUGUCUUUGAUUUGUUCAAUAUUCAUACAAUUUGGUGGUUGAAUCUAUGAUUACUUUGUUGUUUUGAUCAAAUUGGCCACUUGAUUCUUGAUUGCAAGGUAAUUGAUUGUUAGUUGGGAUAAUUUUUAGUCUGUAAUUACUGGAAUUAUUCUAACAUAAAAACACUUGAUGUAAUAACUAAGGAAUUGUAUGAUCUAGCAACAUCUCCAUGCGUUUGGGUAGCUAGGAUUGGGUCUCUCUAUUUCUUCAUGCAAUUGACAAUUGUUUUGAUGCCUAAGACCCAAGGACGUUCCUUGGCAAUUUGUUAAUUAGUAAUUGAUUAGAGGACGUUCCCUAAUUGAUUUAAUCAUAAGGAGAGACAUGGUGGUGAGAAGUGUUUUCCAUCACCAUAACUAAUCUAUUGAAUCAAUCAAAAGAACAUAAGUUUCAAUGAUCAAUCCAAACAACCAAAGUGGAUCCAUCUCUUCAACUAGACAUUUCUCAUAUUGAAUUUCUCUUUUAUUUCUAUUACUUGCUUAUUUAAUUGCUUUCAGUAGUGUGUUAAUCAAAUCAACCUCAAAACCCCCCCUUUUACUUUUAUUGCAUUUUACUUUUGUUCCGCUUUCAGUUACUUGCUUUCAGUUGCGCUUUAAGUUAAUUCUCUUGACCUUGUUGAGAAAAAUAGAUAAGUUUACAAUUCUCUGUGGAUUCGAUCCUUUACCACUAUCUGCAGUUGUAAAAUUAUUGAUAACUGGAAAGGUUAUUUUUGACCGGCUUCGACAACCGCGAGUCAGCAGGAGUGUCAGAAGGGAGGGGACGCUUGCUCGCGACCCUCUCAACAGCUCCCUCCAGGGUAGUUGAUGUCUUCUCUCGAGGUCCGGACUCCACCUCCCCAGUAACAUAGGCGACCUCAAGAGGAGUUUCCUGGACAUCUUCGCCAGCGGGGAUAACUUCCAUCCCAGGAACCCUCUCAUCAGUUGUGGAGGCCUCGGGAGCUUGGCUUGGGAGCUUGGGAAGGAGCUGGAGCAGGAGGCCGGCUAGCCGACCUGGAGGAAAUGACUUCAGCCACCCUCUGAGCAGUCUCUCCCACAGAUUGCCCAGCUCGGAGGGCGUCCAAAGCAGCAUUCAUGCUCUCCCAAGAUAGCGUGAAGUUCUUCAGGGGCUUGAUUUGGUCCAUUUUCACGUCGAAAGCUGCAAAGAUUCAAAACCAGAACGAAUUAGAACGGCCCUCAGUAAAAUCGCAAAGACAAGACAAAGCAAUUAAACGAAAUAAAGUACCCGCGUCCUGGAUAUCCCAAAGAUUAGACGCGAACAUACACUUUUCGACAUCAUACUUCUUUUCAACAGAAGUCAGUCGAAUGUACUCGACCUGCUCUGUAAGGCUCAGCUGGUGCAGGUCGUUGCAACCUAGAGGGACAUCCUCCCAGGAGAGAUCCGCCUCCUAAGACAACCCGAACUCCUUCUUCAGCUCAACCACCGCGAAUCCCUCCACCCAGCCUUUUAUCGAGCCUUUAUGACCCGAGAAGAUUGACAGCCCCCCGCGAGGGGCAAAGUAGUAAAAACCUUAGCUUGCCUUGACUAGCCUAAAGAAAGUGACGAACAGACGCGCCGUGGGUGUGAACCUCCAGCUCAGACAAAAAGAUUCAAAAGAAGACAUGAAAAGAAUGGAAUUAGGAGCCAGCAUUCGAGGGGUUAUCUCGAAAUACCGGAAGACCUCAAUAAAGAAAGGAGAGAAGGGAAAUGUUAAGCCAUACUCCCUUUGUUUGGCAAAAAAGAUCAGGCUAAGGUCCUUCUGUGGGUCGAUUAGACUAGAGGGAGGAAGAUCAAGAAGAACAAUCCUCUCAUUCCGGUAGGGAGCCCGAAUAUGAAAAAGGGGGGGUAUCUAGGUAUUCCCUGGAAAAGAAGUUUUUGAGGGUGGAUGGAGUGAUACUAGACUCUAGGUUAAGGACAUCAGGGAGCUUUGGGCCUUCCAUGGAAAAAUGAAGAGCGUACCUGGAAAGCGAUUAGAGCAGAAGGAUGGAGCAAGCGAAGCGUGCAGAGAACAGAGGAGAGCAAAAGUUUUGAGAAGACUGAGAGAAUUUGAAAAUAUGAAACAACAAUGAGACAAAGAGGUGUUCUGAAGAAAACUGUCCUUGGGUGGCGCAGUCAUUAUGAUUCUCGAUAUUUACCCCCUCAUCAUUCGUACAAUAGCUGAUGAGAAGGUAAAGGGGCAAUUGAUGACCGCUGGAUUUCACUACCCCGGUCUGAGACCUGACCUAUGACGACAACCCAUUACUUGAAGGCUCUUAAGCCCCCGCAUGAAUCAGGUCCAGCCCACUCGGCCUCAUGACCGGACUCCUUCUUAAGCCUCUCAAGUUGGACCGGCCCAGUCCUUUCGGCCCAAAGCUCAGACCUCCCCUGGGCCUCAGCCCUAAUCUCACCUAUCAGCCCAGUCCAGAGGAGAAAAGAUGGCCAGUCCAUUCGCCUUGUGGGUCCAUCCGCAUGCGUGCCAGGGAGAAUUAAAUGGUCGUUACGCAUGGAGCAGAGAUCUGAUAUUCUCGUGCGUCCAUAUCCGUAUGGCAGAGACAGGUGGCCCAAUGACAGUGAGACCGUUACACGUCACUGACAGACAAAGGAAAAGAAUAAAAGGGGAGAAGUAUUCUCAUCUCAGACUAAACUUACUCAACCCUUAUAAAACCAUAUUUUCUUCAGAUCAUCAGAUUUCAAAAAUUGAAUAAAGCCUUUCCAAACCCUAGUCCCUGCCUUUAGUUCAUCUAUUUGACUUGGUUCCUCUUAUUGUCCUUUUUAAUUAAUAUUGUCUCCACCUGUCAUUCUCCCACUGAGAUCAGAUCUCUGUGUGUUGGGAUAAAAAAAAAAAACAUUAAAAUUUAAGAUUUCUCUAUGUUGGAUUAUUGACAUCAAGGGACUUAAUUAUUAUACUCUUUUAUAUAUAUAUAUAUAUAUAUAUAUAUAACUAAAAAUAAACCUCUCAAACAAAAACUCAAAAAUAAAUAUAUAUUAUGAUGGAAUUAAAUCUGUGAUUACACAAAAUAUAUUCCGAGUAGUUGGUCGACGGAGAAAAAGUAAAGUUGAAAACAAACACUGCCGCCCUGAAAUAAUAGAGGAGAGGGGAGGUAGCAGAAUAGAAUUUUAAUUACGUUACGACCAGUGAGAGGAGUAGAAAAAGGAAUAAUUCAAUUCUCGCAGAAUUUAAUUAGAAGGGUUAAAACCAAAGAAAAAGCAAAAGCAUAAUAAGAAGAAAUGAAGAAUGAGAUCAGCUGCGUAUGCAUGUAUGACUUCAAUAAUUGACACACACUCGCGACGAUAAAGCUUCAAUAAAUAAAUAUUUCCUUUCAUCUGUUUUAAAUCAUAGACCAUUUUCUUUUUUAAUAAUUUAACAAAUAAUUAAAUUUAUUAGUCUUAAAAAUAAUUGAACGAGUAAUAUGAGUAAAAGACUACAUUAGAAAAACCAAUAUAAAAUUUACUAUUUUAAUUAUAUUUUUUUAAUUAAUAUGAAAAAAAUAUGUCCACCAUGGAAUAUAAAAAUAUGAAAUAAAAAGUGACAGAACAUAGUGUGAAAAGGGCUAUGAGCCUGAAAGCCAUCACCUUGACCAUCCAGGUGCAAUGGACUCAAACCCAUAUCUCUUACUCCAUAGGCCAUUUAGAAACUUCUCCUGGCCAAAGUUUAAAUGGUUCUAAAACCACUAGCUAGAUUCUCCACGUGGCUAAAUACUGUUUGACCUUCAAGUCUGGCCAAAUCCAGGUGGUAUAUAUAUAAUAAUUUAGAAGUGCAGCUUCAGCCAUGCAAAAUCGUGGAACACAAACAUGGAUGAGGACCGGACAAAUGCCAAGGAACAAGCAACAGCAGGAGAAGUUAAGUACAGAGGCGUUCGAAGACGGCCUUGGGGCAAAUUCGCUGCGGAGAUACGCGACUCCGCACGCCAAGGUGCACGUGUAUGGUUAGGGACUUUCAACACGGCGGAGGAAGCAGCAAGAGCGUAUGAUCGAGCAGCUUAUGCAAUGAGAGGCCAAUUAGCCAUUCUUAAUUUUCCUAAUGAGUACCCUCUUGCAAGUGGUGGUUCUGCUAGUUCUUCUACUUCUUUGUCUGCUUCUUCUUCCUCUUCAUCAUCAAUGCGAAACCAAGUUAUCGAGUUGGAGUACCUGGAUGAUAGAUUGCUGGAGGAAAUGCUGGAGCAAGAAGAACAAAAGAGCAAGAAAAAGUGAAGCAGCUAUUCUCGCGUGACGCUAGGAUUCGCCAUCUUUUUAUUUAACUAUAAUAAAUAAUUUUCUCAAGUCUUGAUCAGUUUUAAUGUCUCCCAGCUGAAAUUUUUUAGGAAUUAUUAAAUGUUCAUGAAAUAACACCUUAUCAUGCAAGGUGGUAUAAAAUUAUUGUAUAAUUUAAAAUCACCUACUAAGCUCAUAUCAUCUCCAAAGUUUCAUAAUUUAAUCAUAAUGUUAUUAAUUUGUUUUACCACCUCAAUACGAAGUGAUAGUUAUUCAGGUGCACCCAAUAAGUUUUCUUCUUCUUUACCAUUUUUGCUUUUUUUUUUUUUGUUAUUGUAUGCAUAUUGUAAAAUUUUACAUUAUAUGUAAGUUUAGUAAAGAGAAAUCACCCCUUUCUUUUUAUUCCAUUUCCUUUUGUUUACUAAUAAUAUAUAAUCGUCUUUCUCCUACAGUGCUAUUUAUCAGGCCGUACGUACGAACAAGUGAGAGCACAUUUCCACGUCAGCCGGCCAUUUAAUUCAUCCCAACGCACAUGCUGGUAGGAUUAUGAAAUGACUGGACCAGCUAUUAUACUCCAUGUCAUAUCACAUAGCUAGGUUAUCUCCUACUGACCCGAGCUCAUGACUGAUCCAGUCUGCUCCACAUCGCCAAGCUAGAGUUCGUGACAUUGAAUUGGUCUGCUUAUUAAUGAUCUGAUGGAUUUUGGACCUAUAUUUUUCUUCUAAACUGGCUUCACCACCAGAUAUAAGAAACCUGACGAUCAUCACGUAUUAUCCUUUUCUUCAUAUUACUUUGAAUUUAUAGGAUAUGUGCAGAUUCCCAAAAUAGAGAAAACAAAAACUAAGAAUUUGAAAAAAGAAAAGAGUUUUAAACUAUAUGUACUUUUCUAGAAGGCAUCUUCAAGUGAAAUCCCUAUCAAGAAUUUUUGUUCUUCUUCUUGAGGAAGGUUACCUAACACUAUUCUUUUUCUUUAUAAUAUGACGCAAUAAUUUGCUUUAAUUGGAAAAAAGAAAACUUGGGUAAAGAACAACCAACAAGAAAACAGAAAACCAACUAAUUAAUUAGUUACAUUCAUGCUAAUUAAGUGGUGAAACAGCGGCAAGUGUUGUAUGGUGCAUGACCUGAACUAUGAUUUAAUUUAGUUAACUACAAAUUAUCAUUAAUAACUCGUUUGACUGAUUAGGGCUGGAGUUAUUUCAUGAUUAAGGAACACCACUGGCUAGCUUUUGUAAGCAUUUGGGAGUUUUUUAUUUGUAUUUGUAUAUUUGUUGAUUUACAAAUUAAGUCUACUCAAUACACUCAAGUGAAAAAAUUUAAAAAGAAAACAUCCCAAUGAAAAUGGCUAGCAAAGCGGAGGGAGAAACGUAAACUAUCACAAUACAAAUAUAAAUGUAGCAAUCUUUUAUGUAUGGUAGGAACGUAGAGGUAAUUCACACGAAAGAUAAGCAAGAUUAGGUUAAGCUCAAGAUUAAAAGUAAACUAACCAAUAUAAGCCAGGAUGAGUUAUGCUAUUUGGCUCAUGGAGAUAUAUCUCAAUGGCACAAUGCGGAAAUUUUAUAUUUAUCGACUCUUAACAUCUGUUGGAAAGGAUUCCUACAAUAUUUGUCAUGCAAAAGAGCUUCAACGUAGUUGUAAUCAGAACACAUAUAUAAAAUGAAGACACACUUCGCCACCAAACUAGCUACACACAGGUAAAGACAUGCCCAGGGUCCUGAACAUAGACACAACAUGUCCAAACAGCAAAAUAAACAACACAAGCAAAUAGAACAAAAAUCAGCAAAAAGCGUCUCAAAUAAGCUCCAAAAAGUGUAGAGGCUCUAAGUCAAGUACAUGAUAGGAUUAGCAUACGAUAAAACAGACUUCAGUCCGUCCAAGGCAAGCAAUUGAACCAAGACGACAACCACACUAGAAUAGACAUACACCAGCGAAAGCAAUGCAGACCAACCACCUGUGACUCCAAUAAACAGAAAAAGUCACAACCGAUUUAAUUAUUUAAUGUACAACCCAUCAAUUAUUUCAAUUAAACUUAAUUAUUCUUAUAAAAGAAAAAAUAUAUUGAUAUUAAAGAUGAUAACAAUUUUGAAAAGAGAGCUAAAGCAGAUAUAUAGAUAAUGUUGUUAAGUAAAGAGUCAUCUGAUCCAUUACAUAAUAAGUGGUUGAUACUGGUCAGAUGACUGUGUGUUAGGGUAACAGGGAACAUUAACAAGUAAUUUAAGUGUAUAAGGGAAUCUCCAAAUGGAAACACUUAUGAGAUAAAAGGUAGAAAUUUGUUAUGACGCUUACCGCAAUUCAUAUGCACAAACAUUAGUCCUCUGGAGGUAGCAUAUUGAAGCAUAGAGCAACCAACAUAUUCAAAAUAAAAACCAUGCGAUUCUAGGAGAUCACAAUGUAAUUAAGAAAAUUAAGGAUAAACAUACGGUCAUUUUGUAUGAUUCUUAAUUAUUUUAUAUAUUAUGUUAUUUUCAAUUAAAUAACACAUUCAUUAUAAAAUAUUCAUAAUUACUAUUAUAAAAUAAAAAUCUUGAAUAUAUGAAAUGUACAUUUAAUAAUUAGAUUAUUUAUUUUUAAUUUUAAUUUUAAAAAAUAGACAAAAUUACACUCAAAUAUAAAUAUUUAGCUAAUUUAUUUAAAAUUUAUAUAUCAAAUAAUUAGAAUUUUUUUUACUUUGUAAAUGAUUUAUUCCAAACAAAGCUUAAGAAUUUACUACUAAAAGCAAGUAUGUAGGCAUCUUUCAAUAGCGUCAUUGAGUCACCGAUUGACAUUCUGAUUUGUGCCCUAUCUAUGUGUGCAUUAUCUUUGUAGCAGAAGUUCCAUCACAUCCUUGAGUUUGGCAUCUCUAAAAUAUACCAAUUUGAUAUCUUCAACUUUAUCUUGAGAUUUGCUAAUGCUAGCUACAAGUAUUAGCAUGUUAAAUAUUCACAAUAAUGGAAGAAAGAUUUUACUUUUACUUUGAUUAUAUUUAUUUUGUAGCUUUGGCAUGUAAUUAUCUAGAUCACUAUAUAUGACUUAAGCUUUUAGAAACUGCUAUAUAAAGCAAGUAAUCUUACAAUUGGUAUCAAAUCAAAAAGUGAUUUGCUUUAUUGAUCAGAUGCUUCCUUUAAUUCCACCACUUGUUUUAGUCUCUGAAUCUGCUACAAGCAAUGCUUUCUCUCAUACUCAUAUUCAAAGGAAACUUUUUAUAGUAGGUAUCCACACGUGAGCCAAUAAAGACAGAUAUAAUAUAUCAUGAUUUCUGUAUUGAUAGAUCCUGAUCUUUUUCCCCUGGAAGAGAUGGAAAUAAACAUUUAUUAAUAAGCAACCAAAUUAUAGCAACUUCAUUUAUUCGAUCUUCUACCAUUUUGAUAUCUAUUUAGCAUUUUCAGGGAAUUUUUUUUCCUAAACUUCAUCAUUUUCUAGGCAUAAUCAUACGUUCUAAUAAUAAAUAAUUUGAUACACAUUAUGGAUUCUGUUCCAUGACAUUGGUUUUCAUUGAUAAACACCUUAGUAUUGCCUGUUUUUCUUCCCUCCCGCUUCAUAGGAUUAACUAGCCAAAACUCUGUCAAAUAUUAUCAGAUUUAAAUUCUUUUAUAAAUGCUUUAUUCAAAACUAAUUCAUUUUGAAUUUAUUAUGAAAAGAAUUGAAUUUAUUAUGAAAUCCUUUGAUUUUAAACUAGAGAAAAUAAGAAAAGCAGCUAGAUCAUAAACAAAGAAAUUGUAAAUGACUAUGGCAGUAUGAUUUUCACAACUUAGGAACUGAAUUAUCAGGGUGGGGUGUUCAAUUUCUAACCAAACAAACAAACCAUAAAUUGCCAACGAUCUCAUUCAUGCCAUUAAAAUAUAUAAAACCUCUCAUGAUUAUGUGAAAAUUAAGGAUGAGGGAUUAGUUAAUUAGGCUCAAGAGCUCAAGAAAACCAAUAACAAAACAAACUUGAAGACCUUAAAAACAAGAAAUGAUACAGUAGUGAUCAAUCCUGUCGUCGUUUCUUCUUCUCCUCUUCUGAUUCAAGAAGCUCCUCCAACACCUUGUCAUCCAAAUACUCAAACUCAAAAACUUGCCUUUCUUGCCUGCCAGAAGAACUUCCCCUCUCGGAGCUCUGGCUUGCAACAUUAUUAGUACUAGUGCUGCUAAAUGAUGAUGAUGAUGAAGAAGAAGAAGAAGAAAACGACUGAUGAGGUGGUCGAGGAGAGAAUCCCAUAACUCGAGGGUAAUACUCACUUGGAAAAUUAAGGGUUGCAAGAUGACCUCUCAAGUUAAAUGCUGCUUUAUCAUAAGCACGAGCAGCCUCCUCUGCAGUAUCAAAUGUUCCAAGCCAUAACCUUGCUCCGUGUCUCGUAGGAUCUCGAAUCUCCGCAGCAAAUUUUCCCCAUGGCCUUCUUCUGACGCCCCUGUAACGCACUUCUUCGCCUCCUUUCUCUUCCUUGUCCUUCCCUCUGUUGUUGCUAGGGCCUUCCAUAAGAUACCGAUGUUUAACGUAGGGUUUGAAAACCCACCUGCUUGCUCUAAAAAAGUUGGUAGUUUGGCGAGUCUAAUAUACAAGGGGUGGGGUCAUAGUUGAUGAUUCUAUGUCUAUGAAUGUGAAUUCUCAAGAACGUGGAUUUGACUAUAGAUCAAUUGAAACAUAUUUCUAUUUCUUGGAAGGUUCUCAGCAGCACAAUGUAAUUUUGAUUGUUAAUAGUUGCAAGGAAUAGCCUUUUUUUUAUAGUAUGGAUCUGUUUUCUCUCUUUUCUUUUGAAGAUUAAGAAUAUUAUGCACAAGUAAUAGUAUAGUUUGUCCCAGUUCAUGGGUAUUCCAAAUAAUUCCAUCAAGAUCUUGAUCGCUAGCUCUCCUUUUUAUGAUACCCAAAUCACAUGGACAUAUUAGGUUUGUUGGAUUUGGACCCACCAUUUCCUUUUAUGAAUUAAAUUAGAAAAGACAAUUCAUAUAUAUACUUUUUAACGUGGUGAUUUUGUUUUAUGUAUUUUUUUAUUUUAAGUAUCUAGAAAAUAAAUUUACUAAUAUUAUAAUAAAAUUAUAUUUUUUUUAAAAAUAAAAAUUAAGAAGUAAAAAAAAAUAGAAUUUGAAAUCUCUCAAAUUUAAUUAGAAUAGUUUAAAUAUAUUUUACUCAUUCAGAUUUUAGCAGCUGACGAUAAAAUAAAAACAUUAAACUAUUUUGUAAAUAAAAUUAAAAAACAAAUAAAAAAUUCAUAACGGGAAAAUAAAAAUAGAAAAGAACGGCGGCGUUUUGUGCUAAAGGGCGGCCCAACAGGUAUUAAAUCUGUGGAUCCUGGAGUCAUGGCUUUUCCAUGUAAAACAAAGCCCACGCUGGACUUCUAACUUUGGAUUUUAAGGGUUUGGUAUUAAAAUUAUAAAUAAAUAUCUUAUUAAAUAUAUCAGCUAAAAAUAUUUAUUAUUUUAUUUAUACAUAUUUUUAAAAACAAUUGUAUAGUUAAUUGAGAAUUGAAUUAAGGCUUUAUAGUUUUGAAACUAUAAAACACGAAAAUUUAAUAAAAAAAUUAUAUUUUUUAAGAUAUAAAAAAUAAAAGAAAUAAAAAUUAUGAAUUUUAAUGACUUUGAUUCACUUUAGUAUCUUAGCGGUGUGUCCAAAUUUACAAUAUUUAUUGUGGUAACCGUCGAAAUGAAGGAGGCUUUUAUUCAAUGUUUUGUUUGUAGAGUACCUGUUCUCGUUCUUGAAAUUCUUCCGUAGACUCGACUCGCGCAGGACACCUUUUAAACAAGUUCCGUGUCGCAAACGACGACAUUGUCAUCAUUAUAAUUCCAAAAUUUCAAUUUGAUUCCAACGUAGUUUUUCUUUUUAAGUAUUUACAUUAUGUAUUCAUCCCAUUAAUUUAUAUUCAUUUGGGAAGGAGGUAAAACGACUAAACAAAAUUAUAUAUCCAUUUUAAUUUUUACUCUUCAUUUAAAAUUAAAAAUUUUAUAAUAAUUUAAUUGAUUUAUUUUUAUAUAAUUAUCAUGUUUGAAAUAAAAAAAAUAUAUAUUCUUUUUACUCUAAAAUCUUUCAAUCAUUCAUUAAUUUUUUUUAUAAAAUUAUUAAUAUCAAAUGAAGGGUUAAGGUUUUUAUUUCUCCAUUUUUAUAAGUUAUUAAGAUGUUUAUAUAUUGUCGUUUCAAAAAGGUUAAUGUAUUGUCAAAAAAUACGUUUACAUGAAAUUUUAAAAAAUUAAAUAAUUUAAAUUAUAAUAUCAUACAAUUAUUAUUGUGAUUUUCUUACUAAUAAAAAAAUAAUUAAUAAAAGUAAAAUAAAUUUAAAAAUGUUAUUAUAAAAUUGAAAAGAAAAUUUGUUUGUAAAUAAAACAAUUCAAAAGUAAUAUGUAUUUUUAAAUAAAGCAAUUUUUAAAAAGUGAUGCAUGUAAAAGUAGAUCAAGAGGUAGUAACAAUUUAAAUUGGUUUUCUUGCAUGAGGUAUACAUAAUUAAAAAUUGAAUUACUCUUAAUUAAAAUUUUAGUUGCUCUUUAUUUAGAUUCAAUAAUUUUAUAAUAAUUUAAUUUAAAUGAUUUUUUUUUCAACAAUUUCUUAUUUAGAAUGAAAUAAUUUUUUUAACUUAAAAGAUUUUUAUUUUAAAAAAUUAAAAUAAUACAUAAUUUUAUAAAUAAUUAUUUAAAAUUUUUUAUUUCAAAUAAAAAAUAAAUGUGCAUAAAAUUAAAAAAGUAAAAAAACCGAAUAAUUAAAGUUUUACCACGUAGACCAAACGAGAUAACAAAAACCUCGACUACAUCGGAAAUAUCACAGCGACCACCACCUGUCAUCACACUCACAAAGAGAAGAGGAGGUACAACGUAAACGGCCAACAAGAGAACCAACACAUAUAAACAAAUAGAAAAAAAACCAACAUGCAAAAACUUAUAACCCUUAGAAUACUAGCGUCCUAAAUAAACAAUCAAAUAGAGAAGGUUAUAGCAGAGUUUAGCUGAAAAGCAGCCAACAGGAAUAGUACCAUUGGAAAUAUGGGUGCGGUUCUAAGGUGCUGACAAGAAGCAACUUAAACCUUCCUCUAAAAAAUAAAGAAUAGAGCCGAAAAUCCUUUCAACGAGAACUUCCUUCUAAUAUUGUUCAAGAUACUUAAAGACACUACAACUGAAGAAACAAUAUCCAAAAUUCAUCCAUAACAAGGGAGAAUCAAGCAAAUAGAGAUACAAUUCCUGCGAUUAAGUAAAAGAAACUCUCAUAUUCGAUUUAAAUUGAAAAAAUCAACCGAAUCAAAUUAAUUUAAAAUUUUAAUUUAAUAUUUUAUUUUUUUCUAUUUAUUUUUAUUUUUAAAAAAUUGAAUUAUUUUAAUUCGAUUCAAUUUUAAUUUUAAAAAAUAAUAAAAUCAAACUGAAUCGAUUAAUAAUAAUAGUAUAUUAUUUUGGAUAAUAUAAAGAGAUUAUACUAUAAUUAAGGUUAAAAUAUUUUAAUUAAAUGUUAGAACACUUCAAAUAAGGUGUGAAAAAUAAAAAGUUAAUUAAAAGACUUAUUAAUCAAAUCGAAUGAAAUCAAAUUGAAUCAAACUGAUUUAAUUUAAAUUAAUUCUUAUAUCUAAAAUCGAUUCAAUUCGAUUUUUAUAAAUACUAAAAUUUUAAUAUUUAAUAUACCUGCAUGCAUGCACAAAUUGAAACAAAACCAUACUAACCCAAAAGAAUCUUCCUCUACCUCCAAGGGUAAAAAAUCAACUAUUCCUCUACCUCCAAGGGUAAAAAAUCUUGAGCAACAACCAUCAAAAUAACAAUAGGUACAAUGGCUAGUAGAUUCAGUCACCUAAAACCAGAGACCCAAUAUGACAAUAGCACAACGACACAAUCCGUUCUCCUCCCUUUCCUUUUUUACCCUUUCCUUUUCUAGCCUUUCCUUUUCAAUUGGUCCGGCAAUUUCAAAAGAGCAUGGGGUAGUCAUUCUUAGCUUAGAUUGACAUUAAAAAAUAUAAUAUGGCAAUGUGUGUGACAAUACAUUAAUUUAAAGGGUUUUUGUGGGAAAAGCAAACCUUGUAUCUACCCACUUUUGCAUAAUUUAAUUAUCUGGAAAUUUGUUUUAUUUUUUUAAUAAAAAUUUUAAUUUUAUUUAAUUUAUAAAAAAUAUUUAUUUAUAUGCAAAAAAAUUUUAAAAAUAAAAUUUAAUUUUAAGCAGAGAAACAAACAAACAAAAUUCACAUAUAAAAUUUUACAAGUUAAAUUAAUUUAUUCAUAUUAAAUAUUGAAUAUAAAUUUUAAAAAAACUAUUAUAUUUUAAAAAACUAUUUGAUUUAUGUUUUAAUCUAUAUUUAAAAUUUUUAAAAUUUUAAAUAUAACCAUAAACUAUUAAACUCAUUUUUUAUUUAAAUUUUUUUAAAAUUUAAAUAAUCCAUAAAAUUCAUUAAAACAAUCUAAUUAUUACUUUUAAAAUUAUUUUUUAUAAAUUUAAGAUUUAUUUUUUAAAUUUAAAUAAUUUAAUAUAUAAUUUUAAUGAGAUGAACAUAAAUAAUUUUACUUUUUAAAAUUAAAAAAGUGGUGUAUAUAAAUAAAUUAGAUUAAAUAUAUAUAUUUACAUUAAAGAGUUGCGUUGAUUUUGAUUUAAAUUUGUAUGAAAUAAUAAAAUUAUUAUCGUCUAAUUUUAUUAAUUUAUAAAAAUUUAUAACACAAUCAAUAAAUUUAAAGUGGAAUUAAUAAUAUAUAUGAAUAAUUUAAUAUUUUUUAAUAAUAAUUAAUUUAUAUUUAAUUAUUAAAAUUUUUAUAAUUUAAAGCGUUGAAUUGGUUAAUUUUAAUUAUUAUGAAAUUUAUAUACAUAUUAAGUCAAUAAAUAAUUUAUUUUAUAAAUAUUUUAUAAUUAAAAAAAUUAAACAGAAUACGUUGAAAUUAAAAUCUUAAAAAUUAAAUAUAAAUUUUUUAAAUAAAAAAUAAAUAAAUUAAAAUGACUGCUUUAAAAUGGUAUUAGUGAUAGAGAUUUUAUUUAUAAGAGAAUUAUUAUUAGAUUUUUGAAUUUUUAAAAAUUUUAUUAAUCAUCAUUUUUAUAAAAAUCACUCAAUUCAAAUAUUAAUAUGUUUUAUAAAAUAAAAUUUAUUUAUUUAUUUGUUAAAGCAAUUAUUAGCUAAUUUAUUUUAUUUUUAAUUAAAAAAUAAACAAUAUAAAUAUUUAAAUAUAUAGAAAUUAAAUGAUAUAUAAUUAAAAUUAAAUAAAUUAAAUGAUAUAAAUAUUCGUUAAUAAAUUUAUAAAAAAAUAUUUAUAAAAUAUAAAAAUAUUUUAAUUAAAUAAAUUUUAAAUAAAAUAAAUUAAUAAUUUAAAAAAAAUAAAAACUGAAUGAUAAUUUUUUUAUUUAUUUAAAAUUAAUAAAAAUUACAUAAAUACAAAAUUGAGGAAGGCUAUGGCUCUUUAGCCCAUACCUAAAUCCGUCAUGUAGUAUAUUGUUUUAUAUGAUAAUCGUAAUCAAAUGAUUAUAUAUAAUAAUAAUAAUAAUAAUAAUAAUGCACUAACAAAGUAUUUAGACAAAUGUUUAUUUAAUUAUAUUUGUCACCAUCGCAUUUUACAAACUGUUUGAACCUCAGCCGCCACAAUUUUGGCAUCAUCUCAUCAAAACCCCUAUUUCUUUUCCUAGUAUUAUAGGCUCAUGUUGUCCAAAAAAAAAAUCUCAUGUUGCCGGAUGUGUUUUUCACCGUAAACGUAUAUUCAAUGUUUAAAUAAUAAUAAUAAUAAAUAAUGGUAAAUAAAAAUUACUCCACUUAGUCUAAAAAAAAUAAUUAAAUUUGUUUUCAUAAUUAAUUAAUUUAAUUUUUCCUUCCAUUUAAAUAAAAAAAAUCAGUUUUCAUUUGUUAAUCCUAAAGCUUCUGAAAAUAUAUAAAUAUAUAUAAAUAUUAAAAUUUAUAUACGAUGUGCGGAUAUCCAUAAUAAUGAAACUUAUCGCAGUUGUAUAAGUUUAGUCAGAGAAGAGGGUCGUUCUCUCCUCUUAUUUCAUUCUAUUUGUCUGUUAGUAGCGUCUAACGGCUUUCUUAUUACAGUGUCAUAUAUUUCUGUCACACAGGUUUGUAUAUAGUAUCAUACUAUCUCUUUACGUCAAGCGGUUAUUUAAUGCUCUUGGCGCGCAUGCGAAUAGAGUUGCGAAAUGAUUAGACCUGCUAUUCUCCAACAUGUCUAAUCACCGGACUAGGUUUUAUUCCACUGAAUUCAGACUUUCAGGUGACCCGAUCUGCUCUGUGUUUCUAGAUCGAAGUCUGAAGAGCCGGACUAUUCGGCGUAAAGAAUUGCACGGGUUUUGGUCCAGCUCUAUUUUCUUAGUCUGGCAUAAAAUAAAUAAAGUCCAAUGAGCAUCAAUAUAUAUAAAUAUAUAAUUGUUAGAACUAUAUAAAUAUUGGAAUUUUCCGCACUCAAAAUAAAUAGGAUGGAUGAAAUACAUAUAAUUAGUGAAAAUGAUAUAUAAAAUCAAUUGGCUUACAUUCAAGCUCCUAAGUUCUUUUUUACCAAGAGAUUAAAAAUUAUUAUUUCAAAGCGUGCUUCGGAUUCCCCAGGUCUCUUAGAAUGAUAUUAAAUGUUUUCGACCAUUUCUACUUUUUUUUUUUUAAAUAUUUCAUUUAUUUCACAAAAAUUUAUAUAUUUAUAUAUAUAACAUUUAUCAUUAAAAAUAUUUACAAAAAACUUAUUUUUUAUUAAUUGCUUUCCAAUGUUAAAAGAUGAAAGAUAUUGGAUAAAAUUAUUUAAAACUGAAAUAAAUUAAGUUAAUUAAAAUUAAUUUUUUUUCUCAUAGAUAAUAUUACUUUUAUUGGCUUAGACUUAAACGGGAUAGAAAAUAAUUUUUGUAAGAAAUCAACAUAUGUAUAACAUAAGAUCCACCAACAAAAAAUAUAAAAAGAAAUUAUAGUAAAUAGUGGAGUGUUAGACUGAGAAGCAAGAGACUCCAUAUUCGAAUUCGAUUGACAUCCCAUCUACAUCAUAAAUAUUACGAUAAAUUGAGAAAAAAAAGCUACAAAGACUAACUAUUCUAAGAUAGUUUGUCCGAUCAAAAAGAUUUAAGAAGAAAAAAAUCAUCAAUUUUAAAAAGUUACCAUUAAUAGAAUUUAUUAAUGCAUUAAGUAAAAUAUGUAAAAAUAAAUAUUAAUUCACAAAGCACAACUAAAAACUCAAAAAUAUGAAAUCAAUCACAAUUGUGAUUUGUGAAUUGAGAUUUGUUUUUACAUAUUUUAGGAGAAUAAAGGUGAUUUGUAUAUCGAAUGAGUAGAGAAUGAGUGAUCUUUAUAAGAAUGGAUACACAUGCUGCAUAGGCUAACGAGACCUAAAUAUCAAAAUUGAAAAGAGAAAGCAUAGACUACCUUGGUAUUUCCAAACAUAGGCACGAAGGAAGCACAAGUUUUAAGGCUCCAUCUAAAAAUUUUCUUACUAGGGAUCUUUCUUGUAUUGCAGAAACGUUAAUUAACUUGCCAGCAACAAUGUAAUAUAACCACAGCACAUGUAAAAAUAAUUAAAUAAAAUAUAUAUAAUAAUAAAAAAAGACAAAUCUCUCGUUUAGAAUUUAAAUACAAUCUAUUCCACUCUUAUAAUUGGGGGAGAUAACUAAAAAUCGAAAAAGAAAAAAACAGUUUGAUGUCGUUGAAGAAAAAAAGGGAGGAAAAAAAAAAAAAGAAGAAGACUAUAAUAAAAAUUACAGUUAUGAGGUCAGCACAUAAGUGCAUAAUAUGGAAUGAAAUUAAAAGAAAAUAAUAAAUUCAAUUUUAAUUGUAGAGUCCACGUGCGCAAUAACUCCCAAAUCUCGUAGAGAUGCUGCGUAUCAUUACUUCAGGUCAAAAAUUGAUUAGAUUCACUUAAUCUCCUUAUGUUAAUGAUUCAUCAACGCAUUAGAUUACGCAUAAUUCAUUAAUUUCUUGUGGUAAUUAAUUCACAACCCUGUUUUUUUUUAUAUAAUUUUUUUAGGAAAAAGUAUAUCGAAUCGUAUAUAUAUAUAUAUAGAUAGCCACCUAGGCUACUAAUUGUAGGUUCAUUGAGUCUGACCAUAACUGUCUUCUGUCUAUCACAAAGUGUUCAUCCUUCUAACACUAAGUUUGUUGUUAUUGCAGCAUCUUCAAUUUUCUUGCAAAACGGCACGUUUCUAGUGUGAACAAUGAAAUAGAUUUAUAUUGGCACAGAAUAUCAUGUCAGAAGAGCGGACACAUGCUUUGCAACUAAUGAUUAUGCACUGUUUAGUUUUGGACAUUAACUAAUUAAGUUCAACUUUUGAUUAUAACUUGGAAAAAAAAAAGGUAAUAAAGUUAAUUAUGGUCAUUUUCAAGUAAAUAUUAGUUUAUUUCAGUUAAGCAAUGGGUUCAUGCACCAAUUACACCCUCAAAUAGUUAAAGUUUGAAUCUUUGAUGUUAGCAUAUAUACAUUUGGAGUCACUUUCCUUUCUUCUUCUUCAGUCUGAUUUAAAUUUUUUCUUUUUAAAUGUGAAGAAUGUUUGUUUCAAUUUAUAGCGUCAGUUCAUAUCAGCUUAACAGUAUUUAUACAUGUUUUCAAAUCAUAUGAACAAUUACAUAAUUUGUUUUUCAUUUUAGACAUUAAGUAUAAAGUUGUUAUGGACAGAGAUGACAAAGGCUGAAUACUUGUCUUUUUCUCCUACCAUAAUUAUAGGUUACUGGAGUCGAAAUCGCAUAGUAGCUAGCUAAUAAAAUUCAACAUAAACUGUUCAAUUUCAAUUUGUCCAAUUCCUCCGAUGAGUGCCAAUUUUAGGGGAAGAGGGAGAUUUAAUGGUCGCCGGAGACAAGAGUGUGUGAGGAGCAUCGCUACUAUAAAUGGUUGGUGGAAAGAGCGUGGGCGGUGGGUCACAAGCUUACAGCUGCAAAAAAGUUAAAAAUGGCGAAAAUUCUAUCGAUGGACCAUGUACCAUGUAUCUGUAGGCAUCAUCCCUUGCCUAACCGAUUAGUCAAUUUUAUAUUUAUGCUUUUUUUAAAAAAAAAAAAAGAAAAAAACAAAUUUCCUUUUUAAUUAAAUUAAAUUUUGUAAUAAGGAGUUAAGGAGGGCCCGCCUGUUACAUUAAUUAAAAACAUGAACAGGGCAACUCAUCACUGUCUCUUCACGUGAGGGAAACCUAUCGCAGACAACACACGUAAACUUUAUUUUCCAAAAUUUCAUGCUCACGUGACACAAGGAAUAAAAUAAAAGUAAAUUACUUAUUUUUUCUUUUAUCUUUAUAUAGGGUAUACGAGGUUUUUAAUUCUAGUUUCUCUUUUUAUUAAAAUAUAUAUAUUUGUUUUAAUUUACUAUUUUAAACGAAUAGUGUGCUUGUUUUAGCCCCGUUGUAUAUUAAAUUUCCUUAUAAUUUUAAAAAAUAAACAAAUAAGGGUUUUUGAAAAAUAUGUAUGAGUAGAUAAUAGAAAUAAAAAUAAAUUAAUCUAUUUUAAUAUAUUUAUUAUUUUUUUUAAAAUAAAAUUACUGAAUAUAUUAAUAAAAUUUUAUCAAACAAAAAAGAUAUCAUUCCAAAGAGAUAAUUCCAAACAAAGAGACAAUCGUACCUAAUAAAUUUUCUAAUAAAAGUACGAGUAGUUAAAGUGGUAUAACGACGAAUCCAUCUAACAGAAAUAUCAGUUUUAAAGUCUCUCGAAUAAAGUCAUAAAAGAGAGUUUGUAUGAGAUAAAACUCGAAUAAAGUUUUUAAAUUAACGUCGUUGUUGCGAUUCCUAAAAUCUAUAAUAACCAGUAAACAUCUAUUGGAUAUUAUCUUGCGAAACAAUCGAAUCAAUAAAAUUUAAAGAAAAUUUAAUCACAAAAACAGACACAUGAUUCUUUCACAUUAACGAAAAGUCUCCUCUAAAUUCUUAUCAAAAUCAACCAUUAAAAUGUAAAAAUUACAAAAAAAAAUUUAUACGAUAAUUAAUAGUUUUUGUUUUCAUGAAAAAUAAAAUAUCUGACUUGUAACUAGUAACCAAAAUUUUCAAUACAUUAACUGUCCAAGAAUUGUAGAGUACUCGACAGUUUCAACACAGGACGAUCAUUGCUUCGGCUAUCCUGAUUUUUGACGGAAAAAAUUGUUUCGAUAAUCAAUUGACGAAAAUUUUUUUUAAUGGGAAAGGAAAAAAAAAAGUUAAAUUUAAGAAGAAAAAAAUACGAGAGUAUCAAAUUACAGAGAGACUAUAAAAUAAAAAUUUUUUUUUAUAUAUAUUUAAAAAUACGAUGAUAUCACGUAAUUUAAUCAAACUUUAAAAUUUUAUAAUAUAUUUAUUAGUCUUUAGUAGCUUAUAAAAUAAUUAAAAUGGAAGUAUCAAAACUAUUUGAGUGAUUGUUGUUUUUAAAAUUAUUUUUAUGGUUGUUAUUAAAUUCAAUAGAAAAGUCUAAUAAAAAAAUUAUUUUCAAAUUUUAUAGUUCUAAUUCAAAUUUGAUGGUUGUUGUUUAAAAAAUUAAAUGCAAGUCAAUUUAAUAAUUAUAUAUUGUAUAAUUUUAAAUUAAUCUUUUCCUAUUUAGAUCUAAAAAUUAUUUUAUUAAUAUAUGUAUACAAAAUUAUAAAGUAAUCUCCUUUUUUUUCAUAAAUUUUGGAAUUUAGAUGUACAUUUUUUUAUCAGAUAUAUUACUUUAUAUUUUACUAAUUAUUGAUUUUUCAUAUCCUUUUAAUUUAUUUAAUGUAAUUUUUGGAAUCUUAUCUUAUUAUUCUCUACAUUUAAGUUUUAUAUUUAUUUUUCUUUUUAAUAGUAUAAUUCUAUGCAAAAACAGAUAAAGUAUAAUACUUAUUUUAUUAUUUUUUUUAAAUAAUGUUUAAUCAAUAAAAUCUUAUAAUGUGAUUUUGGACGUUAUUUUAUAUAUAAUUAUCGAAUUGAUGAGAUUUAAUUAUUCAUUUAUUCUUUUAUUGUUUUUUAGCAAUUAAAUUUUUUUUUUAAUUUAAACUUUAUUGGUAUAUAUAUUUAUAAUAAUUAUUCAAAAGGUAUAGAAAAUUUAUAAUUUUGUCCAUGCGCGAAAGAGAAGGCUGAAAAGACAAAUAUACCAAAAUGGGGGGGGGUUCCUCGAAGCUACAUAGGAAUAAGGGAAAAUGUGAAAUUAUCUUUGAUACCCUGCAAAGUGAUAGGCCAAAAUUGGAAAAUAAUGGCCUCAGGUCACUCUCCAUGAACAGUAUCCAUUCUUUCUGGAGGACUUCCAACUUUCAACCAUUUUUAUCUUACAGUUUUGAAGACUUUGAAUUUUUUUUUUUUUUCCCAGAACUUCAAGGGGGGCAUGCAUCUGGACUCUUUCAACACCUAUCAUAUUCUUAUUUCAAUUUUGUGGUUGAUUUAAAGGCUCUAUGUUUCGGAUAAUGAUUUGAUUCUUCAAAUCACAAUCAAUCAAUAAAAUUUUCUUCUUCUUUGUGUGGGAAUUUUUAUUUACAUAUAUUACAGUCAUUUUCAUUAUGAUGUUUGCCAUAAAGAAAGGUUACCUUAGAUUGGCAGCAAGUUAUGAUUAUCACAGAUGUCGAUUCACAUGAAUCCCAAUUUUCAAUAGUAUAGGAGUGAUAGUUCAUAGUAUUUCUAAAAAAUGUGGUAUUUCUGAUAUUGUAGAAAAAAAAAAAAAAUCAACCUGUACUUCAAGCAGUCAAAUACACAUGUACUGCUGGCAUCCAAAUCAUUAAAUGCAUGACAAUUUUUUUUUGGUGUUAUAUGAUUUUUGUGGCUUUAAGCAUUUUCCUUUUAUGGGACAUUAGUAUAAUACUCGCAGUUAUUACUGUUUAUAAUAUAUUAUUUAUAUAUAUAUAAGAUCUCCACAAAAUGAGUGUAGCUCAUUAAAUUUUAGAUUUCAUUUAAAAUAAUUUAUUUUAUAAAAAAAUAUUGAAUUUUUUAUUAAAAAAAAUUAAUAAAAAAAUCAAUAAAAUUGAAUUCCUCGGUAUUAAAAAAAAUUAUCAACACGUGACGCUAAUUAAAGUGAUAAUAAGCCUUAUAAGACGAAAGAAAAACCAUUUCGAAAAAAAAAAAAAGACUAAAGAAAAGCAAAUUUAACGGCAAUACAACCGCAAAGCUGAUUUGUCCUGCUGAUAGGAAGAAAAGAAAAUGAAAAAUAUACAUCAUCCACGUCAGUUGACAAGUGGACAAGGGCCAAGGCUCAAUCCAACAACGCUUCACUUCAGGACAAAAUUGAGAUCAUAGGAUGACAUCAGUUCUGAGAUCUGACCUGGCCGCCAAGCUGCAAUUGACCCACGUGUGAUUUUCAUCCAUAGGCAUCCAAAUUACGGACCCCACUUCAGCCUAAUAUUGAAUAAAAAAGUGCCACUCUUCCAUCCUUUUACUGUUUUACCGUUCCGUCUUGUUUUUACUUUUUACCAAGCUUUUUUGUUUUAACUUGGCUUUCCUGCGCAUAUAAAAGACGUCCUCGGGCUUCAAAUUUGGCGUACCCCUAUGCAUCUCUACAACACUCCAAAUAGUGACGCAGCAGCUCAAAACCAAACCAAUUUCACAUGGACUCCUCCAUCUUUCACUCUCCAAUUUCCGAUUUCUCGUCGGAAUCUUCCUUCGGAUCGCCUGAAUCUUUGUACAGCCAAUCCUUUAACCAAUAUCCUCUCCCCUUCAAUGAAAAUGAUUCGGAGGAAAUGCUUCUCUAUGGACUAAUCUCAGAGGCCACACAAGAAACAUCAAAGCUAGCUCUCUGCAAUCGAAUUAUAAAGGAAGAAGAGGUUAGUUCUGUAACCAAAGAAAAUCCCAAGAAAGAGACGAAGUCGUACAGAGGUGUGAGGAGGCGUCCAUGGGGGAAAUUCGCUGCGGAGAUAAGGGACUCUACUAGGCAUGGGAUAAGGGUAUGGUUAGGCACAUUUGAUAGUGCAGAGGCAGCUGCUCUGGCUUAUGACCAAGCUGCUUUUUCAAUGAGAGGAGCUGGGGCUAUACUCAAUUUCCCAGUUGAAAGAGUGAGGGAAUCACUCAAGGACAUGAAGUACAGCCAAGAAGAAGGGUGCUCACCUGUUGUUGCUCUCAAGAGGAAGCACUCCAUGAGAAGAAAAAUGGUGAGCAGAAACAAGAGAGAAAAUGUGGUGGUUUUGGAAGACUUAGGUGCUGAUUACUUGGAGGAGCUUCUGACUUCAUCUGAGAAUUGUUAGACCUUGCUGAACAAUCAAUUAAUAUUUUACUAUUGCAAUUUUUUUUUUCUCCUCCUUUCAGUGGUAGGAUUGAUUUUGAAUAUGGGUGGAUGGGUAUGAUCUUGAUAUCUUUCUUUUUUUCAUUUUAUCCUGUAAAGUUCAUAGGUGUUAAAGAUUGAAGGUAGCACUUAUCCUGUGUGGGUCUCAACCACACUAAACAAGUAUCAAUGAAAUGAUAUGACUAUUAUCUUUCCUAGUACUGAGAUAUUUCAGUCAAAUCAUCAACUUGGCCUAUGUAUAUACAACACCUCAAAACCAGAGUUGCACUCUGUCAAGCUAUGACACAGAAUAAUUAUUGACAUAAUUGCAACAGGAACUUGGCACUGAACUUAAUUCAAUUGCUUAAAGCUAUUCCUUCUUCCAACGCUUAUUAUCAUUCAGAGCAAUAUAAGUCCAUGCACAUGUAUUUUUGUUGGAAAUCUAUACUCAUGCAUGUUUUCUGUCAUGGAAAUGUUUGUAGUUUAUUAUUCAAAUAAAUUAUUAUAUUAAUAUCAAUGAACGAAAAUUAGAAUAAUGAUCAUCUCACUAUUUUUUUUUGGGAUUUGUGAAAUAUAUAUGUUUUUUGAUUUUUUUUUAUUAAAAAAUUAUUAUUUAUGGGAAUAGACUCAUAUCGAGAACUAAAUUACUUUCGAUAAAUAUUUAUUUUAUUUAUAAAUAUUAAAUUCUAAAUAUAUUUUGGAUAAGUAUUUAUUUUAUUUAUAAAUAUUAAAAUCUUGACCUAUUUAGAAAAGAUAAAUUGGAACCAUUUAUUCCACAUUAGUACAACUUUUACUUUGCCAUCGCUUAUUUAGGUGGGUAAAAAUAUUUGAAGUCCCAAUGUAUCAGGUAGACAUGGCCAUUCCAAGAUUUAUUUUUUGAAUCAAACUAAUUUAAAAUAGUUCAAAAUAAUUUUAGUUUAAUUUUAAUUCAAAUUUAAAGCAGUUAUAAUUUUAAUGUUUAACGAUUUCGGUUAUUAUUUCAAUUAAAUUUAAAUUAUAAAUAGAAAAUCUGAUUUGAAUUAAAAAAAAAAUAACGGCAAAAAAUUUAAAUAAAAUAUAAAAAAAUAAAUAUAAAUCAUUAAUAUUAUUAAAUAUAUAUUUUAUUGAAUAAGUAAAUUAUAAAAUAUAUUCAUUCAUAGGAUAUAAAAAAAGAAAAUGAUAUACAUAUAAUAUAAAAAUAAAAGAAUAUUACAUUUAAAUAUAAAUAAUAUUUUUUAUAAAUUAAACAUAAAUUUAAACUUAAUUAUUUAAUAAUUUAAUUUAUUUAUAUAUAUAUUUAUAUAAUUUUUUAAAAUGAUUUAUUUAAAAAAUAAAAAAUCAAAUUAAAAUCGAGUUGAAUCGAAUAAUCGAUUUAAACAGCUCGAUUCUAAUUUAAUUAGUUUAUGUAAAGAAAAUUAUAACCAAUCAUUUCUCUAAGAUUUCGAUCUAAUUUUAAUUUAAUUCACUGUUUGAAUCAGAUUGUAAUCAUAUCUAAUAUUGGAUUCGACUCUCAUUUCUCCUUAUUAAAAAAAAUAUCCAAAGUUUGGGUACGUGAAGCUUAAUUUAAAGUAAUACUUUAGAAAAGACACCAUCUCUUUGAAGGAGGAUGGAGCUAAAUCAAUAUGCAAAAGAGGAACAUUUUCGUUUGUAGAGAAGCUGUUUCACAAUCUUAGGAAGAUAAGACUUUGGGUUUGACAAGCAAGUAGAAACUUGCUCUUCCUUGUGUACUUUUUUAUUACUGCUUUAACCUGAAAAGUGAUGAUUUUCUUCAUAUUUUCAAUUGAAAUACAUUUUAUUAAAAUAAUAAUAGUAGCAAACGAAAUCCAAUGUGCCACAAACUCUAUAGGUUUCAAAGUAAGGAACUUUUGAAAAAUCAAUAUGCACAUGUUAAAUUAAGUAAAUCAAAAUAGAAAAUUCUUGAUUUCAGGGAAACCAACGAUGUUUUUCUUCUUAUAUAAUACAGGAGGAAAUGAUAAAGAAAGUUGCAUAGAUAACUAAAACAAUAAAUUACUUUCCAAUCCUAGAAUAUAAAAUUCUGAAUUGAAUUGAAAAAUUUUAAUAAAAUUACAGAAACAGUUUAUUUGAUACAUGAGCUAAAUAAUUACAACAUAAAAAUUAAGGGAUUUUUGUGGUAUUUUAAAGUAUUUGAUUAACGAAAAAAUAAUUUAUCUUAAUUAAACAAGAAAAGUUAAAAAAAAUAAAAAAAUCUGAAACUGGCAGUAUCUUAAUUAUACUUGAGUUUGAAAAAACUAUUUGGGUCUAAUUAAUUCAAUUUGAAUUCAAAAGAAUAUUCUCUGUGCAGUUCGCAAUUAGGUCUCUGGAUAUUGGUUGAAGUUAGACUGACACUAGCCUGAUGAGACCCGUCUAUCUUAUACUCAACUUAAUAAAAUAAAUUUCGAAAAAAAAAUUAAUAAAAUAAAUAAUUUCUUUAUCUUCUAUCCUUUAGCAUUUUUUUCAUAAAUUAAAAAUUGUAAAAAAAUUUUUAUACACUCACAAAUUUAAAUUGCCAUAUUUAAAUAAAUCUAAAAUAUUUUAGAUUUUACUCCUCCAAUCCUCAAUUUCUAUUUAAAAAAACAAAAAAACCUUCAUAUCAAUCUCUUACUCUAUAACACAUAUAUUUAAUCAUCAAAAUAUUGCUUCCAUAUUUGAUAUACAUAAAUUAUGAAAAAUAUGUGAAAUUUACAUGUAAUUUAUACAUAUAUAAUUUAAUUAAACAUAAAAUCUAGAAAUAAAAUAUUAAAAUUAUUUUUAUAUAAAAUUGAUAUUAGCAUUUUAUAUUAGAAAUUAAUAUGAGAAAUUAAAAUCUACAAGGAAACAAUUUAAUUAGAGUAAGAAUUAAAUGUGGAAGGUCAAUGUUUUGUUCAGUCAAUUGAAAGGCUAAUAUUAAAGGGAAAAUCAUGCAUACACAAAGACUUUUCAUUUUGAUUUUGUAUGUGGUUAAAUGAAUUUGGUCACACAUCCAUUGUUCUAGACAACUGCAAUAAUUAUUUAAGCACACCACAAUAUCAGCUUUUCCUUUUCUUUAACUUGCCUAACAGAAUAUGCACUUCUCAUUCAAUUAAGUAAUCCUACAAUUAUUAGUAAUAUUAAGAUUAACUGUCCAAUUUUCAAUGUUAACUCUCAUAUCAUCUCUUACAAUUAAGUUAUUUAUUUAUUUAUUUAGAACGUUUGCCAUCUGAAAUUUAUUUAUUCAAUAUUGAGAAACAUAAUUAAUAGCCCAGCAUAUCAUUAUUAAUUAUUAAUGGACUCAGUUGUCCGCUACGAGUACGAGACCCAUAGAACUACCCGAUGGGCCUUGCUCCUGCUCAGUGUUAUUGGAACUGUGUGUUUUAAGGAAACGCUGCGCAUAACAAAAAGCUGUUGCAAGUUUCAUUCAAACAGCUGUGUUUCACUUUCAUUGUUUAAUUCUUUAUUUUGGUGCUAAAUGCUUAAUUUCGCUCCACAGGGAAUGAACAUUAUGCUUUCAUAUAUUUCUUAAUUUUUUAUUUAAUUCAUUUUUUAAGGAUUAAAGUGAGCUUAUAUUGGAGUUUUUGAGCUAAUUUCAAUAAAAAAAAAAGUUAUGAUCAGCAAUAUUUUUAAUCCAUCAAAGAUAGAUUAUGAGAAAGCAGCAAAAGGCUCAACGCUGAAAAGCAGGCAACCAAAGGACAAACCACAACAGCUCAAAACAAAAAGGCCCAAAGGCCGAAAACAGGCGAGAUCUUCUCUUCUUGUAUUUUCUUUUUCUCUGAAUAAUUCGGUGGUCUUAUUUAUCCAGUACUUUGCUAAAACCUGUCUAUUAAUUCAAUAAUUGGAACUAACCAAACCAAUUCUGAAUUCUCUAUUAGGUCUUCAUACUACGCUUUUAAUCGAUUGUAUUUUACAUGGAUGUCAGUUCCCUCUUUAAUGGAUGAAAGAGACCUUCUUAGAAUAGGUUGGAAAAUAGCACUGUGGAAAAAUCAAAAUUAUCGGCUGAAGUGACAUUUUAAUAUUUUUAAUUCUUUAUUUGAAAUUAAAAUUUUGAUAUACUUUUUAUUCUUAUAUUGAGAAUAAAAUAAUGCAAUCCUUUUCAAUUUUAAAAAUUUUCACAUUAAAGAAAAAUAUAUCUAAAAGUUUAUUUAAUUUUUUAUAAAUUAAUCUUUUUUGUGCCUUUACCUUAAAAUCAUAAUUGAAUAUUUUGUUCAAAUUAGAUUAUUUAUGGAAAUAAUAUUUUGUGAUACUCUAUCUGUUGCAACAAAAAAAAAUUGUUUUGCCUUUCUUAAUGUAGUCCUGUUGAAUAUGAAUUGAAAGGGUUAAAUUUAUCAAUUUUAAGAAUAAUUUAGUAAUCAAGCAAUUAUCCAAGGAGAGAAGUAAAUUAGGAAAGAUAACAUGAAAUUUAUUAUUUUUAAUUAUAUUUUCUUAGUUCAUAUAAAUAUCUAAUAAAUUAAGUAUGAAAUUUGUGUUUUAGUAUAUAUAUAAUAACACAAGUGAAACUGGCUGCUUUAUGUUUAAUGUGGAAAAUAGGAUAUGCUCAUAAAAUACAAGCAGAGAUAACAGCGCAUAACUACGCAGUCCUCAUCAGUUGUAGCAACUGAUGGAUGACAUACAAGGUGGCACAAUCACUCGCAUCACCAUUUAUUCAUACCUACCAUAAUACAUCGAGUUUUAAGUCGUUUAUUUGGAUGGAUAGGAGAUGGGGGAUUGUGCCUUGCUUGGGGGGCUACCUUGUAGUUAAGGAGCUGGGGGCUUUUUGUAAGACGGAGGCUUCUUGUAAGGUGGAGGCUUCUUGUAAGGUGGGGGCUUCUUGUAAGGAGGCUUGUAGACUGGUGGCUUCUUAGGGGGCUUGUAAUGAGUUGGUGGCUUAUUCACCUUGGGAGGCUUGUAAUAAGGUUUCUUGAAGGUUUCAGGUUCAUAGAUUGGAAUGUCGGGCUCAGAAGGGUCAUAUUUUGGCUUGUAAUCAGCAAGGGUUGGACUAGCUAUAAAAGCUAUAGCUACUCCGACGAACAACAGUGCUACCAAGAUUGCAUGCAUUUUUAGGUUUCCAAUGAUGCUGCAUUACAAAAGAGGUAUGGGUGCCUUUUAUAGACGUCUCAGAUCUUUGCUGGGUACACGUGUCACAGUUUGGUUCACAGUUUUUUCUGUCGGCAUAAGUCAAAAAUGGUUUCUAAAUUUUCGUGGAGACAAUAAAUGAGAUGGGCACAUUUGGGUCCUAUUUGUGUACAAUAGUUGAAAAACUGGGGAAAGGAUUUGGUAUCUUGUGCAGGGGAAAUAUUAUGAAGAUCUCUUAAUUUAAUUCUAAUUCAUCAUUCGCUUCUUUUGCAUUAACUACGGCUGCUUCAACGAUGCGGAGCAACUAAUUUAAAUUUUAAGAUAGACUUAAAUUGAUUUUAAUUUUUAUUAUUGAAAUCUGAUAAAGAUUUAUAAUAACUUUUUAAAAUUUUUUUUCAAUUUUUAAUAUACCUUUCCGUCUAUUUUAUUUUAAUUAAAUAAUAUUAAUUAAAAAUAAAAUAUAAUUAAUUUUUUAUCAUUAAGUUUAUUAAUGAAUUAUAUUUUAUUUUAUUGAUAUUAAAAUCGUAUCUAAAAUUAGGAUAUUUUAUUAAUGGAGCCAUGAUGGUAGUUACUGUUUUUCCUUCUAAAAUUCAGCAUAACGUGCACUGUUUGUCUCCAUGUAGUUGGUCAUUCACUAUCACUCUAUUAAUUCCCGUUUGGUACGAGACAGUGGAUCACAUGUAAUAUGAACAUAUAUAUCAUAUUAUUAUUAUUUUAUUUUGUAUUGCCUGAAGUUAAAAUCAUUUUUGUUGUUUCAUUUUCUCCCUAGUUUCAUGAGAAUGUAUUGGCAUUGGUGAACUUUUUAUGUUGCUUUAAAUGCUCUGAAAUAGAAAAUUAUUCCAUUUGUAGUCUUUAAUUCUUCAAAGAUUGAUCAUACAUUUUCACAACAUAAAUUGCAAUUUUCUGUCUGCUUGAGAGUAAAAUGAUUUUUUGUAAAUGCAAAUCGAAAUACAAGUGCUAUUUGUCUCUCUGGUAAUUAUCAACCAUAUAUAAUUUUCAUGAGUAAUCUUUUAGGUUAUUCCUUCAAACAGCAAAAGAUACUAAUAGUAGAGCUCACCGCUUAAUUUAGAUUAUUUACUGGCUACAAUUCGUGAUGAAGUGCAGUUAAGGCACAUAAGCUAUCAUCUACAGUGAAAAAGCAUAAGCUCUUAUUUCUAGUAACUUUAUAUAUGGAUUGGUAGAAGUGGCUUGUGGUGUGGACUAGACGUCGUCAUCAGGAGCCGGUUGCAUCUUACGUGGAAUUUCAGGAGGCAUCACCUUUGGUGGUGGCUUUUGGAGAGCAGCACAAUCCACUCAUAUUCCAUAACGACUACACAAUUAAUGUAACUAUUCUUAUAUUAGUAGGAGCAUGUUACCACCUGAUUAUAUAUGGCUAAUAAUUAAUACAUCCACAGAUCUAGUAUAGUACGUGAAGGAUAGAUAGAAUCAUAUUCCGACAUGUGCAUUUAUUUGAUACAUUUAGGCUGAGGAAUGGUCAGUAUUCGGUUCAAACCGAAAAAAUCGAUCGAACCGAAUUGAUUUAAAAAUUUAGUUUAAUUUUUUAUACAUUUCGGUUAGGUUUGAUUUUUAAUUUUAGAAAUUUCGGUUAUUUCAAUUCGAUUCAGUUAUGAUCAGAAAAAAACUGAAAAAACCGAACCGAUUAGUAAUAAUAAUAUGUUUUUUCAAUAAUAUAAAGAAAUUAAAUCAUAUUAAAAUUAAAAUAUUUUAAUUAAAUUUUAAAAUAUUAAAAAUAAAGUGUAAAAAAUAAAAAAAAUUAUUAAAAAUCGAAAUCGAUCAAAUCGAAUCAGACCGGUUCGGUUCGAUUCGGUUUCUGACCAAAAUCGGUUCGGUUCGAUUUUUAUAAACACUAAAAUUUCGGUUUUCGAUUUAUUCAGUUCGGUUUGAUUUUUGAACCGAACCGACUGAAUGCUCACCCUUAAUUCAGGCCAUACGCAAGUUGAAGAUGGAGGGCUGUUUUAUGGCAUCCUCGGGUUGGGGAUUAUUACCACCACAAUUAACAACUCUUUGCUUGUGCUCCGAUAAUAUCUUUGGUAAUGCUUCGUUGGAAGGUUCCACAGCAGCAUCAAAGGCCAUUAAUUUUCUUUCUGAAUUAGGAGGCCUCCGGCCACGGGGCGGCCUUCUUUGAGGUGGCCUUUGUUGAGCGUCAAAUGAAGGGGUUAAGGAAAGAAUUAUGCUCCAACAAGGAACAACAGCAGCAAGUGUUUGAGAUUGAUCAGAGCCAUUUUUGAGCAGGCUGUAGCUGUGAGCGUGCAAACACCAGAGAACUGGAGGGAUCUAUUUAUGGUGAAAUGGAGACCAAUCAGUCAAUCACGUUCCAUUGAUUAUUUGUAUUUUGUGCAGAUUGGUGCAACUGCUUUGUUGAAAAAUAGGGUGUUUCUUACGUGGAUUCGUGGAAUUAGGAUAUACUACUCGGGACGAAGCAAAAAUCUAGUGCUAUUAUUCAACAAUCAACACAUAUUUCUAUGCCUUGUAUCCCAAUUUAUUUAACACUGUGGUCAAGCAACUUUUGAAAAUAAACUAUCCAGAAUAAACGGAUAAAAAAAACGCAUGUUCGUAUAAAAUUAAUAGUGAAGAAUACAAAUUCUGUGUCACCAUUGAAAGAAAAAGAUAAAUAAAAAACUAUGCCUAAUUUAAUAGUGAAGUAAGAAUACAAAUUCAAGUAUGUUUGUACCUUUCUUUCAAGGUUAUAUAUACGUUGAUACCCUAGCAUCUCAAUUGGUACUAACAAUUUCUGCAUUGAAUACAGAGAUGUGCUUCCAUUAACAUAUUCAAUAAGCAGAACACAAAUAUAGCAGAAAAGAAGGCAGUGGACGAGUUCGCUAACAGCUAAGGAGACCACUCAAUUAUCUGGCUCCUUCCAUGCUUUCUAUUACCCCCCUAUAGCUCUCAAAACAUUUGUGAGGUUCAGAUAUCAGAGAAAUCACAUACCACAGUAAAUCUUUAUGAAUCAAUCUGUUUACACUAUAUUUGAGACAUCCCUGCACCAAAGUGUUAUAUUUGAAGAAAACUACAUAUAUCAAAAGAAGCGGGUAAGGGGAAAAUCAGCAUGACCUAGAAGUUUUGAAACUGGGUAAUGUUCUGGAAAUUUGAUGUCUAAUAUCCCAUUAACAGCAUAUAUUUCCCUGUAAAAAUCCUCCAUCGCUUUGAUUGUGGCUGCAUCUGGGACCUUACCAGCUGCAUGAAUCCAAAGUCGGCCUUUUGGCGAGUCAAAUAAGGAAAAAACAUUAAUGUCCAUGACAAAUGUAUCUAACACAGUAUCUCGAUUACAAUUGAGAACCAAAGAAAAUCCAGGCAAUCUUAAUCUGAAAUCAAUGAGCGUGAGAAUUUGAUAUAUGACAUUAAUGCAAAGCAAAGACCUCUAACACCAUCAUCAAUAAAAUAGAUAGACCCUUGAAAUUACGUCGAAGUGUUUUUUAAGACAUCCAUAGCAUCUAUUACAUGCUCUCUUUUUCCUGAUAACGUACUAUUAUAUGCAUAAGACAUCCAGAAUGUUCUAGAAUGCAAUUUGAGCGAGUAUUGUUUCUUGUUAAAAUUCUGUGAGAAUCUCCCUAGAUCUUCCAAACAAAUCACCGCCUAAACUAAAAUCCCAAUAUUCUCCCAUUCGCAAUUUUAAGUAAGCAAGAAUCAUGGGCUCGCCUAAACAGCAACAAACUCAAUUUUAGGAACUGAAUUUCCAAAAAUCAAUGGAAGCAAACAAGUAAAACCCAACUUAAUGAUAUGCAUAGUAUAUAUAUACCCAGUGCAUGCAACAAAAUACGUCAUAUAUUAAAGAAUAAAUAAGAAUAAAAGCUGAGGAGGACCAAAAGUAAAAAAUUAGAAAAAAAAAAAAAAAAAGGAAAAGUAUCAUCCUUUUUUGCAGAUACCUCAUACCUCUAACAGGGGCAGGCCAUGAUCUGCCUUCAACACGGUUAAUACCAUGAACAAGCAAAGAGGCCCAUGGCUGACGCAAUGUGAGACAUGGGUUUAUGUAGUUUCCAUGAUGUUUGCCUCCCAUUUGAUUUUGAUUUUAAACCAUUUACGAAAAAAUAAAGGGUUUAUUGCAAUGCCCUCUCCUUUAUAGGAAAGAAAUUCGCUGCCCAGGCAAAUGCCCUCUCCUAUGUAUAUAUAUUUAAAUUUACCGUUUAGAAAAAAAUAUAUUAAUUAAUUUUUUAAUUUAAAAAAAUAUUAAAAAUUCCUAAUAUUUUAAAAAUAUAUUAAUUAAUCUUUUAUUAAUUUCAAUUAUUAAAUAAUAUUACUCUUUAUAAUUUAAUAAAAAAUUAUUAAUUUAUUUUUUAAUUUUAUAAAAAAUAUAUUAAUUAAUUUUUUAUCGACUAUAUUUUAAUAUAUUUAAUUGUUAAAAUCAAUAAAUAGGUUAAUUAAUAAAUUUUUUUAUGAAAGUAAAGAAAUAUUUAAUAAAGUUUUUUAAAAUUAAAAACAACUAAUAAAAUUUUUGAGAAUAUAAAAAUUAAAUAAUACAUUUCUCUUAGAGAAUCUUUUCCCUCCUAUUUACUAGUCAUAGAUAUUCGACGAUCAUAUUACAUUAUAAAAUAUAAAAAAAAAUUUAAAGUGGAUGCUAAGAUUUAAGUUCUUUUAAAAUUCUAUGAGAAAAAAAAAAAUUCUUUUCAAGUUAUGGGACGAGGGAGUGGGGCAGAAUGUAAAGCCACAGUGAGGUAAAAAAAAAAAAAGAAAAAUUCCUUUUCCUUAAUGAAUAGGAAGUGAGAGCUUAGAACCUGAGAUUAAAGUGACUUGCAAAUAUUUUUAAUUUCAACUAUUUUAUCAAAUCAGUCUACAUAAAAAAUAAUUAGAUUCCGGCAACUGGUUCGCAAGACGAGCAACACUGCGUUACUUUAGUUCAUCUUUUAAUUUAUGCUCAAAUAAAUAAGUUUUGGAAUUAAAUUCAUUUGUUAACGAUAGUAGAGAAAUAGCUCAAGUAUUGGGAGGUGGGAAGAUAAGAUUUUGUUUCUGGGUAAGGCAUAGUUGUGGCACACCAUAACUUGGAAUGCUUCAAUGGUGGUAACAUGAGAAUGCUCUAAUGGUGGCCACGCUCUUUCCUUGUUCAUAUUACUUAUUAAAGUUGAAAUCUUGAAACAGCAAGACUAGUGCGUGCUUAGCUCUGUAAUGCGUCAACAGGUGGCUGCUUCUGCCGCCUGCCUGCAACUUUCGCAAGAGUUCCUAAACAAAGGAACAAACAAGCAAAAGGAAGCGUCUUGGUUUUCUUUCUUUUCUUUUUCUAUGUUUCUCACUAUUGGCAUAUUCACCUAACUAUCUACUUUAGCUCUCUUUCAUUCUUUCAAUUCUCAAAUCAGCUCAUUUUCAUUUCUCAAUAACAAGAAUAUAUUCUUUGGCCUUUUUCGAAUUCAGCAACCAACGGACACCAUUCAUUCUUUGCUCCACCACAAAGAAAUCAAAACCCAAUCUCCUCUGUCUUUUUUUUUUUAAAAAAGCAUGUUCGUAUUUAUAACUGCUCAACUGGGUCAAAGGGCUUGUAGUGCUGUUGCUGCUGCUGGUGGUGGUCCUUUAUUCUCCUUCUUCCUUGCCUUAGCUUUUCCUUUUUGUUAUGUGCUUGUUUAAAUUUGAAGGUUGAGAGAAAAGGAGGCUGGGAGGUAUGGAGCCUGCUGUUCUUAAUGGUGUGAUUAAUAGGUUGCUUGAAGUUAGAGGCCAACCAGGGAAACAAGUGCCGCUUUCUGAGACUGAGAUUCGGCAGCUUUGUAUCACCUCCAGGGAGAUUUUCUUGAGGCAGCCCAAUCUUUUGGAGCUCGAAGCUCCUAUCAAAAUCUGUGGUAUUUUGCCUUCAAAACCUAUAUGUCAUGUCUAUCUAUUUCCAACUGAUAGAAUUCAAUUGCCUAUUAGGGGCUACGAGUAUUGGUUAAGAUAUUAGUUCGGUUUUGUUUUAUUGCAAAUUCAAUGAUCAGCAUAGAAAAUCAAUUAUUAGAAGUGGGUCUUAAUCUGUCUUCAGUUUGUAUGAUUUCUGCAUCGGUUAUGUUUCGUAUUUAUAGGUGGAUUGUCUUCUAUUCUCGACUUUGCCGGUAGAAUAUGCCAAGGAUAUUUUAUGAAUUUUGUCUAUAAAAGAUUCCUGGAUUGGAAGUCUGUUCUUGCAUCUAAUGGAUGUUUUGAAAUACAAGCUGUUCUUUCACUGAUAUUGAUUCCAGAAACCGUUCUUCUAAUUUGGUUCAAAAUCAGUUUAACUAAACUGGGAUUUUAGGUUCUCUCAACGAAGGACCUUUACUGCCUUACCUUUAUUAUGCUCACCAAGUGUUUGCACCAAAAACAUCAAGAAUAGCAAUGCAAUUUAAAAAUAAAAAGGGCCACUCAUUGACAUAAUUAAGGGCAAGAAAUUCUAAUGAUCUCAUUGGUGGAUGUAUCCUAACUUCAACAUAAUUGAUAAAUCCUAGCUAUUCUUGUCUAUUAUAGCUUGAUAUCUUUUGUGUAUUCAUCAUUCUGCUACAUCUCUUAAAUGAAAUAUCUGGCAUGUGAACCAGCUUGGCUAAUCUGUUUUCUCAAAUUCAUUCUCUUCACUACCUUGUUUUCUAAUAUAUCAUCCCCUGUUCCCCUCUGAUUUUGGGUUGCAAACUUUGAGAAUUGAGAUUUGCAUGAAUUCCUUUCCCCAGUAACUUGCAUGAAGUCAUACAAUAUUAUUCUAAGCUGUUUAUAAUAGUAUCAUUUAUUUGUUUUCUUUUUUUGCUUUUAAUGUUAUUCAUCUGCAGUAGUUUUAUCAUUCUCACAUGUGUUACUUGUUUCUUUAUACCACCAGGAGAUAUACAUGGACAGUAUUCUGAUCUUCUGAAGCUUUUCGAAUAUGGUGGAUUACCUCCUCGUGCUAACUAUUUAUUCUUAGGGGAUUAUGUAGAUCGCGGGAAGCAAAGCCUGGAAACUAUAUGCCUUCUUCUUGCAUAUAAAAUAAAAUAUCCUGAAAACUUUUUCCUACUGAGGGGAAACCAUGAGUGUGCUUCUGUAAACCGUAUAUAUGGAUUUUAUGAUGAGUGCAAAAGAAGAUUCAAUGUCAGACUAUGGAAAAUAUUCACAGAUUGUUUCAACUGCUUGCCUGUGGCAGCUCUUAUUGAUGAAAAGAUUCUUUGUAUGCAUGGUGGACUUUCUCCUGAUCUGCACAAGUUGGACCAGAUAAGGAAUUUGCAACGACCUUGUGUUGUUCCUGAGUCUGGAUUGUUAUGUGAUCUCCUCUGGUCUGAUCCUAGUAAAGACAUUCAAGGUUGGGGAAUAAAUGAAAGGGGGGUUUCAUAUACCUUUGGUGCUGAUAGGGUUAUAGACUUUCUGCGAAAACAUGAUCUUGAUUUGAUUUGUCGAGCUCAUCAGGUAUAAUUUAGACUAUCAACUAUGUGCAGACACUAAUAUUCAUUUAGCUUGGCAUGUAUUGUAAUUAUUAUUAUUUUCACAGGUCGUAGAAGAUGGAUACGAGUUCUUUGCAAAUAGACAACUUGUAACCAUAUUUUCAGCUCCUAAUUAUUGUGGAGAGUUUGACAAUGCUGGUGCCAUGAUGAGCGUGGAUGAGAAUUUAUUAUGCUCAUUCCAAAUAUUGAAACCAGUUGAUAAGAAGCCAAAGUUUGGUUUUGGAAGCAUGGUUACUGCUAAGCCUGGCAACAGUACAGCAAAAAUCAAGGUACAUCUUAUUCCUUCUGGCUUCAAAUGUAUGGAUUACCGACCACAUAAAGUUAAUUAGAGAGUGGCCCUUGCACGAAAUUUUGGCCUUAGUCCCUGAAAUAUAAUUCUGUUAACAGAUACGUUGCUUGUUAGUGUGUCAUCUAUAGAAACAGUUGUAUGAAAUUGGUCUCAAAACGUAGUUCGUUCUUCCUUCUGAAUUUUGGUCUUCAUUUGCUUCUGAAAGUAUGUCACAAGAGGUCCUCAAAUUGGCAUUUCAGAUGCAUUGCUGUGCUUAGUAUACAUGAACUGCCUUCUUCAUGCUGCAUUCUGUCAUUAUGCUUUUUCCUUUCACAGCAUCUGAUUCUUCACAGCUCCCACCUCACCACCAAACCAUGAGAGGAAAGUUACUGGUCAGCUCCACAUUUAGAUUCAUCACUUCUUACUUUUUUAUUUUAUUUUAUUUUUUUCGGUUAACAAAGCAGGCGAGGGAAUACUCAAUAAACUUGGGAUGAAACACCCACCAGAUUAAGCCCGUGGGUGAUGCUCUUAUCCUAUUUUUAAUUAUGUGGUCAAGCUUUUCUUAAUAAUGUGUUCCAUUUCCUUUUGCCAGUCACUUUUAAAAGUGUAAGGAAUCUGAUCCAGCUGCCGUGGAAAGUGACUCGCAGAAUAUCACCACUGUACCAUCUUGUUUAGGUGAAGAUAAUACAGAGAAGUUCAUCGUCCAUGAAAAUUUUAGGAGGUUGUAAUCUCUAUGGGUUUUUUUUCAGUAUGGUUGCGUGUUGCAACUCUGUUAUCAUCUUACAAUAAUCACAGAGCAGAAAAUAUUUUAUUCCCUCAUUUUCCCAACUGGUGUUAUUAAGCAUAAACUAAAUCAUUCUUACUUAGCAGCAAUUCUUCCUUCAUAUUCUUUUCUUGCACUUGUAGAUCUGAAAAAUUCAUAUUACAAUAAGGUUUUCCAGCGGAAAGGAUAAGAUUUUUGCGGGGGACCAAUUUAGAUAAUUGAAAUGCACUUUGAAUUUGCAUAUAUGCCUUGUUGACUUGGAAAAUUUUCAUUGGAUCCAAAUAACUGGUGAUCAAAGUCUUACAACCACUUUGUAUUAUUCCAAAAUGGACCAUUGAAAUGCAUGUAAAUCGCCAAAAUGCUAAAAGCCAAUUUCACUUGCUGCAUAUUUUCGUUACUUUUUGAAUUUUAGUGGAUCAAAUGCCAAAUUGACCUCUUGAUUCUUGAGGAUUGUAUUCAUUCGAAGCUUCAGAUUUGGCUCCUAAAAGAAAUCCGCACUGAUCAUGAGAUUCCAUUCUAGUAUAAGGUUAAUCUUUAAUUAUAAAAUGUUAAUUUAAGAUACAGAAAGUAUUACUACAGUCUACAAGUGGAAGCAAAAAGGACCGACCAACAGGGAUUAAGGAACGAUUAGGCUUCUGAUAAAGUAUAGGAAGAAGAUAAUGGUGAGUACGUCAUGAAUUCAUAUUUCAUAAGGCUUUUUACGGUAUAACUUUUAGAAGAUAAUAUACAUUAAAUUAAAAGUAUAGUAUUAAGCUGAUAUGAGAGUUUACAUCAUUAAAAUUCUUUGUGAAAAAAAUUUUAAAAAAUAUAAAAAUUAGGUAAGGGUAAUAGCUGAAUAGAAAUUCAUUUAAAAAAAAUAAUAAAUAAAGAAUAGACACUGCAAAGUGCUAAUGUGAAUGAAAUUUCUUGGGAUAGAUACCACCGUAUGUGGUUGUUAUUUUUAGACCUCUUAAGAAUUUUAAAAAUUUUGGAAUAAAGAAUGUUCAACGAUUUCUAAAACAGAACGGCAUUGACUAACAUAAAUAGGUAAACCCACACUUCCAUAUUUAAAAAUUAAAUAAAAAAUUCAAUUUAAUUAUUUUUUUUUAUCAAAUCUCAUACUAAAACAUAUGAUAAGUAAAAAAUUAAUUUUUUUAAUUUUAAAAAAUAAAAUAUAUGUGAAAAUAAUAUAAUAUUAUUAGCAAAGUUAUUGUACCAAUUGAAAUUACAAUUUUACUCUUAGUCCCAACCUAAUUCGAUUCAAUAUCGAGACAUAUAAAUUACAUAUAAUUUUUAUAUAAAAUAAUUUAUAUAUUUAUAUUUUAAAUUUAUAUUAAAUUAGAUAUAAAUAAAAGUUAUGUCAUGUUGGAUUUCUUAUACCUCUUAUAUAUCUGUAAUUUUGAGAAAAAAAAGAAAGAAAAAGACCACUCUUCUGGAGUGGUGGACCCGGCUCGUUAGUCAUUGCUCGUAGUCGUCGAAGUCAACCUCCGAAGCGCGUAACUUCGCGUCUGAGUUAACUACAUUAUCCCGAUCACGCGCUUUCCGCGUCACAACAAUUGCAAGAAGACACAGAAGUUUUGGCCGUUCACAUACUACGUUAAGCCUUUGUCGGACAUUAAUUUCCCUGUCUUGCUGUUUAUGGUGACCAUCUACCUAUGAAUUUUUAUUUAGAAAAAUUACAAUUAUUUAUUUGUUUUUUUUUACUCUUACCCAUUUGAAAUUGACGUUUAAUUUUUUUUAUACAUGUCUGUGGGUGUAUUAUCUAUUGUGGUUUAUAACUGUUAAUAUACAAUUAGAUUAAAAAAAAUUAAAUGGUAUUACAUAUUUUAAAUUAUUAAUUAUUUAAUCUUUCUCUUUACUUAAAUAGUUGUUUUUGUAUAUCUGUAUACAUGAGAUGCAUAAUAAAUUAAUAAAAUAAUUAAGGGAAUUGUAUUGAAUGCGAAUGGAAGUAGCUACCUUCCCAUUCCCUCCAUAAAUUCACUGUUUUACGUAUCAACAGGAUUGAAUUCUUCUAUACAUGAAUAUGCAAGGAACAAAGUCACUUUCAUGUAUAGGCCAUUGGGAACUCUUCCCAGCUUCCUUGCAAAUGCAAAGGCCAUUGUAACUAUCCUGCCUGGCCUACGUUAAUCAAUUAUAGUUAAUAAUAUUAUUUCAUAAUCAUAUACUACAUCAAAGCCAGUUCUCACUUGAUCGGUGGCAAACAACCAAAGCUGUAAUGGGCAUUCAAAACUGGAAUUUGGAAAAAUGAGAAAAAUCAUGCACAUGCAGUGCCUGGUUCUCUAAUAAACCCAUGUAAUGACACAAAAAGAAAAAUAAAAGAAAAGUCAAAGUGACGAAACAAAAUGAUCAGAUUAUUGACUGACUUAGCAUGCAACGUCAGAAUCCUCCCAUAUUUCUUUCACAUUCAUUAAUUAAUUUUGUAGUUAGAGUGGACGUCUCAUGUAAAUUGCAUCACAACUUCGGUCGAUGUACGCAAAGCCUUCUCUCUUUAAAUUCAUAUCUUUGAAAAAAUAAUCUGUUUUUUGUUUGAUUGGCUUAAGAACUGUGUGUGUAUAGGACCUUAGACUUUAUAGUUUAGAAAUUUGAUGAAGAAUUUUGGAUCCCCAUAAAGGACUUAAGAACUACUAUGCUUAUUGAAUUAAUUUCCAAAGAUAUUAAUUUAAAUUAUUUUUAUAAUUUCUUUUUACAUAACCCUCUUACAUAUCAUCAUCUAAUCAUCUAUUAAUUGUCUUUUGCUUUCAAAAAUUUAAAAAGCAUGGACCAUUAGUUUAUUUGUACAGAUUAAGUUAUACACAAACAAUUUUAAAUUUUAUUAAUUAAUUCAUAAUUUUUUUAUUAUGUUCAAUUAGGCCAAUUUUAUUAAUGCAAGCAUAUUGCAAAAAAUGAUAAAUUAAUAAAUUAUUAUAGAUUUGUUUUAUUUAGCUCAUCGUUCUAUAUAAACUCUGACUCUAGUUACCCACUCACCCACCCACCUCUUUGCGUCCUUGGUGUGGAUUGAAGGAGCAGGUUAGUCUCUCUACCUCCUUUGCUUUCUUUUUGUUUUUUGGAAACAUUGAAAACCAUUUUAGACAUGAAGCUUGACAGUCCCAAGUUUCUUGAACUCCUCAUGAGCCAUAACACCCAGAUUGGGAUAUUCAGUAGGAUAUGUGCAAAAUGAAAGCAGCAUCCUUUUCUUAACGUACGUUUCCUUUCGUCAUUAUAAUUCCCAGGAAGUUACUCGAGUAGAGCAGACUUUGGAAACCAUAUCCACAUUUACUUUCUCCUUCAGAAACAAAUCCUUAGCAAGUUUCUUUGUAAAAUUUAUCUAGCUAUUUCACAAUUAGCUUCAGUAUGUUUCCAUUUCUGUUGUUAGUGCAAGUCAUAUGAUUUGGUUAUAUACAUGGUAGUUCUAGGUUAAAAGUAUUUGAAAUUAAUCAGCUUUACCUUCUUUUUUUUUUUUUUCUAAUAUAGGAUAAAUUAGUUUGUAUAUUCAGAAUCAAGUUCAAAGGAGGUUUUUUUUCUUUUACAAUUUUCUUUUACAAGUUCAAUAUUGGAUAUAUAAUCGCAGAAGGUAUUUCAAAACUCAGUCGACUUAAAACCUUGCAUUUUUCAGUUGUUAAUACAAUAGCCGGCCUUCUCAUUUUUCUUUCUUGUUAUUGACAAGUGGGAGGACAAGGCAAAUUAAAAGUCGCAAUCUCUCAAUUUUGAAAUUUUCCUUAAGCUAUUGAUAGGUCUGGGACAGCAAAAUCUACCCAAUAGAGCAGCAAGAAGAUUUUCCUUUCCUCUUACAAUUAUUUCUCCAUUCAGUGACUUCUACUUCCAGCUAUCCCCCUUGUUGAUUUUUCUUCCUUGUCUGUUUAAUUAAGUCUUAUAGUAUAGAGUGACAUGUUAAGCUAGCUACAGUUCACGUGACUCUAUUACAAUGAGCGCCAAUCAAGAACCACAAGCUUGCAUCAUCUGGUAGUUCAUCUGUCUAUUCCAUAUCAGUAUAUCUGACCAAAAACUCAAAAUUUUAAGUCUUCCUUAGAAAAUUAAACACGUCACCGUUACCUUUUUUUUCCCCUUCAUUGUCGUAGUUAUUGAUUUGUUUUAUUGUACCACUUGCUGUUUCCAUGAGAAGAGAACAAAAGAAUUGGACUACGAUGUGAUCAUGUUUUAUGCAGUCUGUUGAGAGUUGAUAUUGGAAGCACAUAAUAUCUUGUAAAUAAUUCAGAAUCUUAAGAUUUUCCUCAAUCCAAACAAUCCCUUAACCCUGCAUAAAUCUCUGAAGUUAUCAAACUAAUUUAACAGCGAGGGAAUACUGACCAUAAAGUCAUACUAAUUCAUGUCUAUAUUUUUCUCGUGCAGAUAAAAUUUUAGAAUACAAGUUGGGGAGAAUUGGCCAUGGCCAGAGAACAAUUGGGAGUGCUUAAUGCACUCGACGUUGCCAAGACUCAAUGGUACCAUUUCACAGCAAUUGUGAUUGCUGGAAUGGGUUUCUUCACAGAUGCAUACGACCUUUUUUGCAUCUCGCUGGUCACCAAAUUGCUUGGUCGCAUAUACUACACUGAUUAUGAUAAAGAUAAGCCUGGCACAUUACCUCCAAAUGUGGCGGCCGCUGUCAAUGGUGUUGCACUUUGUGGCACUUUAGCAGGCCAGCUCUUCUUUGGGUGGCUUGGUGACAAAUUGGGCAGGAAGAAAGUCUAUGGGAUAACUCUGAUUCUCAUGGUUGUUUGCUCCCUCGCCUCAGGGCUUUCCUUUGGAGGGACUCCUGAGGGUACCAUUGCAACUCUUUGUUUCUUCAGGUUCUGGCUUGGAUUCGGUAUCGGUGGUGAUUAUCCCUUAUCUGCCACAAUUAUGUCUGAAUAUGCUAACAAGAAGACUCGUGGGGCAUUUAUCGCCGCCGUGUUUGCUAUGCAAGGAUUUGGGAUUUUGGCUGGGGGUAUUGUAGGUCUUAUUGUUUCAAGUGCCUUCGAUCACAGAUUCAAGACCCCGCGAUACUCAGUUAGUCGACGUGCCUCACUUGCUCCUCAAGCUGACUAUAUUUGGCGCAUUAUCUUGAUGUUCGGUGCCUUACCUGCUGCACUCACUUAUUACUGGCGCAUGAAGAUGCCUGAAACUGCACGUUACACAGCCCUCGUUGCUAAGAAUGCAAAACAAGCCGCUGCAGAUAUGUCCAAGGUGUUGCAUGUUGAUCUUGAAGCAGAGGAGGCGAAGGUACGGAAGUUAGCUACAGAACAAUCCAAUUCAUUUGGCUUGUUCUCUAAGGAAUUCGCCAAGCGCCACGGUCUUCACUUGGUAGGAACCACGACUACCUGGUUCCUGUUGGAUAUUGCUUUCUACAGCCAAAACCUUUUCCAGAAGGAUAUCUUCAGUGCAAUCAAUUGGAUUCCUAAAGCAGCGGAAAUGAAUGCCAUUCAUGAGGUUUAUCGGAUUGCAAGGGCUCAAACACUUAUUGCACUGUGCAGUACAGUACCCGGAUAUUGGUUUACAGUGUUCUUAAUCGACUACAUGGGGAGAUUUGCCAUUCAAUUGAUGGGUUUCUUCUUCAUGACAGUGUUCAUGUUCGCACUCGCUAUCCCAUACCAUCAUUGGACCUUGAAGCCUAACAGAAUUGGUUUUGUAGUGAUCUACUCACUGACCUUUUUCUUUGCGAAUUUUGGACCCAAUGCCACAACAUUUGUCGUCCCUGCAGAGAUUUUCCCAGCAAGGCUAAGAUCAACGUGCCACGGUAUUUCUGCAGCAGCAGGAAAGGCAGGUGCUAUCGUGGGUGCAUUUGGUUUCUUAUAUGCUGCACAAAGCCAAGACAAAACCAAGACUGAUGCAGGUUACCCUCCUGGCAUUGGAGUUAAGAACUCUUUAAUUGCUCUGGGUGUUAUCAAUUUCUUUGGCAUGUUGUUUACAUUGUUGGUGCCAGAAUCAAAGGGCAAAUCCCUAGAAGAGUUGACAGGUGAGAAUGAAGAAAAUGAUGCGGAGACUCAGGACGCUGGUACUGCUAGGACUGUUCCAGUGUGAUUUUGAUCAAGGUUUCUGAUACUUGUAUUUUGGGUUUAAAAGUACUCUACUUUCUUAAAAUGCAACAAUAUUAUGUAUAUGUAAUAUAAUAUAUAUUCUAUUGGAUACUUGCUCUUAAAGGCUUUUCAUUGAAGGUGUUCAGAUUUUGCUCUGAUGUCCUAGAGCUGUAUCCUUGCACUCAUCAAUGUUUCAAUGAAAUCUGUAUUACCGACCAUAAAAAAUAGAAAAAUAUUUACUUAAAUCGAAUUUAUCUGAAAAUAUAAUGUAAUUAUACAGUGAAAUUCAAUAAAAUCUUAUAUAAUUAUAUUAUAAUUUGUGUACAUUCAGUUUAGAUAAAAAUUAUAUAAAAAUUAUUUUUAUAUAUUUAUAUUAUAAUUCAUGGACAUCCAAUUUAAAUAAAAAUUACAUUAUAUAAUAUAGAUUUAAAAGAGUUCGCAAAAACAUUCGCUUCUUGAUUUUAGUUUUUUAAUCAAUGAGCUCAUAUACUGUAAAACCUUAAAAUAUUAAUUUUUCAUUGAUAGACUAAAUAAAAAUUAUGAAUAAAAUAUAUAUAUAUAUAUAUAUAUUUUACUUACUACUAAAUAUAAAAAAAGAAUAUGCAGAAAUCUUUUCUUUGGCUCUUUUUUCAUGAGAUUUUCGACAAAAAUAAAUAAAUAAAUGAGUAGAAAUAAAUCAUGUAAAUUAAAAAAAAACAAAUACCAAGUAAUUUUAAUAACUAUAUUUAUCUACCUAUCAAAUUUAAAGUAAUCUACUAUUUUAUGACAUGAUAUUAUUAGCUUACUCCAUAAUUUUCCUAAUCAGUCUAAUCUAAUUAAUUAAUAUCUUUCCUUGGAGUAAAUUGCUAAAAUGGCAUCCUCACUCAUUGCGAUGACUCCAUAAAAUCUUGAUUAUUAUUAAUUUUUUUAUUUUGAGAGAUUAAUAAUAUUUAUUAAAAAAUCACAAUAAAAUACUAUAACUAACCCAAUUUUUUUAACUGUGCGGAUGCUAUGAAAAUAUAUUUAAUAUAUAAUAAAGUAAAUAAAUAAAUCCAAUAAUUCAUAUUAUCUAGAAAAUGGUGAAAAUUAUUUUGAGUCGUCAAUGACUAAAAUACAUAGUUUUUCCCUGUAUGUGAUUGUGUGUGUGUGAAUAUACACGAGGGAAAUUUGGGGGAGGAUGGGUGGCUAAGGCUUCCCUAGUCCCUAGUCCCUAGUCCUCCCUUCCUGCAUCCAGCCACCAACCUUGCACUGGAUCAUCAAUUGGGCUACGAGAUCAACGUCAUCCUUAUUCGCAACAGAAGCUCAAGUGAAGCUGGUGAAAUUUUCAAAAAUCACAAUGAGAUCCGCAGUGAUAGAACCUUAAGGGCCCAAAAGUAGAAGAUACGGUUGUAGUUCUAGGAAAAUGACGUUAAAUAGAGCUCAUCGUAUCUCGUUCUCGUGUAGUCUUAAGAGGAUCGGCCACAGGCCAUCCAAUCAUCCGGGGGCUCUCUGACGCCUAACGCUUCAACUUCAUGGGUAGAUAUCCAGGGUCUAAAAGCUUUAGAUUCAAAGAAACAAGCACAAAACAGACACCUCACGCUGUGCCAUAGGUUUUUCACUAACUCAUCGGUCAUGAGCAAGCGAUCAAUCCUGAUCGGGUUUCUCAACGCUGGGAAUCACAAGCGAGAAACAAAAAUCACAGCAAACAUGUAACCUUUGGGGAAUAUAAUUCAACGGUAAAACUGAAGAUUCUUUAAUAAUUAAUUAAAACAUUCAAAAUCAAUAAAAAUAUAUUUAGAAAAAAAAAUAAGAGACAUACUUCAUAUAUUUAAAUAUUACUUUCUUCCAUUUUAUAAAAAUUUUAAAAAAUAAUUUAUAUAAUAAAUUUACUAAUAUUUAAUAUACUAGUAAUCAUUAUUUCAUGAAAAACGAUAAAUUUUUAUUUUUUAUAUAUAUAUUUAAUAAGAUACAUAUCAGGAUAUUAAUAAAAAAAUUAUUAUUUAAACAAAAGAUAAAUAAUAUAUAUUUUUUAAAAUUUAAAGACCUUUUUAAAUAAAAACAAACUUAUAUUUACGCAAGAAGAUCUUAUGCUUAUGUUAUAACUCUUCGGCGGACGGUGGAUACUGCAGAGAAAUAUUAUAAUCUGUUAAGUGUUAAAUAAACCCCGCCAUUUCCCUGCGCGGCGUCCUCUUCCCUUCUUCGCGCUCUCUAUCUUAAUCGCAAACGCAUUGUUAAGUAUAACAACCACAGGCACGGCCUAUCCCCCUCUUUCUUCGUCUUCUUCACUUUUCUUUUCCCUUUCUUCUGAUUUAUUUUUCAGUACAGAAAGACAGCAAAACACUUUUCUCUGGAAUCGCACGAUUAAGGUCGGUUCUACUUUACUGUUUAUUGUUGCUGUGUGGGUGCGAUCAGGUUGUUUAUUUUGAUUUAAAUCACUAGCUUUCUUGAUGGUUCAUAUUCUUAAGAACCUUCAUGAGUUGAUUGAACACACUGUUGGCUCACCUUUCAGUCUUGAUUUCCUUUUUAACUUCUCUUUUCCCCAAUUCUCCUUUUCUUCUGGGAGGAAAUCAGGGGGCUUUGCUUUUUUCCUUUUUUCCUCUGAGGGUAUUUUAGAUAUUUUAAUAAUGAUUUAUGUAAUUCUAUCCAUCUAUAUUUACAAUUUUUUGAAGUAGAAGGGCAAUUUGAAGUUCCCUUCAAGAACUUUGUAGAACAAUAUCAGUGAUCAGAGGAUGGCAGCAAACCGAUCAUCUGGGAGAUUACUAAGUUUGUACAGUUUUCGAUAAACUUUGUAAUGCAAUUAUUAUGUUAUAAUAGGUUUGAUAUGGAUUUAUUAUUUUAUAAUAUAAUAUAACAAUAGUUAUUAAUUAUAAUAAUUUUUUAUACAAAUCUAUCAUUUUAUAAUAUAUAGUUGUUAUAUAUAUAAUAAUUAUAUUUAAUAAAGUAAAAUAAAGUAAAUAAAAAUUAUUUUAUACAACUUUUAUAUAGAAAAUAAGAUUUUAAAAUAUUUUCAAUUAAUAUAUUAAAAACUGAAAUUAUUAAAAGAAAUUUAAAAACCUUUAAAAUUUUUAUUUUACAUUGUUGUUUAAAAAGAAAACUUUAUCUUUUUUUNNNNNNNNNNNNNNNNAAAAAAAACUCUUUAACAGCUCUGUAACUUUAAACUAAAUUUAUAGUUUUCCUCAACAAACUUACUGAACAAUAGUGUUAGAGUCGAGUUUUGAAUUUUCUUCUAUUACUAAGAAAAAAAAAGAAAAGAAUAUGGUCUCAUAUUCUCUUCUGAAUUUAUACAUUGUACUUGCUGGACCCAUUAAGUUUCCCUUCUUACGUUCCUUUCCUGACUUUCUUGCUUCACCUGUCGUCAUCCAUGUCACCAUGGACGUGUGGCGUUAAUCUUUCUUUCUGUUUCUUUUAUUUUAUUAAUUUUUUACACUUCCUUGUCUGUUUUCAUGACUGAUAUUUGCUCAUCUUUGAAACUCACUUGUUCACGCAUUUAUGGAGAAAAUUUUCCCACUGUGUCCUUCUUACGAUUGCCUGAUCACUUAUGUAAGUACAUCUUGUACCUACACAUGUAUAGCAGUUCUAUUGGGCCGACUCAGCCUUUUGACUCACAAAUUGGACUAGAAGACUUGAAAACUUUUUCUAUUUAAGGUUUUCUUAUAUGUUGAUUAACCCAUCAUAUUGCUGCUGUUUCAGGGGAAAUCAUGGCAAGGGAACACCACCAUGUGCUUAAUGCACUUGAUGCGGCCAAAACACAAUGGUACCAUUUCACUGCAAUUGUGAUUGCUGGCAUGGGUUUUUUCACUGAUGCCUAUGAUCUUUUUUGUAUCUCCCUUGUCACCAAGUUGCUAGGCAGAAUCUAUUACUACAAGGAAGAUUCUACUACUCCUGGAUCUUUACCAUCAAAUGUCUCAGCUGCGGUUAAUGGUGUUGCUUUCUGUGGCACCCUUGCGGGCCAGCUCUUCUUUGGCUGGCUUGGUGAUAAAAUGGGCAGAAAACGUGUAUAUGGAAUGACAUUGAUGCUUAUGGUCAUUUGUUCGAUUGCAUCAGGCCUCUCUUUUGGCAAAAGUCCUGCUGCUGUCAUGUCCACUCUCUGUUUCUUCCGCUUCUGGCUUGGUUUUGGGAUCGGUGGUGACUACCCACUUUCUGCUACAAUCAUGUCCGAAUAUGCUAAUAAAAGAACUCGUGGAGCUUUCAUAGCUGCUGUUUUUGCCAUGCAAGGUUUCGGGAUCUUGGCUGGGGGGAUGAUUGCUAUUAUAAUUUCUGCAGCAUUUAAGGCAAAAUAUACUGCCCAACCUUAUGAAAAUGAUCCGGCUGGCUCUACGGUAGCUGAAGCUGAUUAUGUUUGGAGGAUUAUCUUGAUGUUUGGUGCAGUCCCAGCAGCAGUAACUUAUUACUGGCGAAUGAAGAUGCCUGAAACUGCGCGUUACACUGCUUUAGUCGCCAGGAAUGCCAAACAGGCUGCAUCUGACAUGGCAAAAGUGCUUCAGGUUGAUUUGGAGGCAGAAGAAAAUGAGAAAGUUGAGCAGUCGGACAAAAAUAAUUUUGGUUUGUUCUCUAAGGAAUUUGUUCGCCGCCAUGGAAUUCACUUGAUUGGAACCACUACCACUUGGUUCUUUUUGGACAUUGCAUUCUACAGCCAGAAUCUGUUCCAGAAGGAUAUCUUCAGUGCUAUUGGAUGGAUUCCUCAGGCUAAAACCAUGAAUGCCAUCGAAGAGGUUUAUAGAAUUGCUAGAGCACAAACUCUCAUUGCUCUUUGUAGCACGGUUCCUGGGUAUUGGUUCACUGUCGCAUUAAUUGAUGUAAUAGGAAGAUUUGCAAUUCAAUUGAUGGGAUUCUUCUUCAUGACAGUGUUCAUGUUUGCUUUGGCCAUACCUUACCGUCAUUGGACUCUACCAAGAAACAGAAUUGGAUUCGUUAUCAUGUAUUCAUUAACCUUCUUCUUCUCCAAUUUUGGUCCAAAUGCCACCACAUUUGUGGUGCCUGCAGAGAUUUUCCCAGCAAGGUUAAGGUCGACCUGCCAUGGUAUAUCAGCUGCAUCUGGCAAGUUAGGGGCAAUGGUGGGUGCAUUCGGCUUCUUGUAUGCUGCAGAUGGUAUCGGUGUGAGAAAUACACUAUUAAUCCUUGCCGGAAUCAACUUCUUGGGAAUGAUGUUUACUUUCUUGGUACCUGAGUCUAAGGGAAAAUCAUUAGAGGAAAUAUCCGGUGAAGCUGAGGAAGAAAAUCAAAGUGACAAAACUACAAUAGUCUAGGCAAAAUGUUCCAGGCUUCUAGCUUAACUAGGCUUUCCUUUUAUGUAAUGUGUUAGCGUGAUCUACAGGACAUAAUCAAAGUCGCAUGGUAAACUCUGUUAGCGUGAAUAUAUGAAAAGUUUCAUUCAAUUUGAGAGAGAUUUGAUAAUUGAAGGGACACUCAUCGAUUGGAUUCUUCAACUGUACAUGCGUUUGUAUCAGGCAACUAACAAAUAUGUUGCAUUGAUGAGAUUGUUUUUUUAAGCUGAUAAUAAAAUUUAACAUAAAACGAACAAACCCAACCAUGCGGAACAUGCUUCCCUUUACCCGAAAUCAAUAAAGAAAACAAUGUCUAAUAAUACUUUUGAGGACUUUCCCCUUGAGUGACAGACCAGCCUUGGGCUGAAGGCUCAUGUUGGAUUUCAUCUCUUUUUAAAGCCUUGGGCUCAUCGAGGGAAAGAGAAAAAAGCAGUAUAGUCCGCCCAAUUCAAACGUGAUGCGACCAAUACUCGUUUUGGAGACUAAUAAAUUGGGCCCUUGUCUGCCCAACAAGUCCAUGAACAAAACUCACCUCACAGUAACACUUAGUGAUUUUUUUUUUUAAUUUUUAAAAACAACCUAUUGGGAUGGUUUAGUUUACCACUAAUUUAGAUUUUGAAUUCAAAUGAUGAAAAAGUAUAAGUUUAACUUUACUCUAUUUAAAUAAAAAUACUGUUGAAAAGAUAUUGAUGCUGUAAAAUUUUACCUGUUUACUUAUAUAAUUUUAAAAUUACAUUUAUUUAUUUUUAUAGAUUUUUAUUAGAUUUUUAUUUUUAAUUUUACUCUAUUAUUUAAUAUUUUUACUUAAUUUAUAGUGUUUUUAUAAGUCAAAACUAAUUAAGUAAUGAAAGAGAUAUUUUAAAGAAAAAUAAAAAAAUGUAGGAAAUUUGAAAAAAACAAACAAAAAUAUGGGAUGGAUUCAUAUUUUUACUUCUGUCUCAUAUUUUAAUAUUUACCUCAUAUUUUUCUCUAAGCAAAAAUCUAAAACCGAAUCAUAUAGUAUAAAAUAGAGAGUAAAUUUGUAUUUUUGUAAUUUAUCCCAUUUUCACUCUUUUCCACGUACUCAACCCUAUAUUUUUAUUAAAAAUCAUAAUCCCUUAAAUUCCCAAUUACCACAUAUUAAGAGUUUCAAAGGUAUAAAUAAUCAUAACUGAAAGGUGAAAGGAUUUUUUUGUCCACUUUUAAAUACAUACACACAGAAGAAAUAAUAAAGUAUUCAAGGAAAAAUUGAAAAAUCUAAAAAUUUAUACAUCUAAAAUUUUUUUUUAUUAUUAUUUUAAUUUGUUAUUCAUGAUUAUUUUAAAAUAAUUUUGAAUAAUUUCUCAAUUAAAUUUAUUUUUUAAUUUUUCAACAUAAACAACUAAAUUUUUUUAUUUGAAACUUAAUUUAGCUUGAAUUAUUAAUUUUUUUUAAUUUAUUUGAAUCGAUACGCGUUAAUUAUUUUUUAACCUAUAUAUACGGUAAAAAUCAUGAGAAAUUUAAUAAAAAAAUUUUUAAAAAUUUAGAAACUCAUACAUUUAGAAUUUAAUUUAAUUUUUUUAUUUAUUGUUUAUAAUUAUUUUAAGAAGAUUUUUUAUAAUUUAUUAAUAGAAUUUAUUUUUUAAUUCUUGUAUAUGCGCAACUAAAUUAUUUUAAACGAAAUCUUAAUUUAGUUUGAAUUAUUGAUUUUAUAUAAUUUAUUUAAAUUAUUUUUUUUAAAAUUUAUUAUUUAAUUAUUGAUAUUAUUGUUUUUAAUACAUGCGGAAUCCCAUAAUGCUUAAUGAUCUAAUCAUGAAAUUGAUAAUGUUUUAUAAUUAAAUAGAAUUAAAUAUCAGGAGAAUAUUAAUUGAAUUGAGAUAAAAUAAUGGUAGUGUUUUAUGAAUUCUGAUUUAUUAAACUAUUUAAUUUAAAUUUUUUAAUUUUAUUUUAAAAUUUAAAAUCAUUGUUCACUAUUAUUAUCUAACUAAUAAUUAAAUUUACAAAUAUUUGAGUAGUUACUUUUAAGUAUAUGGUCAGCUUGUCAAAUAUUAAUUUGAUAGACUCACUUAUAUAUAUAUAUAUAUAUAUAUAUAUAUAUAUAUAUAAUUGAUAACAUAAGCUUCUCAAUUAUGCAGACAGAUGAAGUCUACUGGUAACUCACUUUUUCUUUUUAAAAGUUGUUGUAAAAUUUAAUAACAAUAUAUAAUUAUUAAAAGAAAAUCCCCUGAUACCCACAGGCUUCGCCAUGGCUAAGGGCAGCAUUCCGGUGUCUCAUAUUCUUCAUUCCUUUACUGACUAUACAUUUCAAACAGUUUAUUUAUAUAAAAAUUUCAGUGAUUGAAUUUUAUUCAAAAUUUCCCAAACAAUCUUAAUACGUUAAUAACAAUCCAAAAUUCGAAAUCUUCAUACAAUAUAUUUUUUGGGAGGAGAAAAAAGCACCUCGUCGUUUCCUUUAGUCCAAAAUCUUUCCUCGUCUUCUACCAAAACGAAAGCAUAGCCUCUUAAAUUAAGAGUGAACUCGGCGCAUACGGAUUCCACUCCAUCUAUAGUAUAUACAAUACACCUAUGUUCAUAUACAAGCGUAUAUAGGUAGAAGCUUCCAGCUGCUCCACUCUCUUCAUCCUCCUCCAUUUGUUAUCCAUGGAUGCCCUGCAAAAACACACACAACCACCAUUAACAUAUAUAUAUGUUCUACUAAUAAUUGCUAAUAUUUCUUUAUCAAGUUAAAAUGAAAACUGCAUUUUGAUUGCUUCAAUACAAAUGCUCAGCGCAUUCCGGCUUUUAAAUUUUACAAAAUUAUGCUCACCCAAUAUAAGUUAAUAUUAUAUACUUACUUAAUACUUGUUCUGCUGAAAACCUCUUCCAAACAUCUCUACAAAGCAUACUCCUUAGCAGAUCCUUAACCGCCGCUGACACGCCGCGGAAAGCUCUAACCGGAAACCUCAAAUUCCCCCUCAAAACCGCUUCAAAAAUCUCCACUGCGGUUUCACCAUAGAAUGGCGGAAACCCAGCUAACAUAAUAUACAACACCACGCCAGCACUCCACACGUCCACCUUCUCCCCGUACUCUCUACCGAUCAAAAUCUCCGGUGCCACGUAGUAUGGCGUCCCUACAACACCUUUUAUCAUCUCUCCAUCCAUAACCACCUCAGCGGACCCAAAAUCAGCUAGCUUCACCGAAUUUCUGGAGUCGAGCAAAAUGUUAUCCGGCUUAAUGUCGCGGUGGACAACGCCGUACUUGUGGCAGUGAGAAAUGGCACUCAUUAGCUGAAUAAAGAGGAAUCUAGCUUCGGCCUCCGGAAUAACGCCAUUGGCGAUGAUCAAAUCGUGAAGAUCCUGACCGGAGCACAAGUCCAAUACCAUGUGAAGGUGCGUGUCGUCUUCAUAGACGUCGUAAAGCUGGAUUACGUGAGGAUGAGGGGAGAGGAGGUGGAGAAUCUUGGGUUCCAUGAGGAGGCAUUGGGCGUCGAGGGAGUCACCGGAUGUAAGGCUCUUGUCGAUGGACUUGACAGCGAAGGAGUCACUGGUGGAGCGAGAAAUACAUCUAAAAACGGUUCCGAAACGUCCCCGGCCGAUCUCCUCGCAAGUUAGGUAGUCUCUGUUUAGCGCUUGGCUCAUUACUUCGUGCUUUACUUUGCUCAACUUUUUGCGUUAGUUUUCUUGCGUUGCGACGUAUUUAUGUUUGCUUGGUUUCCUUUGCUUUCAAGAAAGGGGAGAGAGAGUGGGAAUGUCUUUCCGAAUAUUCUACAACUGGGAAUUAAGCCAAUAGGAAUUAGACACGUUAUAAGAUUAAUGUCUGUAAUUUAGGCAAGGAGAGACAGGUCAGUCGUUUUAGGGAAACUAUGAGCAUCACGAUUCUUAAUUUCCGUACUACGGGAUCUACGGACUACGGCUACAGAAACACCAGAGUGGGUUACGAUUUGGAAUUUUGGAUAUGGGCGGCGCCACUUUAAUCCUGCCGUCCACCUGUCUGCCAAACAAUCUAAAAUUUAUUAUUUUAUUACUAUUAAAAUAGUAAAAUAAUUAUCAAACUUAAUAAUUUUCAAUUCGUUUUUUCUUUCUGCCAUAUAGAUUAUUUGUCACAUUUUGGAUUUGUUUUGUUGCAUAUUUUCGAUUUGCAUAUUUGUAUUAUUCGAGGGAAAGUUCCUUUUAGGUGGUGGGAGUGGAAUUGUGAAGGAGGAUAUGCUGUUCAUGACUUUUGGAAGAAGCAAAGGGUUGUGGUAGAGACGUUUGGUUGGCGAGGAAGGACACAGGGAGAAAGGAGGAUAAGCAAGCCAACUUGUUAUUCUACCUCUUUGUUAGGUUAAAAGGGUGCUUUCAUCUGGACCAUCCACCAAUCCUUUUUGUUGUCACUGUAAACAAAUAUCUCAGCUAGGCGGUAUUUGCUUUUCUAGGAAUCCAAACAAAGCAUACUAACUAUUUUCUAGGAAAAUAAAAAAGAAAGGAAAUUUGGGUGCCCUUUAUAAAUCGACUAUCUUGUAUUCUGCAAUCAACCAGCUUUCGACAAGGGUAUGCUUGCACUGAUACGAUGGAGAAAUUUGUUUAACUUGACUAUUUAAAUGUAGAAGUGAGAAUUAGAAGAGUAUAUAUUUCUAGAAACAUAAUAAUAACGGCAAGAGAAAGAGAUGGGACUGUAUGGUACUUGACAGCUAGUAUUUCAAUAUUCAAGAAUCGAAUUUACAGGUCCAAAUCAUUGACAUAUGAAAUAUAUUUCUUUUUAUCAAGAUUUCUCGCAUAAUAAUUAAUGCUUUGCUUAGACGCCAUGCAGAUAACAAAUCAUGAUCGACAUUUAUAUAAUAAGAUAUCAUGGACUCAAAUCCCAUUUAGUUCCCAAAAUACCUUGUGGGCAUUGCACCCAGGAAAUGUAUAUAACCAAAUCCAUGACAAGGCAAACCAGAUCAUAGACAACAGGAAAACAAGAGCAGAUUGAGACACAAAAGGCGCUUCCUUCAUUUACUAUAAUAAUAAUUCUAUGAGCUACAGUAGAAUACAUAUACACACACUCACAGACACAUAUAUAGCCAAUAACUAGGCCUAAUGGCUUGACCCUGUUCUCUACAACUUGAGCUGUCCAAAGAGAUGCAAUAUAUCAGCCAAAAUGCAGAAUAUUAAACAUAGAACUUGCACUCUUACAGUUCAGUCACGUCAAGUGAUACUAUUGUAAAAGUUAUAGAAUAUGUCACAAACAGCUCUCCUUCUCAGAUAAAAAGAAAUAUGGAGUCAAACCAACUUAUGAUUGAUGUAGGCAUUAAGUUCCCGCAGCAACUGCAAAUUUAUCAGAUGAAAAUUUAACGGAUUAGAAGCCAAAAGAGUGAUUUAUAAACAACAGCAAUGCUCGCCCACAGAUUCUUCUUCCAAAGAUCAGAAAAACCUUCUCAUAGAAUCUGAUAUUAAAACUUCAUGGGUCCACAGUAAUAGUUUUCUACUUUCUGUUUUAAGAAAUCACCAAAAAACUGAAAGUGGAACACCUUUUAUUUUGGGUUCGUAAAAUUGAAGAUGACCCCUACAUGUAUUUCCAGGACAUACGAAAUAAGGUCUCCGCAGGGAUUUUUCAGUGAGAGCUAGAAAAUGUCAGAGAAGGCAUUUUUCAUGAUACCAAUAUUUUUUCUCCUGCUGUGGGACAACUUCAGAUCCUGCAGGAGAAGAAUCCUCCAGAAUUCGAAAAUAGAUAAUUGGGGAAAGCAAAUUCUUUGAAUUAAAGUGCAUAUCUAAUUACAAAAACUUGUUUCUCAUUCAAAUACGCAUUGCCUAGGUCUUAUGCAAUGUGCAAAGAUAAAAACAGAUAUGUAAUUCAAGGUUAUAAAUGGAGAAAACACAUCAUAUAUGAGGCUUCAAUAAACAAAGAAAAUACAAAAUAGAACCACCAGAUGCAAAGUAAGGAAAAGGGUGAGAAAGGAAAGGAUUGAAGGGAGGAAAAUGCAGGAAAGCCAUUAAAGUUCUCCUAUCCAGGCACUUGGUUGUGAAAAGGAAGGGAAGGGAAGGAAAGGGGAGGAAUGAAGGAAUAAGUGGGUAAGGAACAGGGAGAAAAUGUGGGCCAAAGCAAUAUGAUGAAACUCAUCAUUCCUACAUUUCCUUUUCAUUUCUCUCAACUUUCGGAAAGAAAAAUUUCAGUGGUUUUCUAAACACAGUCAACUCCAAAAUAAUUCCCACCAACGAGUUCUUUUGAACUAAAAUAUGUAGCUUCUACUGCCUCACUUUUCUUUCCAUAACAAAUAAAAUUUAGGAAACCAAAUGAAACAGUUAUGGAUUUAGAAUUUGUUGCUCAUAUACUUGUUAAAGAAUUAGAAACCAGACACUUCAAACAUUUAGAAAAAAGAAAACAAAAAGUUGAAUAGCUUACCAUCUUUGCUUGAAACAUGUUCCCUGUCAAUUUGCACUUGCAAUGGCUGCCUAACAUCAGAUGAUUCAACCUCAUGCAAGGGCUGGCUUUCUGAUGAUGAACAAUACUGGGGUACAGAAAAUGAAAACCUGCUGGUAGCCUGCUUCUCAGUUGCUGAAGAUUCAGCAGUAGAGCACAAGUCUUCAUCUGUUCUGGAGGUGCCUUUUAUGCCAUUACCUUUAUGCAUUUUAUCUCGAUUUGGUCUUUCCUCUUCUAUGUACUUUGAUCUCUUCUUGUGAGCUGGAUUGCACUUAGGAUUUUGAAUUGUUGGUACUUUCUGAUCAUUAGAUGAAAUGGUUGAACAAGGAGCUUUUUCUUUUAACAUAACCUUUGGAAUCGCCAGAUUUCCAGUGCCAACAGUGUUAUCAACGACAACUUCAUUUGUUCCGCCUGAAUCUGAAGCCCUUGCAGACGCUUCCAUUUCCCACAUCUUGAAUAUGGCUCCAGUCAGACGUUCUCUAGCUAAAUCUAAUUCAAUUAUAGGUUUUGGGUAGUUUUGUCCCAGUUCCACCCCUGCAGCUUUAAGCACUAAAAGAGGUGCAUCCCAAGGAUGAUGGAUCCAUUCAGUUGGCAUUCUUGCGAGCUCAGGCAGCCACUGUCUCACAUAUUCGCCCUCUGGAUCAAAUUUUGAGCCUUGAAUCUGACUCAAAAGAAAUUCAAAAAAUAAGCAAUAAAAAGAGGGGCUCAGAAUUGUUCUCUUAAUCAAUACAAGAAAAAUAGCCAAUUCCAACGCUUGAAAUGAUGUCCAUUUAAGAUUAUAGGAAACGAGCUUGUAUUGAAACAUUACAAUAUUAUUGUUCAUCUAGUUGACUUUAAAUUUUACAGCUCUCAUAUCUUGGAGAGUAUCAGAAUUUGUUGAUUUAUAACAGCAUUUAAAAAUAUCAUAUCACAUAAGAGAGUUGGAGAUCAAAGAAUUAAAAAAUGUUGUCAGAAGCAUAAGAAGUCAAUCAAAUCAUAUGAAAUAAGAUAGGUUUUAGUUAUAUAACUUCAUUAUGAUAAUGACUAUACUUUUACACAGUAACAAGAUAGAAGUAGAACUUGUGUUUCUAUUUUAAUCUGUGGCUAAGCCACAACCUAAUUGUCUCAGAAAAAUGAAACAGAAGAAAAUAUGUUAGACAAAAACAAUAAGCAUAAACGCACAUCAUAGGUGAAAGACUAUAUAUUUCAUUUUGCUACUACCUAUGAAUAAAUAGUUGCAUGAAGUCAUCCAAAGGUUAGCCCGUUUCUAGGUAAUUUAUACAAACGGUACACCAACUUCGGCAGAGUUGUAUUGUAAUAGUAAAGUACAUAAACUCCAUUUUAUAAUAUAAUACCCCUUCAACUUCUAUUUAAGUAACAUAAAACCUCAUUUCAAGGUUACUUUGCUGAUGUGGUACUUGUUUAAUUAAAAAUAUACAUAUUUUCUCUCUAAUUUCUAAUAUUUAAUUAAUUUUUUAAUAUUUUAAACAAAACCAAACAAAUUAUUUGAUUAUUUAAAACAACUUAAAAAAUUAAUUAAAUAAAAAACAUGAGAGAGAAAAUAUAUACAUAACUAGAAACUUGGUAUUAUAGGUGAAAUGGGGUUUUAUGUUAAAUAAAAGUUGAAGGGAUUUUAUAUUACAAAAUGAAGUUUAUAUAUUUUACUAUUAUUAUCCUUGUGUACCGUCUAUGUAAAUUACCCCCAUUUCUAUUAUGGAGGUCAAAGAGCCCCACAAAAUUCAGAUGCAAAUGCUUUAAUAAGGAAGGAAUCACAGCAUACCUCUGGGCUAUCCAAACGUUGAAGCUCAUGGCCAUCAGGUAAGCUUCCAGAAAUGUAUUGCCAACCAAGUAUAUCACUUUCCAAGUCUGCAUCCAAAAGUGUGUCCCAAAAAUACUUCAUCCCCCAUCUCCAUGGGAGAAGCAGAACUUUUACAGCAAAACUUGAAACAAUCACUCUGAUUCUAUUAUGUAUCCAACCAGUUGCCCAAAGCUCACGCAUUCCUGCAUCAACUAGGGGAUAACCGGUUCGUCCCUGUCUCCAAGCCUUAAAAUUGCCCUGGUUGACAUCCCAGGGAAAAUACUUUAAGUUGCUCAGCAACGAUCUCUCAUGAGUGAAAGGAAAGUUAAAACAAAGGUAUCGGGAAUAUUCCCUAAGCCCAAUGGAUCUAAGAAACAGAGUCACGCUUUCUUUCCCUAUUGAGUUCUCUUCUUUCACCCACAGCAACUGUUUUAUUCGCACACAUUGGAAAACUUUCCUUAUGCUCAGUUCUCCAAAAUGAAGAUAUGGAGACAAAAGUGAGCUGGAGUUUGCCCCAACCUUUAGCCUAUUCUUUGAAUAAUCAAUUAGAUGCUGUUCAACAAAUUCAGUCAGUGCCUUAUCAGCAUUGCUCCAACCUGGGGACCAUCCCCUUCCUAGUAAGGAAUUGCUAGAUUUUUCUGUUUCAUCUUCAAGACCCAAUUCCUCAAUUGAGCAUUUCUCAAAUUUUCCUGUCAGUGAGGGAGGGGAGAAACAUUAAAAUCAAGGGAAAAAAAGAAAGACAAACUCUUUAAUAAUUCAUCUCCUCCCCUCAUAGCUAACAAAUGUGCACAGACACAAAGGCUGUGGUGAUGUUGCAUCAUAUCAACAAUUGACAGUUGUUAUCAGAGAACAAAAUUAAUAAUUACAAAUAUCAUUGAAAUAUUACCUGGAGCUGGCAGUAGUCGCCAUGGAGGAAGAUGUGAAACAGGUUCCAUUUGCAUGUGCAGGCUCUUGUCCCAAAACGAGUCAAAUCUCACAAAAGCAUUUCCACUUUCAUCAUAUAUUUCCCACGGUUCACACAGCAAGUCCCCAUUAUAGCUUUGCACAGUAAUGCCAAGCUCCAGCAGUUUUUCUUUGAUGUUAUGAUCUCGAACAAGUGAUACUGGAUCUGGGAAGAGGAAUAAAACAUAAUAAUCAACAAUCAAACAAAUACCUAAGUGAACAGUACUAAAUACCAACAUUCAUAAAGCACCAAGUCAAUACUUCAAGGCCAAAAUAUAGCUGAUUCUACACUAACUACAGAUUUUUUUUUUUUUUUGGUUAACUAACUACAGAUUAUUUGGUAAAAUAUAUUAGCAUUUUUCCUUCACAUUAGCCUGUGAAUGAUUAAUUCCUGAACCAGUGAUAAGGAAAGAAAAGCCUCUAGCCCUUUAGGUAUUGUGCUUGCAGAUUCUCUGAAAAUGUUGGUAUUAACUAUUAAAAUUAGGGAAAUCAUUUAGUUUCCUUUUAUACAAUCUUUGCUGAUUAACCUUCUUCUGCAUGCAACAACUUCAACAAAAACAUCAUAACAUAUUAACAUCAACAUUUACAAUCCUCUUAAGGAAACUGCAAAGGGACUUAAGCAGCAUAAUUAUCAACGCCCAUAAUCUACUUAAGAACUGACAGGGGUUUUAACUUAGCAAAACAAAUAAAAUAAAAGGAAGAAUAGAUAAAACUGCAAAAGGAAUUGUAAAUGCAAUUCAAUGAAAAGCACUAGUGCCCAACAAAUAUUAAGCUAUAGAUUCACAAUUCACCAAGAAAUUUAUUAUAAGAUAUCACUUAAGAUUCCUCAUCAUCCAACCAAGCAAACCUUGGAAUAUAACUGUCAGUACCAAAAAGAAAUGCUUCUAGUAAAGCAAAAAGAGGGCAUACCAUAGAGAUGAUUGAAUACCACUCUUGUUGCUCCAACGGCAUUUAUGCAAUCCAAAAGAGCAGAGAGAGUACUAUGAGUUUUGAUCAAUAUGAGUUCAGCCCCAAGAGAUUUCAGUGACUGUCCAAAGUGGGCAAGAGACUGCUUCAGCCACCACCUUGAUACUCGACCUGGGUAGAAUUGUCCUUCUUCUUGAGGACACCAUAUGAAGACAGGAAAUACACAACCAUCCCUGGCUGCAGUAGCUAAUGCAGGAUUGUCCUCAAUUCUAAGGUCCCUCCUAAACCAAACAAUGGUCUUGUUGCUGCCCAUAUUGGAAUAACUCAGAUCUGAGGAUCAGACUAAAAUUCAAACUUAUGAUGGUUGCACUUGUUCCUCCACAUCUUACCUUCAAUUUAGAACUAAAAACAUCUGAAAGGUUUCUUGCUGAUCACAGUGCUCAAUCAAACAAAUAUAUUCUAUUCAGUUUCAUGAACCAACUCAGUAUCAACAAACAAGGGACCCAUGUAGCAGAGAACCUGCGAAUAUCUAGAAUGGCAACGGGUAGCUCCCGUCCAAGACAACCGGACCCUAAAUUAACAAUACCAGCACAGUAAAUAAUUAGUAAAAUUUGGCUGUUACUCACAACUAGCCAAACAGCAAAGCUUACUAGAAUUCAGCUUCUACUCUACUCCCUUGUAUCAAACAAUACCCAAAUUACCAAAUCCUACAAGUUGCCGCUUAAAGUAAUAAAAUAUUGAAAACACUUUUAUAUACACUCCAAAAGAGAAAAGGCAAACUGUUCAUGUACAUUCUUGAUACGCCUAGAGUUUGAUAAACCAACUUUAAUUCAGCUCAAUAAACACAAAGAGAAAAACAUGAUAUAUCAUGCGAAUAUAAGAAUACAGAUCUGGGACAGGCACCAAAAUGAUUCCUUAUAAUUUAGAUUUAAGAAUAAUAUCCACAAUCGAAAGGAGAUGAGAACCCAUAAAGAAAUCAAACAGCUAAAAAACAGAAACGAUCACAAAAAGUAAAGGAUCCCAACUGUACCCAGUUCUUGUUUGAGGAUGAUUAUUGAAGAAGAUAAAUUAUUUACCCGCCCAGUAAAGGAAAUAGCCGACUAGGUGCCAAUCCCGUAGCAGUUGACGGGCAUAGAUAUCGGUUAAAAUGAUCCAUUGUACCGUAAUAGAAUUAGUAGUGCAGUGGAAAAAUUGGGCAUUGGAUUGGAGUUGGAAUUGUCUUCAUGUGUGAAUGAGUGGCGAAUUGAUGUAAUUAAGAUGAAGAUCACGUGGGCUAUGGUGAUAUUGAUGGUGGUGGUGGGCCUUAUCUUGUUUGCUUUGUGGAUCCAUCAGGUAAAAAUAGAAAAGAAACAAGAUGAAAUCGGGAUAAGGGCCUCUAUCUCUCACGGCAUGAUGCGUAUCCCGUCUUGAGACUGCUCCCAUUAUUAUACUUUUUCCAGAGACUUCGCUCUGGCUGCUUCUUUAGCUUUCCCAGUUUGGGGAAACUCCAACAUAGACAUCCAUUAAGCAUAUUCUUUGAUGCCAAUGCAAUUUCCGACUUGGAUCAUGUAAAAGUUUCCCAGGUUCGCCUUAUACCAAAAAUUAAAACUUCUCAUAAUUAGAGUUAUCAGACUUCAACGAUUUAUUCCCCAUCCUCCUCCUAAUUCGUUUAUAUUGCGCUUCCUUAUUCUCUAACCCUCAUUGUUUUUUUUUAUUGAAAUGGAAAUUAAAAAUUGAGUACUGCACUUCCUUAUUCUCUAACUCUCAUUGUUUUUCUUAAUGAAAAUUAAAAAUUAAAAAAAUAAAAUCUGAUACCUUUCAAAUAUACUUAUUAUCAAAUAUAUUUAUUAUCAAAUGUUAAAUAUCAAAUUAUAUCUGAAAAUGCCUUAUUCAUUACUUAUUAUUUUGUUUAUAACAAUAGGCACUAAUUAAAAAUUAAUUUAAUUGAUCAAGAUCCAUGCAAAAAAUAUCUGCGAGAUUUGCAUCCAACAGUCGCUACCUUUAUCUAGAAUCCAGUAUUUUAUCUGGUCACUUUCUAAACAAAAUGACAAAAUAAUCCAGGAUUCAAUCAUCUAUUCAUCUAUGCUCGAAAGCAACACUUGAUAUCAAAGUAUAACAGUACUUUGAAGAUUAAAAAUUAAUAUGCAAAACCAUGUCCAAUUAUCAACUGAGAAGCAUCAUGGCAAUAAGGAGCUCAAAUUUGUCCAUGCCCAAGAACUCCCGAUCAGCCUUCUCAGACGUCAAUUAUUUAGUACAAUUAAGAUUUAUGUAUUUGUGCCUGAGACACAUGACACGUAAUUAUCAACUAACUGAAGUAACUAGCAAUAUACGAAUUUCCUCCAGGUUGCACGUGUAACUCCUGAAGAUUUGGAACACUUAGAUCCACAGUGAGCGCUCAGUGUGCACGGUCUCUGAGUACCUCGAGAUCCAUCUCAGUUGGAUCAGUUGCCUGGAUUGCAUAAUGGAUGCCUUCCAGUUCUCUUCUGAACCUGUCCUUCGAAGUUGCAUAAAGCAUUUUUGCACGAAUGCGAGAAACAGCAGGAGACCUAAAAGAAGACAGGAUUUCAAAUAUAGUACAUAAUUCCGAAUUUGGGAUAUAGCAGUAACAGAGAAAUACAAGCCUUUGUUUGGUAUGAUCUAUUUUAUAAGAAAAGAAUUCAAAUAAAUUCUUAUAAAAUAAUGCAAGAUUUCAACUUAUUUUAAAAUGAAAGUUUUUUAAAUUAAAAAAUAAAUAAAUUCUUUUAUUGCAAAUAAGAGAAUUGAUAAAAAAAGAAAUCAAUUGAAUUAAAUUCCUGCGAACUCCUUCAUUCCAACUAGAGGGUAGAAGAUGUCAGUUAGUCCACUUUAUGAACCCAUAGACCAAUAUAAAUUUCCUUGCAGAUAAACUUUUACAUUUAACUCUGUCGACUAUCCAAUGCAGCAAAACAACCAGGUGUUUGACUCGCUCUCCUCAAAUAGGGGACUGAAAACACGAAAAUACAUUAAGCAUGUGAUGCAACCAUAAGCAGAUAAAAUACAAUACUGAGACUAAUCUUUCCCUUUCCCCCCUCAUACAAUCAGAGGCAACAUGCACAUGACCCCAAAAGAAAGAUCCCAAAGAAGCAUUCCCCAUUGACAUGGCAUUCUUUUGCUGAAUUCUUAGAGGACCAUUCAUGGAUACUCUGUUCUUGACAAAAAAUGUUGGAUAAGGGUUCAAACCUUAGCAAUCCCAUUCCUUAUAAGAAUUUCCAACGUAUCAACAGAAAAUAAUUGAAAAAACAAAAAAUUCUUGUUUUAGACUACAGCGGACAGCCCAUCCCUCCGCCUAGUGGACCAUAUGGUUUAAUGGCCUAGCCCUAGAAAAAGUUACCCAAAAGCUGGAAAGAGCCCAAACCUAGAAACAUCCCCCAAAACGCAAAAGUAUGAAGUACCAAAAGUAGACACAAGAUGGCAUCGCUGUUUGCCACUUCAACAAAAUGACACCAAGAUGCUCAGAGAAAAAGAGCAUCAACAGUUACUUGGCUAGUAACAAGGAUAACUAUAAAGAAACAAGGGAUUUGAAUGAGAAUCACAGCACUAAGCUUCAGCAGAGAAUUUGGGGGAAGAUUUCAAGCAUUCUAUGAACAUGUGCAUACACCAUAAAACUAAAUUUGCAACACUCCCACAUAAAGCAGAUAAAACCAGAACUAUAACUGUUGUAUUCUAAUGAAACAGCGUCCAUUUCAAGAAAGAAAAUCACCAUGCAAUGAAGAAGAUCUUGCUCUUCUGGCAGUUCUCAGAAGUCACAAAAUCAAAGUCGUAGACAGCAUAUCGGCAAUCAUUCUCAGGCAAGGAAGCAGUAAAGUCAUCAUAACUCUCAGCUGGCCCUCCAGUCUUCUCAACCACAACCUCUUUUUUCUUCUCAUCAAUCUUAAAGAUAACAUAACGGUGGACCUUCUUUCUCUGCAGUUCUAGAAAUGUCGCUUUGCUGUGCUCAGCAACGCCCAUGCCAGAAGAAGCAUUUGCCUGUCAAGGAAAAUAAAAAAACUACUGUUAAUAGAUGCACUAACCAACCCACUGACCAAAACAAGCUCCAGGGACUUUACGUCCACUCCUGCGUCUCAGAAUGGAGGAUUUACCGCUAGUCAUUGGCAUCAAAUUAUGAUUUACUCCAUUAUGAUAUUUGUUCUUCAAAAAGACAAACAACGGUGCACAAAUUGCAAAUGAUAUAUGUUAAAUAUUGAAUACAUACAAACAUACAUGCAUGUAAGCACAUCAAUCCAGGCUGUACCAAGGUAAAGGAAUUCUAUUGAUAAGAUGCACAUUUAGGACCUUGAACUUUUUAUGGAGGUCCCAUAUAUUUAAUUGGUCAUUUUGCAUUUCUUUUUUAUAUACAAUGGAUACUUAGAUCUCUAGACUUGUUUAUCAUUUUUUACAUGGUAACUUUUUUUAACAGACUCAGUAGUAAAAUUUAAAUUGACAACACAUUUAAAAAAAGUAAAGAAAAGAAAAGGAAAAAUGCAUCUUAUUGGGUCCCCAUAGUUUUAGGUAGUCGCUCUGCGUGCCAUUUUCUUUAAAGUCCUUGAACUUUGAAGAUCCACAUCAAAGGCUUUGAAGAUCUCAACAAAUUCGAAAGCGAGAAAGAGGGGAACCCAACCCAAAUUGCCUAUUAUAGAGAGGUAAGAACCAGAAACUCCACAAUUGCCAUUCCCCCUCUCCAACCAUCAUGUGACAGCAUCCUAAGGAGUUGCCUAAGUAUCACCAGAAAUAGAAAUGUGGAACAUAUUGGCUAUAAUUCACAGAGAGAUGACUCAGCUUCGAUUCAAAGAGGGAAGGCUCGAGUACACGGACUCUGAGAAAAAAAUUGAAAGUUCAGGGACUAAAAGAUUGUUUUGCCAAGCCUAAAUGUAUCCACGUCCUAUGAGUUUGUGAUAAAAUGUAAACCUCUACUUGCAAUUCUUUCGUUGCAUUUCUUAGAUGGUAUAUGUGCCUGAAAACCUAAUACAUCAUUUCAAGAACCAACCAAACUGUGGAUACUAGAAUUCAUUAUUCCAGUUACAAUCCAUAGGGCAUUUAUGUAAAUUAUGAAGAGAAGAGCUAUUACAAAGGGUAAUGUUAUAAUCAAUUUGCAUCACUAAGCCAGCAUACAAUUCUAUCCAUUACCAUUAACUAGAUAUAUCAAUUACUCAAAUUGCAAGUUAUCAUUUACAGUACAAUCACCUGAAAGGAAUUAAAAUAAGUUAAAAAAAUUUCGGAUUCUCUCUUCAAUCAUGACUCCAAAUAUCCAAAAAUCCAGCACACAAAUUAACGAAUAACAUACUGAAAAAUGAAAAUAAGGGAGGAUAAAACAUCAAUCAAGCAAACACGUAUUUUGUCUAAAUAAUUAAAUUAAAACUUAUGUAAAUGCUUAGAGAUGACAAAUACUGCACCAAACGAACUAACAGAUCAUAUUCAACAUGACAAGACUUGAUAAAAUUACAUAUAUAAAAAAAACAGCAUCAAAUUCAGAUCUUAACAAAGUGAGACAUGGAGAGAAAAGGAAAGGCUUACCCCUCUGAAAGCCAUAGCCGCUAAGAAAAAGAAAGAGUUCCUAAGGAGCGCAAAACAGUAGAGAGUUAAGAGAAGAAAUAGCCUGGAGAAGAAGAGGAAAUUGGGGAAAAAAAAAAAAAGAGCCACCAAAGAAAAUAAAAUAAAAUAAGUAUAAUAUAGAGAGAAUAUAUUCUGUGUGUUUUUGAGCGAGGCAAGGAACAGAAGAAAGGGAAGGAAACGAAGACAAUAGCAUUAGUAUGAGCAGAAAGAAAAGACGAGCGUCGCGUCUAUUGACAAGGAGUGCCAGAAUGAUCAAGUGAGUCACGGUAGUUUAGGUCUGCUGACAGUAGCCGUGGUUCCUUACGGUUGAUUUGCCAAAGGGAUCAUCAGCGUUCCACGUGUAUGGUUUGAACUUUUAACUGUCAUCUUUUAUUAGACCCUCCUCCAAUCCUCGUUGAUUCUCACUUAGGGCUCAACUAUAACCGGGCCUUGCAUAUCAUAACUUGAGUCCAUUUUUUUUAUAAGUUUUAGUUAUUUUUUCUUUUAUAAGUUAAAAUUUUUAGUAUUUUUAUAAAUAUUUUGAUGAUACAAAGUAAUUAUUAUUAAAUUAAUUAAUAAAGUUUUAUUACCCACAUAUAAUUUUUUUAUAUUACUUGUAAAAUAUAUAUAUAUUCAUUAAUAAUGCUAAAAGUUUAAUACUUUUACAAAUAUGAUGAAAUAUUCAAAUUCUAAUUUGACAAUUUGAUUAUAGAAAUUGGGUGUUAGAAACUCUUGAUCGGGGGGAAGACCUUUAAUUUGUUUAUAUAAUGGGCCCGUUUAUAUUAUUGGGUUUGUCUAAGCGAAGGCCCUAAUCAACGCUCGACGGAAGGUUAAUUUUUCACGAACUAUAUAACUAAUCACUCUAUGCAUCAUUGAGUUAAGCCUUUAUUUGGUAUGUAUUUCUUUUUUUUAAAAAAUAAAUUUUAUUAAUAAAAUUUAAUUCAUUUCUAUUUAUAAAAUAAUUAAUCUGUUUGAAAUCAAUUUAAAUAUAAUAAAAUUUAAUUCAACUCUUUUAUAUUAAUUAAAUUAAUAAUAAAUUUAAUUUAAUUUAAUUUAUUUAUGAUUCUUAUUAUUUUUAAACUAAAUAUAAAUAUUUAUUUUUAUAAAUAAUAAUUAUUUUUUAUCAUAAUUAUUAAAAAAAUAUUAUUAUUAUUUUUAUAACAUUUAAAAUCAGAAUUUCACAUUUUUUUACAAUUAAAAAUAUAAAAAAUAUUUUUUAAAAUUAAUAAAAUAAUAUAAUAAAUUUCUUAAUAAUAAUUAUAAAUAGUCAAUAUAAAGAGUAAUUAUUAAUUAAAAAUAAAAAAUAAAUUUAAAAUUAAAAUAAAUAAAUAAAAUUAAAAAAGUUCCAAUGAUUAAUUAAAUAAUUUUAAUAUAAAUUAUUUUAAGUGAAAUUAUUUUUUGUAAAAUUCUAAUAAUUUUUAAAAAAUUAUUUUUAAUUCAAAAUCAAUUCUAAUCAGAACUAUUGAUUUUGAUUUUACUAAAUAUAAAAUUUUUGGGAAAAUGUAUUUUUUAAAAAUUAUUUUGAAAUUAAACAUUGGGUACUGAAUUAUUACAUUUAUCAAUCCGGGCCAAACGAGAAGAUUCAAAUUAAGUUAUGCAUUAUUAAUGGGCUAGUUAUCCAUAUGGGAACUUUGAAGAUGUUAAUACGCGUGUGUAUAUAUAUAUAUAUAAAGUAGACCCAUCAAAAUCUGUGAUAUUAUGUAUAUGUGGUUCGAGAAAAGCAAGUGAAUCUCUCCGCCAGAUCCAAUCAGGCUAUAGAAAGCCUAAUCUAUAGAGCAUAAAAAUUAGAUUUUUAAUUCUCUUUAUAUUUUUAUAACUCAAACCGGCGUCUCUAAUACUCAUAUUAUCCAUAAAAAGUUUAUAUAAAGAUUAUUGAUUUUUAUAAAAACCAUGUAAACUAGAUACGACCUGGAUGAGACAUUGAUUUUCUACACAAUGAACAAUCUUCUUAAUCUCUUUCAAACUAUUAAACUAAUGUAAUGUACACACCAGAUAAAAUAUAUGCAAAACAGCUAUGCAUCAAUUAAUCUAUUGUCAGCUAUUUGAUAAACCAACCCUAACAUGUUACCAUUUAAUUUAAUGAUAUAUAAAGUAAGAAAUUAAGUAUAAAUAUCCCUGAAUUAACUCUUUGCAGAAAGAGGACACUCCUGGGACCAAAGCUCUCCAAAAAUAAAUCGCUCACUCUUCUAGACACCAAAUCCCAAAAAAGUAAAUCUUUCUCUUAUAUAUUCACAAGAAAAACUCUAAGGAUGGAAGUCCUUUGAAAAUUUUUAGCCAAUACAUUAUUAUUUAAUUUUUUUUAUAUUAUUAAAUUUCAUAUAAUUUUUAAUUUAAUUUGUGCAUCUCAAAAUUUCUUUAAAAUAUCCCCAAUAAAAAUUUAGCGCCUUUUUAUUUUUUUUUUCAAAAUUAAAUAUAUAAAGACCUAGCAAAAUUAUUUUCGAAUCAAUAGUAAAUCUAUUUAUUUGAACCGCUGUGUAAAUGUCCACUCCAAAAUCAUCCGCUAAAAAUCAGUUGAUCGAUAUUUGAGUCACGAGAACAAUUAUCUCAAUAAUUAAUAGACAAAAUUCAGAGCAUAAAAUAGUAAUUAAAAAAAUAUGAAAGCGACUAGCAAGAUACAAUAAACUUUUAAGAUAUGCACCAAAUGAAAUUGAUAAUAUAAAAUUAAUUAAUUCCAUAAGGGAUGACUACAAGCAACUUCAGUGGACCCCAAAAAGGAAAAAAAACAAAAGAAAAAAAAAAAGAGACUUGGUGGACUAACUAUCAUAUGUAUGGAUGAUAUAAUUAUGAAAAUAAGGGUGACAAUAUUAAUUAAGGAUCCAUUAAAUCUUUUAAUUUGUGAUUUGUCUUCUUAAUCAGGAUGUGGAAAUUAUUGAAUAAGAGUAAUCCAUUUUCAAAAUGUAACAUCAAAUAGUUCUGUGUCAUUUCAAUCAAUCAAAAUACCAAUUUAAACUUAUACAUUAAAGCUCAUACUGUUGCAAACAAAUAAUAAUAAUAAUAAUAAUAAUAAUAAUAAAAGAAAUAUUGAGAAAGGCAAAAAAGUCACCCAAUUGAGUGAUUGACCUUAUGAGAAAAUGUUAAAGAGAAAAGCAUGCACACAAGUGCAAUUGAUGAAGAAAAAAUUAGCCCACGAAAUUGACUUUGACAAAAAGGAACACAUCAAAUUCUAAACUUCAUUCAUGCAUUGAACGUUAAUUUGAACUCAUCUUCAUUAACGGCUAACUAAGAGCUAUCUCCAUUUUUUUUCUAUUUUUUAAUCUCAAUACAUUGCAUUUAAAAUUAAAAUUAAAAUUGAAAUAAAACAGCUAUCUAUACAGGAAUAUAAGUUAUAUAUAUUCUUUAUUUUUUUAUGAGUGAAAAUAAAGUUACGUAUGUCAUUUCUUUUUUCUUUUUUUUUCUUUUGGAGGACUAAUAAUAACUAAAGUUUCAGCAGCCAUAACCCUAUACUAAUGAUUUCAUAGCUACCAAAAGGAUAAAAAUAAGGCCAUGUAACAAAGCACUUGCGAGUAAAAGCCGCAGCCAUGUAAUUCAGGCGGAAGACAGUCAACAAUGGCUUCAUUUAUUUCUCCUUUUCCUUUUUUUUUUUUUAAUUAAAAAAGAAAAAAAGGAAAUAGUCGCUCUCUCUUCUGUUAUUAUAUAUCCAGUACUAAGGCAUGGUGGGAACACAUGCUUCAGCUCUCUCUCUCUAUAUUUUUUAUAUAUAUACUGAGAAAUAAUGAUAACCCGGCGCCACUGCCACGCAUAAUUAAUUCCAACUUUCAAUUGUUUAAUCCAACUUGUUUUAUAUUUACCAAAUAUUUUUAUAAAAUUAAUGGAUGAAUUAUUUAAUGUAAAUUUAUUAAAGAAAAGAGUUCCAGGACCAGUACGGGUUUUGUCUUGAAGCUGUGUAGUCUUUUUUAAAUUUAAAAAAUAUGUUUAAAAAAAUCAAUUCUGCUCAAAUCUGAGAGAAACUAGGGGAUCUAGGCUACCAAAAAAAAAAAGUGCAUAAUGGAUCCAGGUCUUAUUUUAUGAAUUAUACGAGUCCAUGAAAAAGACACAAAUCACAAUGUGACAAGAUUUUGCAGUUGGAUAGUUUAAAAGUAUGAAGUAAUCUUACCUUUAUUUCGCAUGAUAUAUUUUGUAAAAAAAUGGAUUUUUUUAAAAAAUUUUAAUAAUAAAAUUAAAUUAUUUUGAAAUUUUUUAUUCAAAUGGAGAGUUAAACUAUAUCUUAAUUGAUCUUAAUCCUAAAUCUUAAGAUUUACACAGCUCAUAUAAAUAAGGAAGUAAGUUAAUUAAAAAAAAAAAAUCAUCACGUGCUUCUUUUGUCCAUAUAUAUGUAUUUAUGUAUAAACUUAUUUUCAGCUAGCGUAUAUAUGUGUGUCUAAUCAUUAAAAUUUUAACACAUUCAUCAACCCAACCAAAUCCGAAAUGAUUAUAUUUAAAUUAAAUAGAAUGAUUCUGAUUUAGAAUUAUAAUCCUAUUGUAUAUUAAUUAAUGGUAUGAGUAUCCAAUGGAAGGAAGCCAAUAUGGCAGCCAUGUGGUAUGUUGCAGAACUACAGGAUGAAGUGGACCCAUAUUUUCGGAAAAUUAUAAAAUAUUUUCAUAAAGCUAAAAUUUUUUUUUUUAUUUUAUAUAUUUUUUAUAUGUGAUUUUUUUAAUUAAUAAAAAUACCUAGAUAAGAGAAUAAUAUGUAAACUAAUUUUUAAAAGAAUUUCAAAGGUUAAAGGUCUUUAUAUCGAGCUCGUAUGAACAUUUUGAUUAAAAGAAAAAUUGUAAGUAGGUUUGGUAUAUUAAAAAGGAGUUGGCAAUUUGAUUAUUAGUGGUUUGAAAAUUCUAAGACAGUAUUUCAAAGCAAGAACAGAUUUUAUUUUAAUUUAGUAAGAAAAAAUAUAUGCAUGUAUCCACUUGCAAAAUUUUAUUCCUUAGAUUUUAGAACAGUCAAAUCCACGUGCGCUCACUCCCCCACAACUUGUGUUGCCGUUUGGCCCUCUCUCAUUGGCGAAUCACUUCUUUGACCUUAUUGAGUCAUUGACCGAGUUGAAGCUUACCACUCUAUUUCAUUUAUCCAAAAAAUAAUUAAUUUAGUUCUAUGUUACUAUAAGAUAACUCAUUAACUACUUUUAAUUUUUUUUAAAAAUAUAUUCAAAAUAUCUUAUAUCUUUAAAAGUAUAUUAACUAAUUUUUUUUAUAUUAUAAUAAUUAAAUUACAUUUUUUAUUUUUUAAUUGAUUCACGGAGAGAGAUAUAUAUAAUGAAAUUUACUUAUUAAAUGUAUUAGCUUCGUAAUGGGUUGGGUCCGGUAAGGAUUUUUCACAUUUUCAAUUUGAGUAUUUGCUAUUUUUAAUUAUUUUAAAAUUCUUAAGAAUUUCAAUUAGUAAAUUUAAACUCUGUUGAUCUCCUGCAAUAAGAGAGUAAGAGACAAAUAAACUACCAAAACCAACGGUAAAUAAUUGAGGAAUAUCAUACGUUAAGUUGAGAUAACGAAAAUGAAGUUAGAACAUUUAAUUUGAAAUCGUAAUACAUAAUAAAUAAAAAAGUCUUAAUAGUACAAAAAAAUAUAUUUUUCAUUUUAUUAUAAUUAUAUUUUAUAUUUUUUUAUCAAUUAAAUUUUGAUCAUUAUAUACUAUUAUUUAUAUGUCAUAUCGGUAAAUUUCAAGAUAAAUUUGAUAGUAAUUUAAAAUUUAAAAGUAAAAUUGUAAUAAAAUUAAAAUUAUAAAAUUUUUUUAUAAUUAUUUAUUUUAUUAAUAAUUUUUUUAGAACAUGGAUAGAAACUGAAUUUAUAAUUUCAGAUAAAUUAUAUAUUUUUCUUAAAUAUUUAACCAAGUCAGAUCAGAUAAUCAAAUAUUUAAUUUAUAUUUUAUUAAUUUUUUUUUAAAAUUCACUUAAAUAUUAAUAUAAUUUUAAGAAAUGGUGUAUUAAUAUUAUAUUUGAAAAUCAAAAGAAUAAUUUAAAAAAUAUUCUAAAAUAUUAUUUUAUUAUUUUUAAUAUUUUUAAAUUAAAUUAUAUUAAAUAUUAUAUUAAAUUAUUUUUUAAUAUUUCAUGAUUAAUAUAUUUAAUAAGAUUAUUUUUACAUAAUUUUAAAAUAGAAAGUAUAUUAGACAAAUUAAAAAAAAUAGAUUGAUAAUGAUUUUAAUCAAACUAAGAGUAAAAUAAAUUAUGAUUAUAAAAUUAUUAAUAAAAAUAAAAAAAAAUUAAUAAUAAUAUAAAUAGUAAUUUUUAAAUAUAUUUAUAACUUGAUAAUUUUAUAAAUUUCUAAUUAUACAAAGUAUCAAUUGAGUUCAUUUAGUUAAAUAUUACAAAAAUAGAGUAUAAUUAAUAAAAAAGUAAAAGUAUAGAAUGAAAUUAUAAUAUAAAUAAAAUAUAAGAUUUUUUGGUGAUUAAUUUUAAAUUUUGCUGAUAUGACGUGGUAACAUGGUGUUAAUUUGUUGAAUUGCAGGAUAAUUUCAUUAAUUUUUUAAUAAUAUAAAUAAUAAUUAAUUAAUAAAAAAAAUAAUUAUAAUAAAAUUAAAAAUAUAAAAUAUUUUAACAACUAAAAAUAUAAAGUAAAAUUACAAUAAAAUUUUUUUAAAUAAUUAAUUCUAAAUUUUACUUACAAAUCGUGAUCAUGUGGUAUUGACGUAUUGAAUUAUAUGAUAAUUUUAUUAAUUUUUUAAUAAUAUGAAUAAUAAUUAAUUGAAUAAAAGUAUAGAAUUUAUUAGCGAUUAACUCAAUAAAAAAUUAUAUUCUUUUAAUUUGGAACAUAAAAAUUAAAUUAAUGUAAAUUAAUUUACAAUCUGUAAAUAAUUAAAAAAGUAAGUUAACUUAAUAAUAAAAUAAUUCAUAAAUUUAAAAUUUAAUACAUUAAUACUAUGUACAUGUACAUAUGUAGUUACAUACAUACAUAUAAAGCAUAAACUUUUCCUUUUUUUAAAAAAAAAUUCAACUACUAAAAUUUCAUCUUAUAUAAAAAAAUAUUAUUUAAAAUUAUCCUUACUAUAUAUAUAAAGAAUUUUAAAAAUUUUAAGUUUAUAACGUUAGAUAUCACAAAACUUUGCUCAUUUUAUCAAUAUAUCUUUAAAAAAAUCUAAUAAAUAUUGUAUGCUAUUAGUUUAUUAAUUAUAAUAAUUUUAUAAUAUUUUUUAUUCAAAUAAGUAGGGUUAAACACUUAUAAUUUUAGUAUGAUAAUAAGUGUAUUUGAGUAAAUCUAAAAAAUUUUAAAAUUUCUGAUGUCUAUUUUAAAAAUAAAAUAAAUAGUGGUCAUUUAUUAUAAUAUUUUUUAUACUUUUUAAAAAUUAAAUAUUUUAUUAAAUUUUAGUUUAACUACAAAAAGUGUAUAUAUCUGACGUCUAUAAUUUUUCAUUAUGAACUAAAACAUAUUUCUAAUUUUAACUUAUAUUAAUAUAUAUUAAAAUAAUAUAUUUUUGUGAAAUAUAUAUAUAUAUUUUUGAAAUUUUAAAAAUGCUAUAUAUUUAUAUAUCUACAUCAAAAUACAAUUAUAUCAAUUAUGUAAAAUUUUAUCACUAGAAAACAAACUGAAAUAAAUAAAUAUAUAAAAGUCUUUUUGAAGAAACCAACUUUUUAAUUUUUAUAUUAUAAAGUUUUUAAAUUUGUGUAUUUAAAAAACGUGGUAUAUUAUGAUAGGAUGAUAAGCAUAAUGGGUGCUUAAUAUUUGUGCAAAUAUUCUAAAGCUGGUUGCACAUGAGAAUUUGUCAUUUUGUAGUGUUACUAAUACGAGAAUUAAUAAUUGGUCACACUCUAAACCCCACUCAUUAAUUUAUUGUUUAACCUAAUCUAAUCUUGGUUUCUGUGUACGCAGUGAUCCUCCUUCUUCCUGGAAAUUGCUCCUAAUGCUUUUGAAUAUUGAGCGUGUGUGUGUGAGAGAGAGAAAGAGAGAUGCCUUUUCUGCGUCUUGACUUUUCCUGAAUCACAUGGAUCCAAUAUAAAUACACCAUCUCAGGCCUUGCAAGGUUUAAUCCCGUUGAUUGCUUUGAAAGCUCAUAUACAAAACAAAAGAGUGCUUAAGCUUAAAGAAUCAAGAAAAACAUGGUGAGGGCUCCUUGCUGUGAGAAGAUGGGACUGAAGAAAGGGCCUUGGACACCUGAAGAAGAUAAGAUUUUGAUUUCCCAUAUUCAAAAAUAUGGCCAUAGCAAUUGGCGUGCACUCCCUAAGCAAGCUGGUAAACUCCCCAAACCCUUAAUUUGGAUUAUGCUUUUGGUUUUGUUUCUAAUUUGAGCUCCAUUUUUAAUUAUGAUGUCUCAAUUACCUUUCCUUUUUUGUUCUGUAGGUUUAUUAAGAUGUGGGAAGAGUUGCAGACUCCGAUGGAUAAACUAUUUGAGACCUGACAUUAAAAGAGGAAACUUCACUGAGGAAGAAGAGGAAACUAUCAUCAAGUUGCAUGAAAUGCUGGGAAAUAGGUAAUCACAGCACCAUGUUUGGAUCUUCAAAUUCUGAGAAAAAGAAUUGAUGAUCUUUUACUUUAUCUGGUCUUGAAAGAUUCUUGGAUUUUAGAUCUAAUUAAAUGAACCAAGAAAAUUAAUUAAACCAUUGGUAGACUGAUUAUUGCAAUUUUCCAAGUGAUAAGAAGAUUAAUUAUCCUCCAUUUUCCAGGUGGUCAGCAAUUGCAGCCAAAUUACCAGGAAGAACAGAUAACGAGAUUAAGAAUGUGUGGCACACCCACUUGAAGAAGAAGCUCAAACAAAAGCAAGAUUCUAAUAAUCAACAACUAUACGUGACAGUACCAAAAUGUGAAGAUCUCAGCAUCAGUAACCCAUCAGAAUCUGAGAAUUCCAAUAUCCCAGCUCUUCCAGGACAAUAUGAAAGUCCAGGGCAAUCAGCAAUGUCACCUCAGCCCUCUUCUAGUGAUCUCUCCACCGCAACCUACACUUCAGGUGCCACAGCCGAAACCGACGACGUCAAGGUCGAAACUAUGGACUCAUCGGAGAUAUAUUUCCCGGUGAUCGACCAAGAUUUCUGGUCAGAAGCAGAACUAAUUGACAGUUCCAGCAUGGAAUUGGCAUCAGAUAUGGUAGCAGCAUCAGGAUUUAAUGGCAACUGUCUAAGUAUUGAUGAUGAUAUGGAUUUCUGGUACGAUCUAUUUGUCAAAGCCGGAGACAUAGAGGAAUUACUAUAAUUUUUUUUUUUUGGAGACGCAAAUGAAUUUUUGAACAUCCAGGGGAAUCUUGCAAGAAUUUGACCGUUAACCUGGAAAACAAGAAUAUUCAAGUUUUCCAGGGUGGGCCAAAUUUGUCCAAAGCGCAGAAAAUAUACAUCAUUCAUUGACCAAGACAAUUAAGGGCAGAGAUGAAUUCUGACACAGAAGAAUUAAAGGGGAAGAAAUGAGGAGGUUGGACAAGUUUUGUAUAGUGAGUAUUAGAUAGAUUACCCAUUAAUUCUUACUUGCUCUUCACUGCAGAGACAUUUGAAUUGGCGUACACUUGCUCUCAGAUGUAUUCGUUGUUAAUCAAUCACCCUACUGCUUUGAAUUUUCAAUAAAAGCUAGCUGGAGCAGUUCUUUCAGAAACAGGGAAAAAAAAUAUCUCCUAAUAUGAUGCUGUUCGAUAAUCAAAGUUCUUAUUUUUGGCACUUCUUGAAAUUUGACAGGAGGAUGAGAAAGUAAAGGAUACAUCAUGAAUGUAUUUUAUUUUAUUUUUAUGAUUGAAAAUAUAUUUUAUUUUAUCACUUAUCUAAGUGAGUAUCAAGAUUAUGAGAGAUUAAAAGUAUUCUGCCAUUAAAGAAUAAGAGAGACAGAACAAAAAUAGAAAAGGGUUUUCUCUCUCAUUGCACAAAACAUAUAAAAGCAAAAUAUAUACAGGAGUGACACGAAGAAACGAUGUCUAUUGAGAAAGAGAUAAAAAACAACUCAGCAUAACCGAAAAAAAGUUUACAGCUAAUCAUAAAGGAAUAAAAGAAUAAUAAAAGACGAAAAAGGACUAACUAAUCAUAGAGAAGAAGAAGAAGAAGGCUAUCUAAUAAUUUUACAUCCCCUCCUCAAGUUGAGGCAUGGUAACAAUUAUGAAGGCCAACUUAGAAACCAAAGACUAAAAAAUAGGUGCACUAAGAGCUUUUGUGAAUGAAGCAGCUAUCUGGUUGCUGAAAGAUAUUUUCUGGGGAGAAAUAAACCUUUUUUGUAUUACUCCCUCACAAUGUGACAAUCAAUAUCUAAAUGCUUAGUCCUUUCGUGAAAGACUAGAUUAACUGUGAUGUGUAGGGCUGCUUGAUUAUCACAAUGCAAAAUUAUAAGAGCAAUGAUUGGUAUAUUGAAAUCUUGUAUGUAAUACCCGGCUAGACUCCGGUGUCGGAAUUCCAACCUUCUGACGGAAUCUUCGCUGGAAUCCGGAAUCUCAGAUACCAGAACUUCUGAAAGGGUAAAAUAUGUUUUUACAAAAUGUUUUUCAUGGUUUUAAUGCUAAGUUUUUAAGUUAAAGUUUUAAAAAUGAAAAGAAAAUGUUUUUGAGGGAUAAGCCCAGGUUCGGUUGCCGAACCUCAGGUUCGGUUGCCGAACCUCAUGUUCGGCCGCCGAACAUGGUGCUGCCGCGGGAGCUCUUUCGGCUCCCGAAAGUGGUCUGGCCAGCCACCUAUAAGAGGCCCCCAGUCCGAAAACGGGCGAGUUUUUUCUCCAUUUUCGGGCAAAGGUGAGUUCUUGCCCUCCCUUUGUUGAUUUUAUGAUUUUCCUUCAGAUCCUUCAAUGUUUUCACGAGUUUUCUCUUGUCUUUGAAGAUCUAAGCUUAAAUCCGAGUCUUGAAGCCUUGGAGACCGUUUGACUCAUCUCCACGUUGGAGUUGCUGUCACUCCUAGAUCUUCAAGAGGUAAGCCUGGAUCCUUGCCUCUCUUAUGUUUUUAAUUAAGUUUUAUGAAGGUUUAAGGGGUAGGAAUGCAUGUAAUGGUUGGAUCUAGAGCAAUAGGGUUUGAGUUGGGUUUUUGUUCAAUGUAUGCUUAUGUGAUAGUUUUAUAGUUGUUUGUUGGGGAUUUAGGCUAGUUUUUAUGCCCCUUAUGCUUGAUAAGUGUGUAUGCAUAUUUUGUGGGGAUGGGUAUGUGUUUUGGAGAGUUUUGGUGGCUGAAAUGCAUAGGGCAGAAUCGGGUUCUGCCAUUCUGGAGAACCCAGGUUCGGCCGCCGAAGGAGGGUUCGGCCGCCGAACCUGUCUGUGGAGGCAGCCUUUGGCCGCCUAACAUGCUCCCGAAAGAAUGGACUUUCGGAUCUGGAAGGGAGUUUCGAUCGCCGAACCUGCCCCCGAAGGUUGGUGACUUUCGAAUCUGUGGAGACCUUCGGCCGCCGAACCUGCCCCCGAAAGUGCCUGACUUUCGGAUCUGUAGGGACCUUCGGCCCUGAACCUGCUGCCGAAAGUCCCCUGCCCAGCCUUCUUUUGCUUGUUUCUAAUGCAUGUUUUAUGAUGUUUUAGGGGGUUUUUGGGGAGAUGUUUAGAGUCUUGAUAGAGUUAUGUUUGGUCCCUCAUUUGAGUCCACCUGUGUAGGUUUGGACCUGAGAGACCAUAGAAGCCAGCAGUAAGUUAGCUGCUCCUUUGUUAGUAAAGCGUCAGUCAGAGGUGAGUAGAACUAAACUAAUCUAUUGUUUUUAAAGUAAUCAAACUUUUAAGCAUGUUUAUGCAUCAUGAAUGCCAUGCUAUGUAAUAGGUUGUUGCAUUAGAAUUCAUAAAUUUGAUGCAUUGCAUAAUUUACUAUUGAUGUGGAUGGAUAUUGGAUGACCCACUAGCCCUCGAUAUGAUAUGAUAUGAUAUGAUACAGAAAGACCAGGCUUGCCCAUUCUACGCCCCUGGCACGAUGUAAGGGAAAGACUAGGGCUUGCCCAUUCUAUGCCCCUGGCACAGUUGGAUAUGUUAUGUUAUGUUUAAAAAUAAGUCCUGAGGAGCUCCGUCGAGGGCCGGACAUUAUUUGGAAUAUGUAGAGGGUUACUGGUGACAAGUCCAUCCUUGAUGUGUAUUGUUUGUGUUGUGAUGCAUUUCAUGCGAGCAUAUGUUUAUUUAAACUGUUUUUAUGGUUCUGCUCACUAGGUUCUUGUAGCUUAUCCCUUUCCCCUAACCCCAGGUUUGCAGGGUCAAGAUUAGCUCGGGAAGUUGGCUUGAGGCGGGUAUAGUUUAUGUAAUAGAUAGUAAUGGACAUGUAAUUUUUAAUGGAAUAGAUUUGUGCUUUGCCCUAGUUUAUGUUGUUAAUCCCAGUGAACAGGUUUUUAUGUAAAAGUUUUUAUUAUGAGUUAUGUUGAACCAAGCUUGAUGUAUGUGAUGUUGACCAUACUAGAGCAUUUGAUGAGGGCUCUAGUGUGGGUUUUAUGUAUACAGUUUAUGUUGAAUGCACAGGUCGAGCUUGGUAUAUGGAAAAGUUUAAAAUUUUUUAUGAAAAUGUAUGUUCAUGUAUGGGAUUUUAUCAGGUACACAGGAUGCAUAGUAGGCUUGCUACGGGUUCCGGUGACCUUAAGUCGACCUGAAUCCUAGCGCCGAUAGCGGUCCGGUUUUCGAAUCGUUACAUUGUAGAAUAUAACAAAUUCAUUGUAGUUCACAAACUAUUGAGGUCAUGGAUCGAUAUUCUGCUUUAGCUGAUGAUCUUGAAACUGUGGUCUGCUUUUUGGUUUUCUAGUGAACAACUGAAUUUCUUAGAAAAAUAUAAAAACCAGUUAAUGACUUUUUGCUAUUAACACAAGAAACCCAGUCUGAGUUCCAGAAGGUUUCUAAUUUUAUGUUGUUAUCUAUUGGAAAGUAGAGCCCUAAGGAAGGUCUUCCUUUCAAGUAUCUUAGAACAUAAAGAGCAUUCUUCCAAUGAUGAUGUUUAGGAUCAUGAACAUACUGGUUAAGCUGCUAAGUUGCAUGAGCAAUAUGUGGUCUGGUGUAUUCCAAAUACAACAUCCUGCCUACUAAUCUUCUAUAAGUAUGAGGAUCUUCUAACUUAAGGCCAUCAUCUUCAUGUAACUUAUGACCUUUCAUCAAGAGAGUUGCAACUGGUUUGCACCCCAUUAAAGCUGCAUCAUUGAUUAAGUCCAAGGCAUAUUUUAUUUGCUUAACACACAAACCAGUUGCAAACUUUAUUAUUUUCAAACCCAUGAAGUAUUUGGCCAACUACAUAUCCUUUAUAGUGAAUUUUCCAUUCAAAAAACUAUUUACCUUUUUAAUCUCUUCCUCUGAACUGCCUAUGAGCAGUACAUUAUCUACAUAGACUAGCAAAGCCAAAAAGACAUUGUGUUUGGACAUUAUAAACAAACAAUUAUCAUGACAUGAUUGUUUAAAUCUAUAUUUCUGUAGUUGAUUAGUAAGCUCUAUAUUCCAUUGUCUGGAAGCUUGUCUAACCCCAUAUAAUGACAUCUUUAGUUUGUAUACUUGCCCAGGUUUAGCCCUAUCAUCAUAAUCUUUUGGUAAUUCCAUGUAAACCUCUUCGUCUAAAUGCCCAUGUAAAAAGCAUUAUAUAUGUCUAGUUGAUGAAGAGACCAAUAUUUUGCAGCAACAAUGGUAAAAAAUAACCUAACAAUUACUACCUUAGCAAUAGGGGAGAAACUGUCAUUAAAGUCAAUACCUUCAACUUGGUUAUAGCCUUUUGCUACUAACCUUGCCUUGAAUCUAUCAAUGGAUCCNNNNNNNNNNNNNNNNNNNNNNNNNNNNNNNNNNNNNNNNNNNNNNNNNNNNNNNNNNNNNNNNNNNNNNNNNNNNNNNNNNNNNNNNNNNNNNNNNNNNNNNNNNNNNNNNNNNNNNNNNNNNNNNNNNNNNNNNNNNNNNNNNNNNNNNNNNNNNNNNNNNNNNNNNNNNNNNNNNNNNNNNNNNNNNNNNNNNNNNNNNNNNNNNNNNNNNNNNNNNNNNNNNNNNNNNNNNNNNNNNNNNNNNNNNNNNNNNNNNNNNNNNNNNNNNNNNNNNNNNNNNNNNNNNNNNNNNNNNNNNNNNNNNNNNNNNNNNNNNNNNNNNNNNNNNNNNNNNNNNNNNNNNNNNNNNNNNNNNNNNNNNNNNNNNNNNNNNNNNNNNNNNNNNNNNNNNNNNNNNNNNNNNNNNNNNNNNNNNNNNNNNNNNNNNNNNNNNNNNNNNNNNNNNNNNNNNNNNNNNNNNNNNNNNNNNNNNNNNNNNNNNNNNNNNNNNNNNNNNNNNNNNNNNNNNNNNNNNNNNNNNNNNNNNNNNNNNNNNNNNNNNNNNNNNNNNNNNNNNNNNNNNNNNNNNNNNNNNNNNNNNNNNAGAUAAAUUUGCAACAAAACUCAUAUGUGCAUCAGUAAAAUGUUUGGGUGUGAUGUAUGGAUAAGUGAGAGGUUUGCAUUUGGUUUCAAGUCUAAUACUUGUUGGAUUAAAGAUAUGAUGUGAGACAUUAUUAACUGUAGUAACAUAGUCAUUGAUCCAGCUAGGUAGUUUUCUGGUUCUAUUGCUAUGUCUAAUAGGGAUGGGUUCUGGAGUUGAUGAGGAAUGUUCAGGACUUUCUGAUAUUUUAUAAACUUCUUGAAUAUCGGUAUGAGGUGGAGUGUCAAGGGUAUCAUUAAUAUUUUUAGAUUCAUAAAUGAUAUUUUGAGUAUCAGAAAAAUGAGGAAAAGGCAAGAUAGGUUCUAAUUGAGCUGCAACAACAGUUUCUGUGGUUUUGAAAGGAUAAAUCUCUUCAUGAAAUCUAACAUCCCUAGACACAAUAAUCAUAAAGCUACCCAAAUCAUAAAGCUUGUAUCCCUUUUGCCCUGGUGAAUAGCCUAGAAAAAUGCAUCUGAUGGCUCUAGGUGUAAAUUUAUCCUUGUGAGGAUAGACAUUAGUUGCGAAAAAUAGACUGUCAAAGCACUUCAAAUCUUCAUACGUAUGUUCCCUUUCAUGUAGCAUUUCAUAAGGAGUCUUUAAAGACAGAGUUUGUGUGGGAAGCCUAUUUAAAAGAUAAACUGCAUGCAAAACAACUUCACUCCAGAACCUAAUGGGAGUAUUAGACUGAAACAUCAAGGCACUAGCCAACUGCAAUAUGUUCCUAUGCCUUCUUUCUACAACUCCAUUCUGUUAGGGAGAAUAAACACAACUUCUUUGAUGAAUAACCCCAAAAUCCUUUAAAACCUGUUGACAAUUCUCUCUUAUAAAUUCGAAACCAUUAUUUGAUCUAACAUACUUUAUAAUUUUCUCAAAAUGAUUCUUUAUUAUGACAAUAAAAUUUUUCAAUAUUGAAGCAGUCUGCAAUUUACUUUUCAUCAGGAAAACCCAGGUACAUUUGCUAUAAUCAUCCACUAAAGUCAAGCCUCCUGUCAUACUAGCAUACUUGUAGGGUCCUCAUAGAUCAAUAUGGAUUAAUUCAAAAAUAUCAGCGGUCUUACUGUUGCUAUAAGAAAAAAGGCAAUCUACUCUGCUUGGCAAGAGGACAAACUUCACAAUUAAUAGAAAUAUCAACUGCAUUCAUAGAGGGCAAAUAUUCAAGAACAAUAUUAGAAGGAUGUCCUAAUCUCUGAUGUCAAAUGUAAGCUUACACCAGAAAUCUUAUUUAUAAAAUUGACAUCAUUAGAGCCAGUACUCAAACCAAGUAAACUAUUGUGUCUAUGUAUAAUAUCACUCUUAUAUGAACUGGGAUCAAGUAUAUAUAAAUUCUCCUUCAACUUCCCCACUCUAAGAACCUUUUUAGUCUUAAGUCCUGAAAAACACACAACUCAGGGUAAAUAGUACACUUCAGGUAGUUUUUCUGUACUAAUCUACCAAUUGACAAUAAAUCAUGCUUGAAGCUAGAAAUGUAUAAUAUAUCUCUAAGAAUUAAGGAAUCAUGAAGCCUUACAUCUCCGUGCAGCUCAACCAAUUUGGUUGCAUUAUCAGGUAAAUGAACAAUGAUUUUUUUGGCUAAUAAUUUUAAGGUUGUAAGUAUAUUUUUGAAAGCAUAUAUAUGAUUAGUUACACCUGUAUCAACUAUCCAACAACUCACAAAGUUAUUUUGUUUAGAUUUUGUGAUAAAGCUACUUGCAAAGUUAGAAAUCUGAGCAAAGUUAACCUUCUCCGAAGUAAUCAUCUGCUUUUCCUUCAAAAUUAUGUUAAUUUUCUGCUGAAUCAGCUCUGUAAUGGUAGGUGAACACUGAUGUAGACUUUCUUUCAUCUCAUCAACUGUGUAUUCUUCAAUAGAGUUGCCUACCAUAUUGGCCUACCUUUUUCCAGUUGUUACCUUGUCAUUCUUUAAUUGCUUAUACCAAUCUGGAUAUCCAUGUAGGUUAAAACAUGUAUCCUUGGUAUGUCCCCCUGCGUUGCAAUAUUCACAUACUCUAUCUUCUUUCUUGUCUUUCUUCUUUGAGCCAAAUCCCUUAUACCCAUUUGACUGAGAGGCAUCAUGACACUACUAUCUGAAUUCUCUGUAAAGUUUAACUGCACAUUUUUCUGUUUUUCAACCCUUAAAAUCAUUGAGUAAGCCUUGUUAACAGAUGGUAAUGGAUCAAGAACUAAGAUCUAGUUUUUGACAUGGUCAUAACACUCAUUUAGACCCAUAAGAAAUUGAAUAAGUUUAGUUUGUAACAUUAUCUCAAUAAUCUCAUUUGAAACAUCACAAGUACAAGGACGCAUAGCUCCAAAUGUGCAUUAAGACAUUGGUUGAAGAACAUAUAAUUCUUCCCACAGUUUUUUAAGUUUGCUAUAAUAAGUAACCACAAUUGUGUUAUCUUGCUCCAUUGAGGAAAUUUGCCUUUGUAUCUAAUAAAUCUGUGGCCCAUUACUUUUACUAAAUUGCUCCUCCAGAUCUAGCCACAAUCUUUUUGCUGAAGUUGAGUAGAUGAAAGUCUCUGCAAUCUCCUUGGACAAUGAAUUAAUUAUACAGGAAGAGACCAUUUCAUCAACUCUUCUCCAUUUGCUCUUGUUUGGUUCAUCUUUGGGCUUUAGCAAAACACCAUUAAUAAAACUCAAUUUAUUUUUGGCAGCCAAGGGUCAUUUGAUAGACCUAUUCCAGGUCAAAUAACUGUGGUAUUAUAACUAAUGUCAUUGUAGGAUUAUCUGGGUUUAAUAUUGCUGCUCUCUCUCCGAUUGACGUUCGAGCUUGAUUAGUCUGUGUAUUAACUAUUUCUCCUUUAUUUACCGUCAAUAAUAAUAAUAAUAAAAAAGAUAAAUUUAAAGAACUUGUAGCUCUACUACUAUAUUAAGAUUAUGAGAAAUUAAAAGUAUUCUGUCAUGGAAGAAUAAAGGGAAUAUAAAAAAAUAAAAAAAGAUUUUCUCCUUUAUUACAUAAAGCAUAUAAAAAUAAAAUAUAUAUAAAAGUGGUACGAAAUAAGCAUACUUGUUGAGAAAAGAUAAAAAGCAGCUCAGUAUAAUUAAAAAAAAAAAAAAACUUUACAGCUAAUUCUAAAAAAAUAAAAUAAAAAUAAAAAACGAAAAAAUAUCGAUUAAUUAGAGAGAAAAGAAGAAGAUUGACUAUCUAAUAAUUUUAGAGUGGGCAUCCAAAAUAUAAACUUAGUGGAUGUACUUCAUUAAUUGGACAAAAUUUGGAAUUUCCACCAACUAGAAAAAAGCCAUCAAAAUUUAGAAUAGAGAAUAGUAGAGAAUUGUUGUUAGUCUCUAUGACUCUUUCUUGCUGACGUCUAUAUUCAAAUGUCAUCACAAAUCAGCUCGAACUCACACGGUAUCUACACUUGAAUUUACCUCUCAAAAAUAUUAUUAAAAAAUAAUUUGAAAAUUUGUAAUCUCGUUUUAAUAUUUUAUCAAUAAUAUAUAUUACAUUUAUUUUAAAAAUAUUUUAAAAUUAUUUGAUAAUUAAUGACGUAAUAAGGACGUCAAAAUCGAAUUUGACAAUGACUGCACACGACAUUAAGAUCAAAAUUUGAAGUGUCUUUUAAGUAGACGAGUAAUAGUACUUCAUCACAAACUUAAUUUACCAUUCCUCUUGACUUCUCUUAAUUGCUUUUUAUUUUCCACCUUCAAUUUGGAAAUUUCCUACAUUUAUACUUAAUUGAUUCAUAUAAUUACACUCCCACUAAUACUGUUUGUGGAACUAAAUAAGUUUUUCAUAUUAUAAAUUUGUAAUUUUUAUAUUUCUAAACCAAAAUUUUCAUUAAAUUUCAGUAUCUUUUAAGUUGUUAUUAAUUUUAUAUGAAUAUAGAGAUGUUUAUUUCUCCAUUUAUCUUUAAAAUUAUAAAUCACCGCUUGUUAAUUGAUGGAAUUUAUUUAUUUAUUUAUUAUUUGGUGUUUAUUAUGAUUAAAAGGUCUUAAAAUCUAGCAAUACGUGUGCAGUAUAGAUAUUUUAUUAAAUGCAAUCAUUAUAUACUUAUUUUUUUUUGUAAAUUUAUUUAUUUAUUUUAUUAUUUUUUGAAAAAUGCUUAAACCAGUCUUUUUAUAUUUAUAAAAUUUAUUAUAUACAUAGCAAAAAGACAAACUAAGCUUAAUUAUUAAAAGGUAAAUUAUCUCUGGCUACAAAAUUAAAAUGUUACAAGUUUAUUUAGGAUAAUGAAUAAGGAAUUGAUACCCCUUAAUCAAACAAAUGAAUAAUUCAUUGGUAUCAUAAACAAGGAUUUGAUUUGGGCGAAUACGUGAUCCGAUCUUCAAAUCUAAGAAUCUUUCUAGAUUUUUAUUUUAUUUUCUUCUUCUUUUUUUAUUACUGGAGUCUCCCUUCAAACUAUGAGCCUGUACUUCAACAAAGAUACAAGUAAUCCCCCCUUCAAAUAAAUCAAAAUCUCCAAUGGAGUGGUUGAACCGGCAGGGAGCUAAUAAAUUUUAUUUAAUGACCACUUGUUUUCAUUUCUUUUGGUCUUGUUUAUGUCUUUGUUUCUAAACUUUAAUAUUGUCUUUUAUAUGCUAAUUUUUUGUUCAUUCAUCAUGAAUCGUAGGUCACCUCUUUUUUUUUUUUUUUAGAAAAAAAAAAGAGUAUUGAAAAAAUAAAAUUAAUUUCCAAAUAAUUUAGUAAUAUACAUUAUUUAAGUUUUAAAAAUAGCAAUAUAAAUGGGAUACAUUUAAAAAAUAGUAAAUAAAUUUUCUUGCAUUAACUACAGUAAUUAUAUGUGGAAAUUUAAAUAAGUCCACCUUUUAGAAAGAAGGGGGUCCAUUGGAUCAAUAUAAAAGACUAUGCCCUUAAAAUCAUCUAAAAAUGUCCUAUUUCAAUAUUACAUAAUGGCACAAUGAGUAGCCAUUAAUUAACAACCUAAUCCACUAUUGAAGCGACAUUAUUUAGAGAAAAAAGAAGAAUAUAGUAAAUUGUAUAGAAAAAGUUUUAAAUAAUCUAGUAAUAUCCUUGCAAGUGCAACCAUAUAUAAUCUACAGAAUUAGAGGGGAAUCAAACCCCAAAGCAGUUCCCACCUUCGCUAAUACGUCCAAGCAUUAACAAACUUGGACCAAUGACUUUAACUAAUUAAUUAUGUUCUUGAUACAGCACUGUUAAGUCUAAAUUAGGGGAACCAAUCCAAAAAUGAAAAGUACCGUAAUACAGUGAAAAGUUUCCGGGGUCCAUAGUCUUGGUAAAACAGCUUUGCACCAACGCUGCAUCAGACUCUCCUUACGAUACUUUUACACCAACGAGGUCUACUGUCGGCAUUCGAGGAAAGAUGUUUGGAUUCACGUUCAGCUUCCUGGAUAUUUCGUCUGUCAUUUUAUUUACAACAACCCAGAAUUGAUCAUCAUAACUUCAACUCCAUCUUUGAUUAUUGACUCAAGUUUACAAGCGAAAGGAAGCUGAAGAUGCCGAAAGGAAUCUGAUUUCCAAAUUCCCUGCAUUUAGAUGCGGCCGUCGCAACAGCAACAGAUGCGAUGCCUUUGCUCUUCAGUCCAUAUAUAUGAAAUGCAAGCCUAAAGCAAUCAUCAAUCUUGUGAGUUGUUUAUACUCGUUACUGUUUUCUUUUGUUUUUUACAUCAAUCCUGUUAAUAGGCAGACAGAUGAUCAGCUGAACAAAUUCAGUCCCUCGCCACGUACAAAAAUAGACACGACAACAGAGCCCGCCCGCUUAAAUCCAGGGUAGAGAGGCGUCAACAACGACAUGGAACCCCAAAAGUACUUUUUGCAACUUGUAUAUCCACAAUUUUGCAGUUUACACUCGAUCGACUCAAGCAAUCUCUCAACAAAGAUCAAUGUCCCUAACAGAAAAAGGUGUCGGGAGAAAAUCCCCGAAUGACUGGAGGACACAAAAGCAGCUUCAUCACCUGUAUAAAUCACCUUCAAAUUCAACGCCGAAGUAGAACUCCAGGUGGAAAGCAGAUGACUACACCAUCGGGUAACCCCAGAAACCAUCUGCACCACUAGUCUAUCUUAGGCUGCAACCCAGUUUUAAGCUCAUAGAAGUUAAACUCCAUAACCAAACAAAUAAAACGACCUCCACAAAACUGUGAUUGCGAGUCCUCAUACAUUACCCAUAUCACACGUGCAAGUAAGAAAUCAAACGCCACAAAUUUUGAACUCCAGAUUCAGCAUUUUAAGAAACUGAAGAACAAAAUAACUGAACGAUUUAAGCAAAUGUUAAAAUCUUAAUCCGUUAAGUUAUAAAAAUACAUAACAUCAUCAUAUCAGAUGACAGGUAUAACAAAAUGAGAUCCAAAAUACAGUUUCUCCAUCAAUGAUGGUUCCUCCAAAACUUCAAUGGCUUUAUUCAAAACUGUAACUAUGCCUCCUGCAACAAAAGAUGAGGCCUACCUACUACAGACCAGUGAUAGCAUUUAUGAGAGACAUGAAUAAGCAAGGGCCUUCUCCUCAGAAAGCUCAUCUGCUGUCAAGUCCAACUUCUUCCUCGAAAAUUCAUCAAUAUGAAGUCCUAGACCACACAAGAGAAAGGGGGCAAAAGUUAAAACUUUAAUCAAGCAUCACAAGUUCCUUAUAUAAAUUAUUACAAAUUUCCACGAAAAUCAACAAAUCGUAAUUGCAGCAAUAGAUACACAGUAGAGAGUAUAACUCUUAGCAAAUUACGUCAAAUAAUUUAAUCAAGAAAACAUGUGCCAAAAAAAAUAACAAAAUCCUACAGACACAAGGGAACACAUUGCAACUAAAUGGCUAUAACUAUGUCACAGGUUAAUGUAAUAUGGAAAUAUCUAAACACCUAUCAUGAUGCCAUUUACAGUAUUCUUACCCUGAACAAUUUUCCAUUCUCCAUUUUGGCAUGUGACUGGGAAAGAAUAAAUCAGCCCAGCUGGUACAUUGUAUGAGCCAUCAGAGUACACACCCAUGGAAACCCAUGUGCCCUACAAGCAAGUAAAAAAUAAUAGAAGUGAAGAUAACAGCCAAUGCAGACAGAAUAACCCUGAAGAACAAAGAAACAUUGUCAAACCUCAGGAGUUCCAAGAACCCAAUCACGAAUGUGAUCACAAGCAGAACUAGCAGCAGAUAAUGCACUUGAAAACUUCCGCGCUUUGAUAAUUGCAGCUCCACGUUGUUGGACUGUAGUGAUGAACUCAGCAUUCAACCUUCAACAAAAAAAAAAAAAAGACAUUUAGAAAAGCUUGAAAUUUUCACCAAAUACAUCAGUUACAGCACCACAGAAAAUACAGUUGCUAAUACCAUUCGUCAUCUUUAACUAGCUCCCGGACAGGCUUCUCCCCAGAUGGAGUUUUAACAGUAGCAUGGUUGACAUCAGGGUAUUGAGUUGAUGAAUGAUUUCCCCAAAUUAUCACAUUCUUAACAUCAGAGACUUGGACAUUCAAUCUCUCUGAGAUUUGACCAAGUGCCCUGUUAUGAUCCAGUCUUGUCAAGCAAGUAAUAUUUUUCUCAGGGACAGAAGGAGCAAAUUCCUUCAAAAUCAACGCAUUUGUGUUUGCUGGAUUGGCAACAACCAGAACCUGGGUGGCAAAGGAAGCAGCAAAAAUUAGAAGAUAUUCAAACAAGUUAAAAGUAAGCAUUUCAAAAAUAUCUAACACUAACUGUAUAACACAAUUUACGUUUUAGUUUUUUUAGAAAAUUAAAUUCUACUGUUUGAUUGGAAUAUAGAAAAUUUAGCUAGAAAUUAAUUUAUAACAUUUAAAAUACAUUAGAAAAAUAAAUUUUGUUUGAAUAAAUAACACUGAAAAUGUUUUAGACUUGCAAAGUUUUCUUACUCUUUAAUAUAGUUCAAUAUGAAAGAAAACUAUAAAUAAAUAAAUAAAAGAGAAUAGAAAAGAAAAAAAAGAAAAGUAAUUAGACACUGACCACCAGUAACCUGUGACAGGUUAGCAAUGGCCAAAGAUGAUUGAACGUGGUUAAAGGACCAACAGGCCUCUACCAACAAGGUCACACAGUACAUUACUUUACUUUCUUAUGAGUUUGUGAUGGUGCAAGAGAUAACUUCCCAUUUUGCAAACAACAAAUAAUCUCCUUUGAAACUAUCUUCAUUUUCUUUUAACCAGAAGGACAUUCCUUAUUGAUCAAUUUUCUACAUGCCCCAAACGCUAACUGUGGAUUUUUUUUUUUUAACUAAUACAUUUCCCAUAAACAAAGUCGGCCUAAAUUCAUAAAUGGUAUUUCACAUCACUUUUAGAUUUCCAAGAGAAUUGAUAACAUCUCAAAACAUUUCAAUUUCUUCCUCUAUUUAGAAGUAUGAUUUUGUUCAAAUUGAAUUGCUAUAGAACAAUCCACUGUAAAAUAAUGUCCAAAUAGACAGACAAUAUUUUUUUAUUGAUAUAAUUGUAUUCACCUUGCAAUUUGCAGCUGCAUGCUUCUCUAAAGCUGAAGCCUGGGACUUGUAAAUUGACACAUUUUUCGACAUCACAUCUUUUCUCUCCAUUCCUUCUUUCCUAGGGAAGCCCCC
Molecule: long non-coding RNA, 107987 nt
Filed under: Manihot esculenta (cassava)
Lineage: Eukaryota; Viridiplantae; Streptophyta; Magnoliopsida; Malpighiales; Euphorbiaceae
Description: long non-coding RNA (MESC_LNC008859)
Source: RNAcentral